GGCUUGCCCUCACAAACUGCAGCUGAUGAUCACUACAAGUAUUCAUCUCCUCCUCCUCCUUACCACUAUCCCUCACCACCACCACCAGUGCAUAUACCUCCACCUCAUCCUGUUUACAAGUACAAAUCUCCACCACACCCCCAGUACAAGUAUAAGUCACCACCACCACCUCCUCAUCCGGUAUACAGUCUCCUCCGCCACCACACACCCAGUUUACAAGUACAAGUCACCACCACCACCUCCUCAUCCGGUACCACACCCAGUUUACAAGUAUAAGUCUCCUCCGCCACCAGUUUACAAAUACAAGUCUCCUCCACCACCACCUCCAGUGUACAAAUACAAGUCUCCACCACCACCAGUUUACCACUACAAGUCUCCACCACAGUUUACAAAUACAAGUCUCCACCACCACCCCCAGUUUACAAAUACAAGUCUCCACCACCACCAGUUUACCACUACAAGUCACCACCACCUCCUCCCCCAGUUUACAAAUACAAGUCUCCACCACCUCCUCACCACUACUAAGCAAUUGCUUCUGAGGUAAUAACACUUGUUCAAUAUACCCACUUCUGCAUGAUAAAGCAUAUCUCUAUCAACACAAACUGUCAUGUCUAUCAUGCUAAGUGCCUUCACUUCAUCCACCAAAAUGACUGCUAGAAAAUUUUUUUUAUGUUACCAAAGAAAGGCAUCAUUUUUUCCCUCUGUUAUCAAGAACUUGUACAGUAUAUAGAUUAAAGAGUAUUUUUUUAACUAGCUUAUCAACUGAGAAAUGCAUAUAGCUGAUAGCCAGCUGAAUAUUUGCAGGCAAAGGAGAAGGAAACCAGUGUUUGAGACCUUCUUGAAGAUGUAGAAGCAUAAGAAUUAAAGCCCAAUGUGAAGAUGAUGAUUUCAAGUUUUUCUACGUUACCAUUUCUUUAUCUAAAUUGGUUGUAGCGCCUUAGUUCCUUUGUUUAUGGGAUUUGUAUCGUUUUACGUACCAUGCAGUACAUGUCAUGUUUGUAAGGUUUUCUAUCCUGCCGGCAAACCGCAGGUUCCAUGUAAUAAAUCAAUACUAUUUAUAUUACGACACUUUUCUCUGUUUCUCUUAUAUUUUGUCGUCUUUAAUAUUCUUAAUCAUAUUUUUAACAAAAAUAUUCAAACACUUAGGCAAUCUGGUCUAAUGCUAAUUGUAUGUUUUACUUUUCUUUUUCACCUGCUCCCCUUUUCAACUCAAAAGGAUGCAAUAGUUUGUGAUCACUGUUUAAGACGGAAGCAUGAUACUAAUGAAUAUCUCAUUGAAACUCAAGGAAACUAACAUUGCGAAAAGUGUAAAUCUUGAUUUGAUGCAACUAUUUAUUCGUGGAAUCUAUAGUUACAAAACUCAAAUUCUGACUGCGCCAUUGAUAAAUUAUUAAUGACGCUAUCAUCAUUAUUUAUCCCUAACUAGUUUCGACUACAACUGAACCCAAUAUUUUCCCCAUGAUAAAAGUUUUUGACUAUUUUACUGGCCUCUCUUCAAAUUUUAAAAAUUACACUAAUCUUCAUUGAGAUUAAUUAUCUUGUAACAUUUAAGUCCAAUUAAUAAUUAAAAAAUGAUAUUAUGAGAGAGAAAAUAAUAUAAUUUUAUCAUUGCCCCCCAUCUUGCUAUAUUAUUUAAUUAAUUUAAUAGCAACCCACACAUUAAAGAAAAAUACUAAAAUUUGCUGCUUUUCAUUAAAGAUCAAAUUGCAUAUGCCAUAAAACAUAGUAUAUCAUUCUAUAUGUUUCACUUAAUGUAAGAUCCCAAUUGUUCUUUUCAAUUACAAACCCAUUGUCAAUAACAAAUAACCAAAAAAUUUGCAACCAAAAUAUUACAAAAAAAAACUUCAACAUCAUAAAUAUUCUUACCACCUCUAGUGCAUUCACCCUCAUAAAAUAAUUCAAGACCCUACUGUCAUAAAAUGACUGAUCAACUCCCGUAAACCUAAUUUGACAACAUUUAAAUGGAGAACUUUAGCUAAAAGAAUUAUGGUCAAGCUAAAGAAAAAACCAGUUAUUUUCCAACAUAUGCAAUCAUUGAUCAGGGAAAAAAAAAAGAGCAAAAAGACAUCUUCAAUCAUUUAAUAGCUUACAGGGCAAAUUAACCCCUAAGCGAAAACUGGUUGCUCUAGAAUCAAAAUUUUACUUUAGUUACCCAGGCAACUUUUUUGUUGCUUUUUUUUUUUUUUUCCUUUAGUUUUGCCCCCUCUGUCAAGCUUAUAAAAUUAUUAAGAUAAUAAAAGUGCCUUGAAUAGUAUUAAUAUAUCCAUUGACUUGAGCUGUCGUCAGUUUGCGAUUCCAUGAGGCCUUUUCAAAGUACUCAGAAAAUGGGGAGUCAUGAAAUCCAUUUGUUCUAUUCAUUGCUAAGAUGCUUUUCUCUAUAAAGAGACUUCCUAACGAAAAUACUUUGUAGAUUUCUUUACUCCAAGUGGUGCAUGGAAAAUUAAUAUUUUCAAUUAUCAAAUAAAAUUCCCUUUUUUCGGCGUAGAUUUCAUCCAUCCAGCUGUUAACACAUUCUAUAAAUCCGAAUUGACUAAUCUUUUCGUUUCCAUUUUCCAACUUGCGAAUACGGCAUAUAGUGUCUGCUAAACACUAUAUAUUCUCUGCCAAAUAUGAAUACAUAUCACUUUUCUGAGCAAGUGCAGAGUCAUUAUCAUUUUUAUUCCCACCUAACAAAUUAGGGAUAAAAAAGUUAAUAAUCUUUACAUGCUAUCAGGUCACAAGUUAAUAAUCUUUUAAAGAACAUGUUAAAUUAAUUUAUUGGUAUGAAUAGUAGUCAAAGAAGUAUGUUAAAGUUAGUAAUCUUUAAAAUAAUAUGUUAAAAUCAUUCGUACAAAUUAGUCAGAGAAGUAGCAUAAACACCGCGAUGCAAUUAAUACUUUCAAUCUCAAGGUCUCUAUUAUGGAAAUUUGCAUCGGUCAAUAUACACUUGGCAUAAUAUAAUCUCCCAACUCAUUUCUUUACAAAUGCACCUUUAAUCACCACCAAAAGGUGUGGACAUGAUCUUUACCCUAGAAAACUAUUCACCGACAGGCAAAUUGACGUCAGAAAUACUGAGGAAUUCUAGUUUCCUUCGGGUUCAUGCCAUGUUGUAUCCUUCAACUGUAACUCGAUUUCUAAGCUGUAAUUUGUGACAUAAUAGUCCUUAAACUAUGAAACCCUUCUUACUUAAUUACAAUGGUUAAUACAAUGCCCGUGACUAGACAAGUAUGAAGCAACCAUAACAGAAAAAAAAUCCAAAAUUAGAGAAAAGAAAGAAGUUUCGCGACCACCACCAGUUUACAAGUCACCUCCACCACCUCCUCCAGUUUACAAGUCACCUCCACCACCUUACCAUUAUUCCUCACCACCACCUCCAGUGCAUUCACCCCCACCACCACCAGUUUACAAGUCUCCGCCACCACCUUACCAUUAUUCCUCACCACCACCUCCUGUGCAUGCACCUCCACCACCAAUUUACAAGUCACCUCCUCCAGUUUACAAGUCUCCACCACCACCUUACGAUUAUUCCUCACCACCACCUCCAGUGCAUUCACCCCCACCACCACCAAUUUAUAAGUCUCCCCCACCGCCUCCCCCAGUAUAUAAGUCACCACCACCACCUCCUCCAGUAUACAAAUCACCUCCACCACCUCCUCCAGUUGACAAAUCUCCACCACCACCAAUUUAUAAAUACAAGUCUCCUCCACUACCUCCUCCAGUGUACAAGUCAUCACCACCACCUGCUUACAAGUCUCCACCUCCUCCAGUUUACAGUUCCCCACCACCACCAAUCUACAAGUCUCCACCUCCACCCUACCAUUACUACUACAAUUCUCCUCCUCCUCCUCGUCACUACUAAGCAAUUGUAUCCAAGUUUUUGAGGUAAUAACGCUUAACCAAUAAAUUAACUUUCGCAUGAUAAACCUUAUCUCUAUCAAGACAAACUGCCAUGUGUAUCAUGCCAAAUACGUACACCUAGAUCCAUGAAAAUGAAUGGUGAGGAGGGCCAUUUAGGCUCGGAGCGCCCUAGGCCUAGUUCCCCACCAUUUCCUGAAGUGCCGCCUCGGGUAUUAUCCUGGAAGGCGAUCGCGGCCCAUUUACCACCUCGGCUACAAUGUCAGGUCGUAACACCGAGGUGGACAUUGAAUGACAACUACGAAAAGGGGAGAUGUGAUCUCUGACACCUGAGCAAAGGCUGCUCUGACCCGCCGCCUGAAUCUGACAGAAUGUCCCAUCACGUCUCUUCAUGGAGACCGGUCAAGUCCACCUGAUCCACUGACUAUCUCAGAUCUUUUGGGACCCGUGCAAACAUCUCCUCUCUCCUAUCAGUCCCCUAUAAAUACACGAUACUUCUACUGAAAAAGGAGAUGACCAAUUUCUGGUAAAACACACUCCACUCAUUAUUUACUUCUCUAUAUCCGAACUGACUUAAGCUUCGGAGUUAUACCGGGGGAUCCAGCCCCUUUCUUAUCCAAGCAGGUGACUUCGUCCAAGAGAGUUGCCCAAGGUAAAGAUAUUCUUCCAAUUGAGGUGACUCACUCCUGCGGGUCGAAAAUCACCUCUUCAAUUGGCGCCGUCUGUGGGAACCGCAAAGAUAUUAGAAGAUGAAGCCUGCGCGUUCUAGAAGCAGAAAAGCUCUCACUAUCGAGGCUGGGCAAAGCAAUGCAGCUCAACAAGAAAAUAUUUCUGAAGGGCAGGAGUCCCCAAGGACUCAGCCCGCAAACGAAAAAGCCAUAACCCGUAUGGCCGAGUUUGUGACCGAGAACCCCAACAUCUUUGAAGAGUUGGGAAGAUACCUGAAGAGGCAAGGCAAACAAAAGGCCGAGUCCUCUAAAAGGAUGUCAGAUGGGUCUCUUGAGGACUCAUCUGAGGAGGAGUCGGAUGGAAGGCACUUAAGCCGAAGUGCCUCAAAGCGAGCAUUUUCUAAGGCCACUUCUAAGGUAGCCUCCCUGACCAAGGCGUUUUCCCGAGGGCUCUUGGGCCGACGACCCGAGGAAGAACCUCGGCCCUUGGGAAUACCCGGGGUGGACUGCAUGAGGGCUCCACCGUUCACGGAUGAUAUAAACGAGGAAAGGCUUCCUCCCAAUUUUAAGCUCCCCGCAGUACAAUCUUACGAUGGCCGAGGUGAUCCCGAGAAUCACAUCCAUACCUUCAUCUCGGCCUUCCAAAUAUACUGCAUCCCAGACCCUGUCAUAUGUCGGGCCUUUCCAGUAUUCCUCAGAGGAACUGCUCGAAAAUGGUUCUGAGCUCUAGAACCUAGGAGCAUUUCGACCCUGGGUGAAUUAGUGGAGAAGUUUCUCCACCGAUUUGUCUCCUCCCGACCUACGACUAGGACCUCGGCUUACCUGCUCACCGUGCAGCAGAACCCGGGAGAGUCACUCCGGUCGUACGUCCGGAGGUUCCAUGAGGAAAGCGUUCAGAUACCUGACCCCAAUGAGCAGGUAACCCUCGCUGCCUUUACCCAUGGACUCGUUGCCGGGGAGUUCAAUACGGGGAUCCAUAAAAAAUACCCCCGCACACUGCAUGAAUUGUGGUUGAAGGUUGAAAAGGGCAUACAGGCCGAAGACCUCCAUCGCAUGAAGAAAGAGGUCCAAGCCACCCGUCCAAGGGCUGAGCCCAGAAAGGGAAAAGACGCUGGCCGAACUGAAGUAGGGUCGGGAAGUGGCUUCCGAAGUCCUGGCCGAGACCGCCGCAGCGUGUUCGACAGGAUAUCCAAGGGGAAGUCACCUAUUCCCGAGUCCGAGUUGACUCCUUUAAAUACUACCCGAUCUCACGUGUUGUCCGUGAUGGAACAAAACAACCUCGGCAAGGGCCCGCCGAGGAUGUUUGGAAGCAGAGACAAGAGGAACUCGAACCUCUACUGCUUGUAUCAUCGUGACAUUGGUCACGAAACUGAGGAUUGCAACGAUCUCAAGAAGGAGAUCGAGAACCUCAUUAGACGGGGACACUUGAAACAGUUCAUCCGCAGAGGUGGAGGUCACCAACGUGACGAAAACCGGCAUGACAAAUGAGGUGACCAACGCCGAGAUGAGCGGCGGAGCUCCAGAAGCAGUUGCCGACCUCCUGAGGAUCCCAGGGAGACGAAAAGGCCUCCCCCAGACGGAUCUUCGGGACAUGGGCCAACCAUUGCCCGGGUCAUUAACACCAUUGCCGGAGGUCCGACGGGAGGGGACAGUCAGAACUCCCGGAAGAGAACCUAUAAGCAGGCUAACCCGGAUCAGGCCGAGUCGAGUUCUCGCCUGUCCGAGGUGAUCACCUACGGGCUCAGUGAUCCCAUCCCAGCUGCAUCCAGCAGUCAUGAAACCUUGGUGAUUGAAGUCCUCACCAAUAACUACAUUGUGAAAAGGUCUACAUAGACCCGGGAAGUUCAGUUGACGUCAUGUACCUCCGUACCUUUGAGAGCCUUAAAAUGGCUAAGGGGUGCAUGACCCCGCUGAGAACCCCUCUUGUAGGGUUCGGGGGACACGUGGUGCACCCCGAAGGGAUGGUGACUCUGACAGUGACCAUAGGGCAUCACUCUCGCUGUAGAACCGUCCCUGUCAAUUUUGUGGUGGUUAAGGCUGACUCCCCAUACAACCUACUUUUAGGUCGGCCUACGCUCAAUGCCUUGCGGGCGGUCUACUCCACCUACCACCUGAGCUUCAAGUUUCCUACCCCAGCAGGGGUGGCCGAGGUCAGCAGCGACGUCUGUGCUGUCCGGGAGUGCUACCUCGCCACCCUACAAGCAGCCUCCCCGUCUACCUCCGGUGCGAGGUCCGAGAAGAGGUCAAAUAUCCUCUCAAUAGAUAGCAUCGAUCCUCAGUGAGCUGAGAAGGUCCCGAGGCUGGAGACUGGGGAUGAGGUGGAAGAGAUUCCCCUGGACCCCACGAAACCUGAUCAGACAGUUCGCGUUGGUACCCGAUUGCCCGGUCCUAUCCGAAGAGGUAUGAUGGACCUCCUCAGGGAAUACCGGGACGUCUUUGCUUGGGCCGCCGAAGAGGUCCAAGGAGUCCCGCACCAUCUCAUGAUGCAUGACUGAACGUCGACCCCCAAGUCCGUCCGGUCAAACAGAAGAGAAGGCACAUCGGCCCUGAGCGCAGCCAAGCUGUUGGUGAGGAAGUGGACAAGCUUUUACCCGCUAAAAUAAUCCGAAAAGUCCAAUACCCGAUCUGGUUGUCUAACUCGGUCAUGGUCAAGAAGGAUACGGGGGCUUGGAGAAUGUGCGUCGAUUUUACCGACCUCAACAAAGCCUGCUCCAAGGAUUGCUACCCCUUGCCCAAAGUCGAUACUUUGGUAGACUCAGCAAUGGGCUACGAGAUCCUCUGUUUCUGGGAUGCAUUCAAAGGCUAUCACCAAAUUGGGAUGAGUCAAGAAAACCAGGAGAAAACGGCCUUCUACACCGACCGCGGCACGUACUGUUAUACUACCAUGCCAUUCGGGUUGAAGAAUGCCGGAGCCACUUAUCAACGCUUGGUCAACCAAGCAUUCAAGUCUCAAAUCGGCCGGAAUGUUGAGGCCUAUGUAGAUGACAUCCUCCUCAAAAGCCAGACGAACUCCACCUUCCUGGCCGACUUGAAGGAGGUCCUUGACAUCCUGCGGAAGGUGAAAAUGAUGCUGAACCCCAAGAAAUGUGUUUUUGGGGUCACCUCGGGGAAAUUUCUAGGUUACCUCGUCUCAAGGCGAGGUAUCGAAGCAAAUCCGGAUAAGGUGCGAGCCAUCCAGGAGAUGUCUCCACCCCGGUGCGUCCGCGAUGUCCAAAGGCUGACAGGGCGAUUAGCCGCCCUGAAUCGGUUCUUAUCGCAGUCGGCAGCUAAAGCACUGCCCUUUUUCAAAGUGUUGAAGAAAGCUGACCAUUUCUCCUGGACGGAAGAGUGUCAACAGGCGUUUGAGCAGUUGAAGGAUUACCUUCACUACCUUCCAACGCUCACCUCACCUCGUCCGGGGGACAAAUUAAUCUUAUACCUUUCUGCUGCGGCCGAAGCGGUGAGUGCCGUGCUGAUAAGGAAGGAAGGGGUCCAAAUGCCCGUCUACUACGUUAGCCGAGUCCUCCGAGGUCCAGAGACCAGGUACACACAAGCAGAGAAACUUGUGCUAGCCCUGAUCCACGCCGCCCGCAGACUCAAGCCCUACUUCCUAGCUCACCACGUCUGCUUGAGGACUGAUCAACCACUUCGGCAGAUUUUGACACGACCAGAGGUUUCGGGACGUCUUACCAAAUGGGCCAUUGAGCUGGGGGAGUACGACCUAACUUAUGAGCCUCGCACAGCGAUCAAGGCCCAGGCUCUCGCAGACUUCGUAGCCGAGCUCACCUUUGACGAGGUGCAAGGAUCCGUCCCGGCUGCCACAUCGGCCACAGUUGAUGUGGCCACCACUGGGCUCCAGCGGUGGAUCCUACACGUGGACGGUUCGUCAACAGUGAGGGUAGUGGAGCAGGCUUGCUCCUCGAAGACCCCCAAGGAGAAAUAUGCUAAUAUGCCUUAAGAUUUGACUUCGCUGCUUCAAACAAUGAAGCUGAAUACGAAGCCGUCAUUGCUGGACUGCAGCUAGCUCGCAAGCUCGGGGCCGCACACAUCUUGGUUUAUAGUGAUUCCCAACUCGUCGUGUGCCAGAUAUUAGGUGAGUACGAAGCCAGGGACGAGGUGAUGCAUCGUUACCUCUCCAAGGUCCUCCAGUUGGCGACUCACUUCGAGUCUUUUGAAAUUCAAAGAAUACCGCUAUCGAAAAACAGAAGGGCUGACGCCCUCUCCCGGCUUGCCUCAACCUCUUUCUCUGACCUGAACAAGACGGUUCUCGUUGAAGUUCUAGCCGAACCAGGAUAUGUAGCCGAGGUAGUAUACCCCGUCUACCCUGGGGACACCUGGAUGGGUCCCCUGACUCGAUUUUUCAGCCAGGGUGAGCUCCCCGAAGACCGAGCUGAGUCACGGAAGCUCCAACGAAAAGCAGCACGGUACAUUCUCCGACAAGGCCUUUUAUACAAAAGGUCUUACCUCGGCCCUUAGUUGCGAUGUAUCACGCCCGAGGAAGGCCAGAGAAUCCUCCAAGACAUACAUGAGGGGCUCUGUGGUGCUCACGUCGGCUACAGAAUGCUGGUAAAAAAGGCUUUGUUACUUGGGUAUUUUUGGCCCACUAUGAGGAUAGAUGCCCAGGUCAUGGUCCUUUGCUGCCCCUCCUGCCAGCAUCACGCUCCUGAGCACCACCAGCCGACCAAUUUAAUGAUCCCUAUCACCUCGUCAUGGCCAUUUGAGCAAUGGGGAACGGACAUAAUUGGCCCCUUUCCCAGAGCUCCAGGCAAUUAUACCUACGUGGUGGUAGCAGUGGACUACUUCACCAAAUGGGUCGAAGCUGAACCCCUAAAAAAUAUCACUGGUGCGGCAGUCCAGAAAUUCUUCUGGAAGAAUGUGGUUUGCCGCUUCGGCCUACCCCGGGUGAUCAUCUCGGAUAAUGGCCGACAGUUCGCCGAUAAUCCUUUCAAGGCCUGGUGUGAGAACCUCGGGGUCAAACAGCAUUUCACUUCGGUGGGACACCCCCAAGCCAACGGACAAGCCGAAAACUUCAAUCGCACGCUCCUCCAUGGCCUCAAGACCAGGCUCCACCAGGCUGGAUCGUUUUGGAUGGAAGAGCUCCCCAGUGUGCUGUGGUCCUACCGAACUACGCCGAGAUCAGCAACCCAGGAAACCCCGUUUUCCUUAACCUACGGGUCAGAAGCUGUUGUUCCAGCCGAAUUCAUCACCCCGAGUCCACGAAUGGCCGCAUAUGCUGCCGAAGUCAAUGAAGAAGAACGGCGAGUUGACCUCGACCUCGUCGAAGAGAAGCGUGAUAUGGCCGCGGCCAAAGUUGCUGUUUACAAAAAUAUCGUAGCUGGCUACUACAACGCUCGGGUUAAACAUUUGCGGUUCAGUCCGGGAGACCUGGUGCUCAGGAAGAACUCAGUCAGCCGGGCUGAACCUCAGGGUAAACUAACCCCCAAGUGGGAGGGACCAUACCGUGUUGUUGAGUCCAGCCAAAAUGGAUAUUGUAAAUUGGCAUACCGAGAUGGGUCUCUGAGUGCCCCGAACUUGGCAUGCUGAAAAUCUUAAGUUGUACUACCCUUGAGGGUAUGUGCUUUUAAUCUUGAGUUAUUUCACACUUAUUUUCAUUUCAUUAUAAGUGAAAAAUAAGGGGACAAAGUAGCAGUAAAGAGGAAAACCGAAUUUAAUUAAAAAGAAAGCAAGAAUAUGAACUCAAUUCCAUUGAAUUACAUAAAAGUAGAAAGCCGAGGUCACCUUUAAUUAGGAAGAAAGCAAGAAUAUAAACUCAAUUCCAUUGAAUUACAUAAAAGUAGAAAGCCGAGGUCACCUUUGACCUCGGCCUACAAUGACAAAAAAAAAAACAAGUGCCUCUAGGCACUCCCUACCCUGACAUCCUGGCCCCCCGUGGUCGCGCCACCCGUUUCGGCACCCUGUCCACCCUCAGCUCCUCCACCGGCCUGGUCGUCUUCAGUACCAUCUAGUUCAAACUCCUGGAGCCAUUUGUUGAAUUCGGCUCGGACUUCGGUUAGGUCUUUCUCAGUCCGGAUGCCCUCAGCCAUGCUGUCGCAUAGCUCCUUGGCAUCCUCGUUAUAGUGCGAAGUGCUCUGAAGGGACUCCAGUUGUUCAGAGGGAAGAAAGGAUGCCGCGUCAUUAAUAGCCGACGUGUACCCGAACAUGAAGCUUGGCCGGGUGAGCUCGCCGAGGUCACGGAUGAAGGACUCUGACGUCCGGAAGGCUUCCACAGCAGUGACCCCGGCCUUGUCCAUGGCCUCCCUGUUUGACUGUUCUUCUUGGGCCCUCCUUUUUUUCUCCUCAUCAAGAGCAGUCACCAGGGAAUUGUUCGCGACCUCGGCCCUUUUGUUAGCCGCCUUGGCCUUGUCACGCUCCAACUCGGUUGCCUUCAGUUUUUCUUCCAACUCGGCAAUUCUCUUCUGGAGCUCGGCAGGAGGCUCAUAGUUUUCCAUGAACUUUCCAUACCGUUGAAUCAUCUCGACAAAAAAAGCCGUGGUAGAGGCCCAUGACACCGAGGCGCUCUGCAUCAACUCCCCUGCGGAGAGCUUCCUAGCAUAAGUGCUAUCUCGUGGCAGCACUGAAUGCACCAAGAGCUCCUGAGCGACCAAAGGGUUCUUGCAGCGAUCGUUGAAAUUAAUCUCCCACUCUGGACACCAGUGUGAUCCGGGGUGUCUCUUGUCCUCCUCAGCUGCCUUGAAAGGCACAUGAUGGAGUUUGAACAAAGAUGACCCCGUGACGGGGUUCUCCGGAAAUAUGGUCACACCCUGACCCCGGGGGGGAGUGGCAAUCGUGACCCAGCGAGAAGGGAUUCCCACCGGAAUUGCCGAGGCUCGGGAACCUCCCGGAGUGGCCGAGGUGUGCGAGCCCUCGCCCACGAUCACCACGGCAGGCUCGCGGUCGCCCGACGCCGCGGUGGUUUUCUUAGCCGGCCUGGAAGAGGACCCUGCAGUGUCCUUGCGCUUUUUGGGAGCUCUUUUGACCACCUCGACAUCUCCCGAGGUUAUCAGGUCGAAAAUCUUCGUCACUGCAAAGUAGGAGACGAAGUCAGUUAGAAUUCAAGAGGGAUAAACUAAAAGGGAAGAAAUGGAAAAAUACAAAGUCUGUGAAGCCUAGUCGAGAGUAAGACAGGCUGGUCAGAGCUCGUCAAGGCUCAACUGAUCCCGCCUUCCACGAGCACCACUUCGGGAAAAUCCCAGCAGUUUAUCCUGAGGCCCGACCCCGUUAACUUCUGGAAGUUACGCUCUUCUAACUUCCCUGGAGAUAUCUCCUUGAUCGAGGUGGGAGGCCUCCACCAGAAUCCGCGAGGGAAGUCAUCGGCCGAGACGAAGAAGAAGUUUUGCUUCCACUCCUUUAUUGAGUUCGGAGCAUCAACCACCAACUUCGGAACUUUGUUUCCGAAGUAGAACCAUCCUUUUUCACUUCUGCUGUUCUUGAGUGAGUAACAGCGGCGAAAGAGGUUGACCUAAGGUUGUAUCUCCUGAUGUCGGCAAAGUAGCUGGAAGCCAACGAGAAUGCGAAUAGCGUUAGGGGUGAGUUGAGUGAUUCUCACCCCCCAGUACCUCAGGCAGUCCCGAAGAAACCUCGUCGUGGGCACUCUGAGUCCGGCCUCCAGCUGUUCCUGAUAGAUAGUCACCUUGCCCUUUGGUGGCAGUGCGGCUGACUGAUGCGGUUGGGGUAUGUAAAUACUAUAAUCCCUUCUCCAGGGAUACCUGCGGACCACCUCGGCUAUUGAGGCUUGUCCCAUACCACUACUGAAGAACGGCAUCUGGCCGUAGUCGAGAGUUGCCACGUUUGGAGGAGUGGAAGGUUCUUGUACUCCCUCGUCUCUAGGGAUCUCAAUCCCGAGGUCAUCGUUGUAUAGGACCUCGGGCUGGACCUCGAUCUCCUCGGGCUGCACCUCAACCGCCUCAGCUCGGCGUGAUGCCUCGGCACCUCCACCCUCAGCUUGGUGAGAUGCCUCAGCACCUCCGCCCUCGGACGCGGUCCUUUCCUGGGAGGGGUCAGGCCUCUCUGCCUCAGUGAGGUCAGGUCUCACUGUCUCUUUGUGCGUACGAGCUGUUCUAGCCAUUGUAUCAGAAGGGGAAGAAGUGAACUUACUUAGAAUCUGCGACUGGAAGAAGAUGCCGAAGUAGACGUGGUUUAGAAAGGUUGCCGAAGUGAAAAGAGAAAGAAACAGAGUUCUGGGGUGAUUCUUGAUUUUUGGUGAAGAGUAAAACGGUGAAAAAAGACCACUAUUUAUAGGCCACCAGGGUGAAACCCAAGAGACGGCACCCUCUCUCUUCAUUAAUGGGAGGACUGUUCGUCUGCCAACACAGCUGACAGCCGUCCCUUCAGUUAUCACUCAGUCCCAUCUAUGCGGUCAUGACGUGUCCGUGUUCCGUGUUUUAUACGCUUCUCAGCUUCGGGAAGUAACGACCACGGCGGAUGCCCAUCUCGCCCUUCUCAAAGCUUGGGGGGCUUAGUGAGGAGGGCCAUUUAGGCUCGGAGCGCCCGAGGCCUAGUUCCCCAUCAUUUCCUGAAGUGCCGCCUCGGGUAUUAUCCUGGAAGGCGAUCGCGGCCCAUUUACCACCUCGGCUACAAUGUCAAGUCGUAACACCGAGGUGGACAUUGAAUGACAACUACGAAAAGGGGAGAUGUGAUCUCUGACACCUGAGCAAAGGCUGCUCUGACCCGCCGCCUGAAUCUGACAGAAUGUCCCAUCACGUCUCUUCAUGGAGACCGGUCAAGUCCACCUGAUCCACUGACUAUCUCAGAUCUUUUGGGACCCGUGCAAACAUCUCCUCUCUCCUAUCGGUCCCCUAUAAAUACACAAUAUUUCUACUGAAAAAGGGGAUGACCAAUUUCUGGUAAAACACACUCCACUCAUUACUUACUUCUCUAUAUCCGAACUGACUUAAGUUUCGGAGUUAUACCGGGGGAUCCAGCCCCUUUUCUUAUUCAAGCAGGUGACUUCGUCCAAGAGAGUUGCCCAAGGUAAAGAUAUUCUUCGAAUUGAGGUGACUCACUCCUGCGGGUCGAAAAUCACCUCUUCAAAUGGUAGAAAGUUUUCUUAAGAACCAAGAACAGCAUUAGUAUUCCCUCUGCUUCCAAAAACUUGUGUAUUAAAUAGAUUAAUGAAUUGUUUAACAUGCUCAUCUACUUGAAAAUGCACAAUACCCAUAACCCACUGAAAUUUUUGCAGGAAAAGGGAAAGAGAAUCUGUGUUUGAGAGCUUCAUGAAGAUGUUGAAGAAUAAGAAUAAAAGCCCAAUGCGAGGAUGUUUUCAAGUUUUUCUAUGUCCACUUUAAUUUGUAAAUUGAAUUUUACAACUCAAUUAAUUCCUUGUUUGUGAGGUACGUAUUGUUUUACGUACCAUGCCGUACAUGUUUGUAAGGAUUUCUAUCCUAUUGGCAAAAGUCGGUUCCAUACAAUUAAUCAAUUCAUUUCACUUCUAUUGGCUCUACUAUUUAUGCAUGUUACGACACUCUUUCCCUUAUAUUUUGCCUUUAAUAUUAUGAGUCAAUAGUAAUAAUGGGCCUUUUUCUUAAAAUUAUACUAUUAUACAUAGGUAGUUUGGUCUAACGCUAAAUUCAUGUUUGUCUUUCUUUUAUUCCCUUUACAUCUCAAAGUAUACUAUAGUUUGUAAUCAUUGUGGUGAUGAUAUUACCAGCUGGUACUUAUAGUUUAAGGCAGAGACAUGAUAUUAACAACUAUCUCAUUGAAACAUAAGUCAAAAUCAUGACAAGUGUGAGUCUUGGUUAAUGCACAAUUUGUUAGUGGAAUUUAUAUUUAUAAAACUCAAAAAAAAUUUUUGACAAUGCUAUUACUAAUUAAUUAAGGACUUCAUUGCUAUAAUUUAUCGCUUACUAGUUUAAACUAUAAAUGAUCUCAAUACUUUUCUCCAUGAUGUCGAUUUCUUUAGACUACGAAAGGGAAAAAUUAGUGACAUAUCCCUUACUGAUUACAACAUCAGCAAAAAUUAGUUAUAAACUUUUCCGGUGGUUUUAAAUCCCUCGGGCACUAAGGUUUUUUGCACAUCGAGUGAAUUAAGGAACAUAGGCAAUUCGUUCUGCAUACCAAGUCCUUGUUUAAGAUGCACGUACUAAAAUGCAUCCACUUCAUUAAUUUGGAAAAUUGCCAUAGUUUUUUUUAAGCAUUUUGAUUUUUUACAUGAUUCAAAAUUUUCUUAUUGGAUACAAUCACUUUGUGUCAAGAACACAUUUUCAAUCAUCUUUUUUAUCUUCUCAAUAAGAAAAUAAAAAUUUAUUCAUGCUUUUCUAACAUAUCCAAUCAUUGAUCUGAAAAAUAAAGAAUUAAAAAAAAAAGACAUUUUCAAUCAUUGCUUACAGGGCAACUUCCCCAUGUGAACCUCUUCAAACAAAGCCAAUAAUAUGAAGGAACAUCUAAAUACACUUUUGCCCUAAAGGCUGGUUGCCUUGGGGUCAAAAUUUAACCUUCGGGAGUAUAAUUACCCGCCAAAUUUAUUAUUUUUUAUGGGUAUAUAGUUCCAAUUUUGCCUCCUGUUAAGCUUAUAAAUAUAUUACGACCCAGAAAAUAAAGGAAUCUUGAAUAGUAACAUGUCCAUUGACUUGAGUUGUCAUCAAUUUGGCUACUUCGAUUCCAUGAGGCCAAUCCAAUUCACACUAGCUAGAGAAAAUGGUGAUAAAGGCACUUAGAAAUUUAUAUGUAAUAUUGAUUGGUAGUAACUGAUAAGUAUAUAUUUUACGUGUUUUAAAUAUGUUUUAUUAGUUAGUUUUGGUGUGUUUUAACUACUUUUAUAACUAAUUAACUAGGAAUCUAGUGAAAAUAUGCAUUUUGUGGUUUGAAGUGUGAAAAUUGUAUUUCUAUGGAUUUUAAUGGUGAAAACUUCAUGUUUUUGUAGGUUUAAUGAUUCAAUCAUCAAAUGACAUGAUUUGAGAAGAUAAUUAGAUGAUUGAUGAUGUUUUGAAGUGAUAAAAAGAGAAUACAAAGUGCAAGAGAGGAAAUGCAAUCAAGAAUAAAAGAAGAAAAUUUUUGUAGCUUUGACAUAUUGUGGUAUUUUGGCAAUAUAUUGAGCUACAAUGAUUGGAUUAAGGUGAUUCUUAAACCAUUUGAAGCUAAGAUAUAGAUCUACAUUUGGUAUGAAGGCAUCGAAACCCAUGUCAGUCAUUUUCCUUGUCAAAAUGUUGAAAUACAGAAGUGCAACUCUGUUCUCGAAAGCUAAAACAGAGCUCUGGCUAGUCGAGGGUAUUUUCAUCAUUUCUUAGUCCACAGAGCUCCAAAUGAGAUGAUUCUUAAGGCAUUAGAACCCUAACUCAAAGAGCUACAACUUUCAUAUUUUGUACAAGAGUUAGUUCGGCCUCCAUCAUUCAGAAAAUAGUAGUUGAAGUGGUGCCAAAUGCAUAGAAGUGAAAACGCGAGCUAUCAAUACUCGACCUGAAGUCGCGUAUUCCUGAGGUCAUGCAUUCUCUUCUAUUUUCUGCAACUUGCCCUGCUUUCACAUAAUUUUUUCAUCUCAAUUCCAACUAUCAAUUUCGGCUAUAUCUGAUCAAGAAAAGUGUGGAAAGUUUGAAAGACAACUCAUAGGAGUUUCAAGAGUCAAAAAUUACAAUUAGAAACAACUCAUUUGGCUCUUGAAUCCUCUAUAAAUAGAGGCCUUUGAAGAACAUUUUCACAACUUUGGAAGGUUAGAGAAACUCCACAAAAACAUAGUCUUCACUAGAAUUUCCUUAGUUCAUUAGUUAGGGUAGUAUAGUAUAGUUAGUGUAGCUUUUCCUUCUUGUAUUUAUAGUUAGGUUUGAAUGAAGAUUCAGGAGCAAAGAUAGAGAGGUUGAUCUCAUGUGACAAGGGUGAUAUCUCUUCUACUACUUUCUCUUUUGUAUUUGAUUUCAUAUUUAACUAUACUACAAAUUUGGCUUUGUUUUUUUUUUUUAUCAUGUUUAGUUAAAGUUUAUGCCUAGAGUAUGGAUGACCUUUCUAUAUCUUGUUUGUGAUAUUUAACUGGUUAUUUGAUGAUGUUAUUUUUGAGCAAGUUAUUUAUCACUUUUGCUUUUCUAAUCGUGAUUAACUGGCCAUUAGUUGUGAUUAUCUAAAAGUGUUAAGUUUGUAAUGAGAAUUGGAGUUUAACACUAGUUCAAGGAAGUGAUAAAUUUAGGGAGUUCACUCAUGAGAGUAGAGGAACACCUUUGUGACCUAAGUGACUUGUUUCAUAUAAUUUCAUAGAAAAAAUGAACUUGUAAUUAAUUUCAUAACCACGAGAGUAAGUAUGGUUUAGCUAUAUGUAUAGUUGAUUCACUACGAGAGUAGGUUUCACAUACAUUAGAAAAUUACAUCAUAACUAGUCAAGAUAAUAUCAUUCAUUUAAUCAGUAAUCUCAUUUGCAUGAGUAGUAAGGCAUUCCAUAUCUCUAGGAGGUUUUUAGUAUUAUUUUCAUUACUUUUAUGUUUAUGGUAGUCUAGAUAAUAAUGGAGUUCAAAAACUACUAGUAAUUGAAAAUUUUCCCUGUGGGAUCGACCUUUAAUACCCUAUACUCGCUCUCGACUCGUAUACUUGCGAAAAAUCACGUGUGCGGUAUUUAGAAUUUAUAAAUGUAAAACUUGACUGUAGAUGAACUAAUUGAUAUAUGUAUACCCCGCACUCGUCAGUAACCAGCUUGUAUUGAUCCCAUUAUUGUGGAUAAUUGUGCUCUUAUGAAAAAAAAUUAUAAAAAAAUUAGCAAAAUUUAUGAUAACAAAUUAAAUUUAUUCAUACAAAUCAGUGAAAGAAGUAGAAUUUUAAAGACCAUGAUGAAAUUAAUACUUUCAAGGGCUCUAUUAGGAAGACUUCACUUGUUGGUGAAACUACACUAGCACAGUUAUAUGCACAUUUACUGUUUUGGUAUCUAAUUUCCUUGCCUUAAGUUGGGUGCAGAUGUUUAUAUUACAAAUAGAUGGUAUCAUAAAAUUGUUGUAUUCACGUUUGUUCUUUUUUUUUCUUCCUUAAGUUUUUUUCUUUAUUCUCGUGACUUCAAAAAUACGAACUCAAGAAAUUGGCUGCUUAAUCAAUAUGUCAUACAGGCUUCGCUAGUGAGGUAUAACUUCACAACUAGAGUCAAUAGAAAUUAUCAAAUGAUUUUUUAACAUCCAAAUUAAGCAAUAAAUUUUGUUUUCAUUUUAUGACAUAUAAUAGUACUACUUCAUGAGAGAUUUUAUAGUUUCUUUUAGGUAUCAUACCUACAAGUGAUAUUUGUCAUUGGAUAGUGACAGAAGUGUUAAUGAUUGUAAGAUUAAAUAUUGUUAAAUAUUGAAAUUUAAACUAUUUAUCUUUAUUGAAAGAUACAAGUUAAAGAAUCGUUCAAGGGGGCAAUUUUCCAUCUUGUCUUUUUGAAAAAACGCUAUCACAUUGUAUAGGCAUGAUAGGUUCAAAUUUGUCAUUAAAUUUAUGAUUGAUUUCCCUUUUAUUCAAGCCAAAUAUUGUUUUAAUUAUCAAAUUCUACUUAUAUUUGGUUAAUUGUACUAAUUGUAGGGCGGUAGAGCAAAAGUUGCUAAAAAUAGGUGAUUUUCUGCAAAUUGGUUGUCAAGGCUGAAGGAUUUGGGAUUCGCAUGUUCAAGGCCUGUUUCCAAGUUUGAUUCAAACUCUGGACAGUUUUAGAGGAAGAUUUGGAAGAUUUGAAAUUUCAUUAUUAGUUUUAUGGUUGAAUUAGGAAUCUUGGAAUAAUUUCUUUUGUGAUUUAUUUUUCUAUUUAGGAGACUAGUUGUUAUUUAGUAGUAGACUUCAAUUAGAAAACAAAGAGAAAAAGAAGGCCGGAAUCCCGCUUGAUUAAUACCUUGGCCAGGGAACAAUCUCGGUGGGGAGGACGGCCACUUAGCCUCUCAAUUCAUCUUGCUUUUCGUUAGUUUGAGAGGAAAACCAAUUGCAACUAGAUUCAAUGGAGUCUGGCAGAAUUUCUUCUAGGAUGCGUAGCUAAAUCCUCAAUUUUUAGUCGAAGGUCAAUUUGAAAAUUCGGUUCCAAAUAUCUGUGAAAUCGAAUUAUUUUACUUAUUUCUUUUAUUUAUUGGUAUUCGCACGUUUUCUGAUUUAACUUUUUAUGAUUGUUUUGUUAUUUGAAUGUCAAGGGUCCGAUAUUCGAAUUAACUUAAUAAUCUACUGCCAAAUUAACCGGUUAAAUCCGUAAUUGUUUGAUUGAUUAAUAUCAGUGGCGACUAGCGUGAUUGGUCCCAUGUUAGGAAAACGUCUGAUCUAAUUUAAACAAACCGUCGUAGCGUGUUUGUUGAUUAGGGUUGGACUUUUCUAAUUCUUAAUUCAAUUGAGAAAUUAAAUCUCCCGGUCGUACCUAAGAUUAUUUUUUUGUUAGCGAAAUAGUUAAUGGUCGUACCUUGACUAUCGAAAAAGUAAGGAAGAGUUGAUUGUUUAUCGCGUGUACGACAACUAUAAUCAAUCUAUUAAUGAGUAAUUGAAUUAUCUUUGCAUCAGUAAUCAGUUGAAUGGACCGUGUCUGAAAAGUUGUACCUUUGGCUAGAGUCUUAUCUGUUGUUGAUUCAUUCAUAUCUAUCUUCAUGCGUUGUUUUAAUUUAGUUAAUUAGUUAUUUUUAUAAAAACCCCUCAUCUCUGGACUCUAAAAGAAAUAAAUUAUUUCUAGUUCCUGUGGAUUCGAUCCUACUCACCGCUAUAUACAAAAUUUGUAUUUUUUUGAAUAAAUAAUUAUUAUUACACAGGCUUGACACCUGUCAAGGCAAAAUUUCCUUAACUUCAUCAUCUGUAGACGUAAACUUUCUACGGGUGAUAUAAUAUAAGGAAAUUUUGCCUAUACGAUGUGAUAGCAUUUUUUCAAAAAAGACAAGAUGGAAAAUUGCUCCCUUGAACGGAAAAAAUCAUGAUCUUUCCUCAAACUAGUCUACUAGUCAAUUCUUUACAAAAGAAUACUCGCUCCUAAACAUAGCCUGUUCAUCUACACUGUCCCGCAGAAUUCUAGAAAGUUAGGCAAAACUAGACAAGUUGACAGGUAUAAUCAUACCCAAGAUCAGGAACAAGCAGUUGCACAUUUCAAAAUUCGCUGCUGCAACAGCUAAUUUGAUGACUUACAACACUACACGGUCAAACUUUGAAUGGCAAUGGAUCUUUUGUUGUACGUCAUGAUGUAAUUUUCAUGUUACAUACAUUAAUAGGUUGAUAUCUAUAUUCUUUAAAUUAUCAUGAUAAUACCCUUAAUUAGAUUUAACUGAUAAAAAGAACACGUGUUAAUAUACAAAAGUGUGUAACGUGAAUGUUACAUUACUGUAUUGCAGAAGACCUAUAGUCUCUUCAUAUCUCUUCCUGCACGUAUCAAUUCGUUUCCUCUAGAUAAUAAUCUCCCAACUCGUUUCUUUACAAAUGCACCUUUUAUGUUUUAUUACCUCCAAAAGCCUUUACAGGGUCUUUACCCUAAAAAUCAAUUCACCGACUCGCAUUUGAUGUCAGAAAUUCUUAAGACGAAUUCUACUUUACUCAAAGAUUGACUGUUAAUAAUGAGACAGCGACCAUUUUGUAUUAUUAGACCGUCCUUCUUGAUAGGUAAAAGAAAUAGAGAGGAAAGUGGGUCCGUAUAUGGUCUUUUAUUCAUAGAUAAUACAACAUUACGCCAUCGAGCAUUCACACAAUAUUUCAAAGUCAUAGCAUGCCUAAGGCCCUGUUUGAUAGCUCAAUUUCGUAAUUAAAUUUAAUAGAUUCAAAUUUUAACACAUUUAAAUCAUUUGAUAACAAAAAAUUGAAUAUUUAAAUUAAUUAAGUAACACUGAACUUUCUAAACAAAACUUGCUUUCAAAAUUAAGUGAUAAGUUAUUCACUUAUCUUUGAAUGUGAUAUGCACUCAAAUAUAUUAAAUUUAAUAAUUUAAUGGAUUCAGAUUUCAGAUUUCAGUUUUAUUACACACCCUAAGUUGCAAAAUAAUACCAAAACUUGUUAUUAUAUAGCUUGAGAUUCAAAAAUUUAGAGCAUAAUUCUCAACCUAACACAAUCGAAUAAUGAAUAUUCACGAUUGUUUCAAAGUACAAUUUGAGGACAACCCAUUCCAACGCGUACACGAUUUUUAACUUUUCUAAAGUUGUUGAGAGCUGUUAAAAGAGAUUUACCAUGUUUACAUCUUCCAAGUCUUGGAAGUGAAAAAUGAAGCCACUGAGUGCUAUAAAAAGGGGGCUAGAGGCUGCCUAGAAGCAUAUCAGCCUAAAACAAGAAUUUGUAGUAACAAUGGGGAGCAAAGCAAAAGCAACGGGGUCUAGGCUGACUCCUCUUCUUACCACUGUUUUAGUGGUAUUUGUCGCCCUUGGCUUGCCCUUGGAAACUGCAGCUGAUUAUUACAAGUAUUCAUCUCCUCCUCCUCCUCCUUACCACUAUUCUUCACCACCACCUCCAGUGUAUUCACCUCCACCAACCCCUGCUUAUAAGUUACCCCCACCAUCUCCUCCAGUUUACAAGUCCUCACCACCACCUUACCACUACUCACCACCUCCGGUGUAUUUACCUCCACCAUCUCCAGUUUACAAGUCACCACCACUACCCCCUCCGGUAUACAACUCCCCGCCUCCACCAGUGUACAAAUACAAGUCCCCACCACCACCUCCUCCAGUUUACAAAUCUCCAUCGCCACCAGUUUACAAAUACAAGUCACUCCCACCACCUCCUCCGGUAUACAAGUCUCCUCCGCCACCUGUUUACGAGUACAAGUCUCCUCCACCACCUCCUCCAGUGUACAAGUCCCCACCACCUCCAGUUUACAAGUACAACUCACCUCCACCUCCUCCCCCAGUUUACCUGUCUCCACCUCCACCCUAUCAUCACUACUACGGUUCUCCUUCUCCUCACCACUACUAAGCAAGUGCAUAAGUUUUGAGGUAAUAAUACCUAUCCAAAACUUUAUCAACACAAACUGCCAUGUAUAUUAUCAUGCUAAGGACGUACACUUGAUCCAUGAAAAUGACUAGUAGAAGAUUUUUUUUAAGAACCAAAGAAAUACAUUAUUUUUUCGGUCUGUUUUCAAGAAUUUGAGCAGUAUACAGAUUAAAGAGUGUUUUUUUUUUUGUAAACUUGCUUGUCAACUUAAAAAUGCACAUAGCUGAAAGCCAACUGAAUAUUUGCAGGCAAAGGAGAAGGCAAUCGGUGUUUGAGACCUUCAAGAAGAUGUAGAAGAAUAAGAAUAAAAGCCCAAUGCGAGGAUGAUUCCAAGUUUCUACGUUACCAUUUCUACAUCUAAAUUGACUUUAGCUCCUGAGUUCCAUGUUUAUGGGGUUUGUACCGUUUUACGUACCAUGCAGUACAUGCUUGCAAGGUUUUCUGUCCUGUUGGCAAACUGCAGGUCCAUAUAAUAAAUGAAUACUAUUUACAUUACGACACUUUUCUCUUUUUCUCUUAUAUUUUGUCUUUAAUAUUGUUGAUCAUUUUUUUUUUAUCAAAAGCAUCAAAUGCUUAGGUAAUUUGGUCUAAUGCUAAUUGUUUUACUUUUAUUUUUCACCUACACCCCUUUUCAACUCAAAGGAUGCUAUAGUUUGUGAUAAUUGUUUAAGACCGAAGCAUGAUACUAAUAAAUAUCUCAUUGAAAGUCAAGGAAACUAACAUUAGGAAAAGUUUAAAUCUUGAUUUGAUGAAACUAUUUAUUCGUGGAAUUUAGAGAUACAAAACUCAAAUUGUGACGGUGUUGUUGCUAAAUUAUUAAGGACAUUAUCACCAUUAUUUUUCCCUGAUCACUAGUUUCAACUGCAAUGAUCUCAAUCUUUUUGUGACUAAUUCUUUCCUUAAUAAUUUAUAAAGACAAAACUCACAAAGAAUAUGUGACUAAUUCUUUCCUUUCGUCUUCUAAAGAAAAUGCCAACUGUUAGUUUAUCAAGGGGAAAAAGGAUCGACAUCAGUUAUUAUUGAAACUAGUAAGGAAUAAAUAAUGGUGAUAAUGUCCUUAAUAAUUUAACAACAGCACCAUCAGAAUUUGACUUUGAGCUUCGGUCUUAAACAAUGAUCACAAACUACAGCAUCCUUUGAGUUGAAAAAGGAAGUAGGUGAAAAGAAAAGUAAAAAAUACAAUUAGCAUUCCCUCAAAUUGUAGAAAGUUAGGUAGCAUUAUAGACAAGUUGAUAGCGGCAAUUUUACAUUUCAAACUUCACCUAUUCAAUAACUAAUUCGAUGGCUUGCUACAUGGUCAAUCUUUGGACCCCUUCCUGCCUCCAGAUAUCCCUUUCCUCAAUCAGGGGCUUCUACAAUUACCAGUUUCAAUUGUAUGGUAUAGUGUAAAUAUCAACAAAUUAGAUGUAGAUGCUAACAUAAUAAAUGUGAAUGCUAAGACAGCAACAUACAAUCGAACCUGCAAUUGUAUGAACCCCAAUCUCGCUUCCUAGUCCACCAUCUUUCUCUAGGUAAUAAUCUCCCUUCUAAUUUAUUCACAAAAUGCACCUUUCAUCACCUCCAAUAGCGUCGACAUGAUCUUUACCCUAGAAGACUAUUCACCGACUCUCAAUUGACGUCAGAAAAUCUAAGAGUAAUUCUACUUUACCCUAAGAUUGAUAUCAACAAGACAAGGACAAUUUAGAAUUAUUACACGCCUCUUCUUAAUAGGAAAAAGAAAUAGAGAAGAAAGUCAGGCCAGGUCUAAUUUCUUUUCAAAGGCAAUACAACAUUACGAAAUCAAGCAUUCAUUCAUACAAAUAUUUCAUAGUCACCGGUUUGCUGAGUAGAAAAAUUUAGACAAAAACUUAAUAUUAUAUUGUUUAAGAGUUAACAAUUUAGAGCUUAAUCUCCUUGUACUUUGGAGUUAACAAUUUAGAGCUUAAUCUCCUUGUACUUUGGACUAAACUUGAACGUGAAAGGAAAUCCCAAAACCAUAUUGGGCAUGAAUUCACACUUAAUAUACCCAAUAAAAGAUGGCGACUGGUGAAAGGCAGUGGAGACUGGUGGAGAGAUUUGAGGAAUAGAAGCAGACGGAAAAGCAACAAAUUUUUGCCGAAAAACGGUCACUUUCAUGGUUAAUUUUGCUACUCUCCAAUUGUACUUGACCAAUUACAACAAUUUCAUGGAGUUUGAUACGUGAAAAGAAUUUUUUAUAAAUUUUAUUUUGAUCCAUAAUGUUAUCUUUACAUAUAUAAAACAUUUUACAAUUUUGAUUUUGGCGCAGCUAACUUUUGGUUAACAAAAAUGCUCAUGUUUAAAAAACCAGAAAUAAAACAAAACAAGAAACAAAAGAAAUAAGAGGGUAGCAUAGACAUUUUGGAUUUUUCCGUUAAUUUGGAUGAUUUCCACCCACGUUCUAAUUUAAUCCAAAACACAAAGGAAUUACGUAGAGGUUUUAAAUAAUGAGGGAGCUUCAUGAUCGAACCCCAAACCACAAGGCGAUUUACUAUAUUUUACUCUUAAAUUUUGGUUUCAUCUCAUAGCAUACAAGAGUUCUAUUUCACUAUCUGUAGACAAAGACUUUCUAUGGUUGAUGUACCAUAGGAAAAAAUCUGCCUAUACAACGUGAUAGCAUUUUUUCAAAAACACAAGAUGGAAAAUUGCCCCUUAAACGGGGAAAUUCAUGAUCUUUCGUCGAACAAAGAAUACUCACGCCUAUUCAAGAUGGAAAAUUGCCCCCUUAAACGUCUAUUUGUCAAUUCUUGAAAAAAGAAUACUCACGCCUAAAACACGGCCUCUUCAUCUGCAGAAUUCUAAAAAGUUAGGUAAACUCUAUAAACAAGUUGAUAGGUACAAUCGUACCCAAGAUCAAGUACAGAUAGUUGUACAUUAACUGCUGCAAUAACUAAUCUGAUGACUUAUAAACAUAUCAUGGUCAAUCGUUGAAUGGUAAUGAGUCUUUUGUUAUGCAUUAGUAUUAGUGUGUACACUCUAAUAGAUUGAUACUUAUACUCUUUAAAUUAUCAUAAUAAUACCCUUAAUUAACUUUAACUCUUAAAAAGAAUACAUGUUAAUACACGAGUGUGUGUAACCUGAAUUGUUACUUAUAAAUUAGUGUGUAAUAGAUAGGGAUGGCAAUGGGGGCGGGUGCCCGCGGGGGGCUCUCGGGGCGGGGGUUGGGGCGGGGGGGAAUUUUUUCCCCCCGUUUAGAAAUGGGGCAGGGGACGGGGGAGUAUACCCCCGCCCCAUCCCCCGCAAAAAAAAAAUUAUAUAUAAUAUGUAAUUUAAUUAGUUAUAAACUUAUGAUAAUGAUAUUAUUAGUUAGAUGUAUUAUAUAAUGUAUAUUAGUGUAUGUAAUAUAAUUAAUAUUAUCAAUUAUAUGAAUAAUUAGACAUGUCUACUAAUAGAAUUUAUGAAUUAGUUAUACUAAAUUUACUAAUACAUUUAUACUAAAUUUCUAAUUACACUUAAUAGAAUAACACUUUUUUCUAAAACAAAAAAGCACAAACACAAUAAUGAAUUAGUGAUUGUAUGAUAGGGUGUAAUUUUACUAUUUAUUUUAUUAUUAAUUUCCCCUAUCACCUGACCUGAUGUGGAUUAAUUGCUGGAUUCUGCUCACUUUUAGUACUUUGUAUUUAUUUCAGGGAGUAGAACGGAAAUUUGAUAACAGGUGCUAAUUUGGCAGAAAAAGAGUCCAGAUGAUAGAGCUUGCCCCAAGGGCAUUUUUGGAAAGGAGAACUUGUGCCCAUCUUGGUAAUUUGGGAGAAAAGGGAAACAGACAAAAUGGGUCUAACAUGGAUUGGAAGCGGCCGCACAGUAGCAGGGAAGAGGGCAGACGUAAAAGCAAUUGCAGGGGGGAAAAGGAGUUUUUUUAGUUUUUAGCUUAGCAUCUGAUUUUCCCUGGGAGACUUUUGUUAAAGAUUUCCUUUUGGCUGAUAUUACGCAUGGCAGAUGGCUUUUAACUUAUUCCUCCAUCUUUGACUUUUCUUCUUUAGCUUGUGGCAGUGGAUUGCUACUUACGAAUGUCAGCACUUAGCCAUUCGUGGCUUUUGAUCUUUUCUUCCUUAGAAAUUCUGAGUAACCUCUUUUCCUUUGUGCGCCAGACGAAGUGAAAACUAUAAACUUUUGUAGUUUUUCUAUUCAUUCAAUAUAUUGAGACGAGUUGGAUUCUACCAAAUUUCAACGGACAUGGCCGCUGGUUUCUCUUCAAUUUUAUAUGGGCUUUGUUCAUCCAACAUGAACUAAUUUCACCACUCUAGUCAAGGAGCAACGAAGGCUCUGAUUUGCCUAAAAAUUGUGAGAUCGUUUUAAUUUAAUCUUUUCCUUUUAUUUAUUGGUAUCCGCACAUUUCUUGAUUGCUAUGCUUAUGGUUAUUUAAUUAAUUGAUUGUCUUGGAUCCAGAUAAUUAAUUGAUCUGAUAGCCUAUUGUCAAUUAGGGCAUUUAAAUCCGUAAUUGUUUAAUUGUCCUGAAAUAGUGACAACUGGCACGAUUAGAUUCGUGCCAGGGGGGAUAUGCGGGCUAAUCUAAAAUAACCCUGGUAGUGUGUUAUUUGGUUAGAAUAGGGCUCCUCUAAUACUAAGGCAAUUGGGGAAUUAAAUUCUACGGGCGUACCUAGGAUUAUUUCUUAAUUAGAGCAGUGAUUAACGGGCGUACCUUGAUCACCGACACAGUAAGGAGGGGUUGACCGUCAUCGCUUGUUUGGCAGUUAUAACCUAUUUAUCAGUAAAUAAUUGGGAUUGCCUUGCAUCAAUGAUCAAUUAGGUGAACCAUUGUUGAAGUUACUUCUUGGUUAGAUCUUUAGUUAAUAUUACCUUGAUUUUGGUGAAUUGCCAUUUGAUUUUUAGUUGCCUACUUUAUUUUAUUUUUAAUUGUUUCCUUGCUUUAAUUGAGUUAGGCCUUUAAUUAUUGUUAUUCUAAGUUUAGUGAAUUGUGGUUUAAUUCCUAAUUAGUUAUUUAUUUUUACUUUCUUAUUUGAAUUUAUUUGCUUGUUAUCAUUCCUACGAAAUCACCCCCCUGUGUUACUUUGGAUUUCUUAAGAAACAAAUAUACCCAAUCCCUGUGGAUACGACCCUACUUGCUCUGUUCACGAAUUCAUAAUUAUUUGUGAAAAGAAAUAACCAUUCCACUCGGGUAUAUCGGAUCAAGCAAAUUCUUCGGGAACAGGGUGAAUCAAGUAACCCAAUGCACACCUAGAGUCCCUGCUCCAGUACUUGGAAUUGGGUUUUGGUCAUUUUAACUGGCAAUUAGGUUUAAUUUUAUUAUUGCACAGGCUGACGACCCUGUCAAUUUUUGGCGCCGUUGCCGGGGACUGGCGUUAUUAUUUGUUUCUUUUUAAAUUCAUUCUUUGUCCUAAUUUUCUGGUUUUCUUCUAGUGUAUGCCUCGAUCUUCUCGUACAGGUAAUUUGAUUUUUGACCCUGAGGUAGAGAAGACCGCAUGUAGAACGAGAAAGGAAACCAGACAGCUCAGAGAAGAGCACUCCAGUGCUACAUCUCAGAGACCCGAGUCAGAAGUUGAACUAACAGAUUCGUUUGGUAACACUUCGAGUGACUCUGACCAGGAGGAAGACACCAUGGCUAAUGCACGAACAUUAAGGGAGUUGGCUGCUCCUGAUUUAACUCAGCAGCCUUUAUGCAUUACUUUCCCCACUUUAAAUGAUAACAUUCCAUUUGAACUAAAAUCUGGUCUGAUUCAGCUUUUACCCUCUUUUCAUGGUUUACCAGGUGAAGAGCCGUAUAAGCAUCUGCAGGAGUUUGAUGUCGUGUGUAAUAGUAUGAAACCCUCGGGAAUCACAGAAGAGCAGAUAAAAAUGAGGGCAUUCCUCUUCUCCUUGAAAGAUUCUGCGAAGGACUGGCUGUACUACCUGUCACCAGGUAGCAUCACCACGUGGGACCAAUUGAAGAAAAAAUUUUUGGAUAAAUAUUUUCCUGCGUCCAGGGCUGCAAGUCUAAGGAAAGAAAUUUGUGGGAUCAAGCAGCAUCCAGGGAAGUCACUUUAUGAGUAUUGGGAACGGUAUAAGAACUUGUUGCGCAGGUGCCCCCAACACCAAAUAAGUGAGCAAUUGAUCAUACAGUAUUUUUAUGAGGGGCUCCUUUUUAGAGACAGGAGCAUCAUUGAUGCCAGGGGGGAGGGUUGGGAUGGGUGGUACGGGGGGAGGGAGUGUAAGCAAGAGGUCUCGGGUUCGAGUCCUCCCGCUUACACACAAAAAAAAAGAUGCUGCAAGUGGAGGGGCACUGGUAAACAAAACCCCUCAGGAAGCACGGGAGUUAAUAGAGGGGAUGGCAGAGAAUUCACAACAAUUCAGUACAAGAGAGGAUGUCCCAAUACGUAAGGUGAAUGAGGUAGAGACACCCUCUAUGCAGCAGCAGCUAACUGAGUUGACCGCGUUUGUUAGGCAACUGGCUGUGAGAAAUGCAUCACAAGCCAGGGUGUGCGGGAUUUGCACUGGUAUGGGUCAUUCUGCAGACAUGUGCCCAAUGAUUCAGGAAGAAACUGCAGAACAGGUGAACAUGGCUGACCACGCGCCCGCGCCAAGGAAGCAGUACGACCCUUACUCAAGCACCUACAACCCCGGGUGGAGAGAUCAUCCCAACCUCAGUUAUGGAGAAAAUAGGCAGCCCAACAUUACACCGAACAGGCAGUCUAACUUUGUGCCAAAUAGGCCACCAGGGUACCAGCAGCAAUAUCAACCCCGACCACCUCCGUCCCCAAGCUCUGGCCCAUCUUUGGAGGAGAUGAUGAAACAAAUGAUGACAACUAUGGCUCAAAAUCAGCAAAUGACGGAGGCAACCAUUAUGCAAAAUCAGCAAAGGACGGACUCCGAAAUGAAGGAUAUAAGGAAUCAGAUAAGUCAAAUGGUCACAACAAUCAACCGUUUGGAUUCCCAGAACCAAGGUAAAUUGCCAUUUCAGCCCGAAUUAAAUUCGAAGAACGUGAGCGCAAUGACCCUAAGGAGCGGGAAAGAAAUUCAGGGGUCUGAACCUGUGAUCCCUAAGGAUAAGGAUGAGGAAAAGAUCGAAAAUGAGCUUGAAAGGGAGGACAGCAAUGGUGCAGAUCUAAAGGUACUUCCUGACCCAAUAAUUACAGCUAAAACUAACCCGCCUCCUUUUCCUAGCAGGUUGGAAAAAUCGAAAAAAGAGGAUAAGGAGAAGGAGAUCUUGGAGGUUUUUCGCAAGGUUGAGAUAAAUAUCCCCCUCUUAGACGCAAUCAGACAAGUACCAAAAUAUGCCAAGUUCCUAAGGGACUUGUGUGUCAACCGAAGGCAGUUGAGGGAAGAUGAACGGGUUAUUGUUGGGGAGAAUGUGUCAGCAGUCCUGCAGAGAAAGCUCCCACCAAAGUGCGGGGACCCAGGUAUGUUUACUAUUCCCUGUAGGAUAGGUAAUACUGUGAUAGAAGGGCCAUGUUGGAUCUGGGAGCAUCAAUUAAUCUCAUACCUAAAUCUAUCUAUGCUUCUCUAAAAUUAGGUCCAUUAAAAGAAACUGGAAUAAUCAUUCAAUUAGUUGACCGAACUAAUGCAUAUCCUGAUGGGUUGGUUGAAGAUGUGUUGGUAAAAGUUAAUGAUUUGAUGUUUCCAGCUGAUUUUUAUGUACUUGAUAUGGAUGAUGAUCACUCCCCUGAUCCCUCACCUCUGUUAUUGGGUAGACCCUUUAUGAGCACAGCACAGACGAAAAUUGAUGUUAAUAAGGGUAUCUUGUUCAUGGAGUUUGAUGGGAAAAUUGUGCAUUUCAAUAUCUUUGAUACUAUGAAAUAUCCCUCAAACUCCAACUUUAGCACAGUUUUCUCUGUGAGUGCUAUUGACCCUGUAGUGCAGGAAGUGUUUGAAACUGAUGGCAGGGAUGAGUUGGAGGUGGCUUUGACCAAGCACCUCGAGUUGGAGACAACUCCUGAGGUGGAAUGGAGCGAGGACCUAAAAUGCACAAUAGGUGCAUUACACUCAUUGCAGUCCACCACGAAAAGGUAUGAAGUCUUACCUAUUUUUACUCCCGAACCUCACCAGAGGGUGUUGCCAUCUGUGGUGCAGGCACCUGUACUAGAAUUUAAACCUCUAUCAGAGCACCUGAAAUAUGCAUAUCUGGGUGAUAAUGAGACACUCCCGGUGAUUAUCUCAUCGACACUGUCAAAAAUCCAGGAGGAGAAACUGAUCCGGGUCCUUAGAGAGCAUAAAGAGGCGAUAGGUUGGACAAUCGCAGAUAUUAAGGGGAUCAGCUCGGCCAUCUGUAUGCACCGGAUUAGACUAGAAGAGGAUGCCAAACCUGUUAGGCAGGCUCAAAGGAGGCUCAACCCCCUAAUGAUGGAAGUUGUAAAGAAAGAAAUUUUAAAAUUGCUAGAUGUGGGGAUUAUUUUUGCAAUAUCAGAUAGCCCUUGGGUAAGCCCGAUCCAGGUAGUCCCAAAGAAGGCAGGGGUGACGGUGGAGGCAAACCAAACGGGUGAGCUCGUGCCAGUGCGCAAACCCACUGGAUGGAGGCAGUGUAUAGACUACCGUAGGCUAAACGCCGUCACCAAAAAGGACCAUUUCCCUCUCCCUUUCAUUGACCAAAUGGUUGAACGUUUAGCUUGUAGAGCUUAUUAUUGCUUUUUGGAUGGAUUUUCAGGAUACUUUCAGAUAGCAAUUGCUCCAGAGGAUCAAGAGAAGACAACCUUCACGUGCCCGUUCGGGACCUUUGCUUAUAGACGAAUGCCAUUUGCGUUGUGCAAUGCACCUGCAACAUUCCAGAGGUGUAUGGUAAGUAUUUUUUCUGAAUAUGUGGAGAAAAUUAUUGAAGUUUUCAUGGACGAUUUCAGUGUGUAUGGUGAUAGUUUUGAUACGUGUUUAGAUAAUCUGAAAUUGAUCCUGAUAAGGUGUAUAGAGACUAAUCUUGUGCUUAAUUGGGAAAAAUGUCAUUUUAUGGUUGAGCACGGGAUAGUCCUGGGUCAUAUUGUAUCGUCUAAGGGCAUAGAAGUUGACAAGGCUAAAAUAGAUAUUAUUUUUGCAUUACCUUACCUCGCGAGUGUGCGGAAGGUGCGUUCUUUUCUUGGACAUGCAGGUUUUUAUCGAAUGUUCAUCAAGGAUUUUUCAAAAAUUGGAGCCCCGUUAUUCCAACUCCUACAAAAGGAUGUGACCUUCGAAUUCGAUGAUAAGUGUGAGGAAGCCUUCAACAAGUUGAAAGAAUUGUUGACCUCACCCCCAAUUAUCCAGCCCCCUGAUUGGAGUCUACCAUUUGAGAUCAUGUGCGAUGCCAGUGAUCAUGCCGUAGGGGCUGUAUUGGGGCAAAGAGUAGGGAAGGCAGCUCACGUCAUCUACUAUGCAUCCCGAGCAUUGAAUGGAGCCCAAUUGAAUUACUCCACUACUGAAAAGAAGCUUCUUGCAGUUAUUUUUGCUUUAGAAAAAUUCAGGUCAUAUUUGCUAGGUGCUAAAGUAAUUGUAUUUUCUGACCAUGCAGCAUUAAGGUACCUAAUGACCAAGAAAGAUGCCAAACUGAGGCUCAUUAGGUGGAUAUUGCUACUGCAGGAAUUUGACCUGGAGAUACGGGAUAAAAGGGGCUCAGAGAAUUUAGUAGCUGACCAUCUGAGUCGUAUACCCGUUGGAGAGGAUAAUGAACCAUUGAGGGAUGCGUUCCCUGAAGAGCACUUAUUUUCUUUAAAUUCUCAGUUGCCUUUGUAUGCCGAUCUGGUCAAUUAUUUGGUAACUGGUAAUUUUCCUGCAGGUUGACCAAAAUCGAAGAGGGAUAAAUUGAAGAGCGACGCCAAGUAUUUUAUUUGGGACGACCCGUACCUAUGGAAGAGGUGUGCAGAUCAAGUGAUGCGGAGAUGUGUAAGUGAAAUGGAAUUUCAAUCGAUUUUAGCUUUUUGUCAUACUUUUGCCUGUGGAGGUCAUUUGGACCCAAGAGAACUGCUCAUAAGGUUUUAGAAAGUGGAUUUUAUUGGCCUUCAUUGUUUAAGGAUGCCUAUGUGUUUUGUAAGUCAUGUGAUCGCUGUCAAAGGGUAGGUAAUAUACCCCGUAGAGAUCAAAUGCCCCAAGUCCCGUUGAUUUUUAUUGAAAUUUUUGAUGUCUGGGGUAUAGAUUUCAUGGGGUCUUUUCCUACUUCAUUUGGUUUUUUAUAUAUUUUGCUGGCAGUUGAUUAUGUGUCUAAAUGGGUGGAGGCUAAGGCCACUCGAACUAAUGACUCGAAAGUAGUUGCAAAUUUUGUCAGGUCUAAUAUUUUUGUGCGAUUUGGAAUGCCUAGUGCUAUUGUCAGUGAUAGGGGAACGCACUUUUGCAACAAAAUCAUAGCUGCGUUGUUUCGCAAGUAUGGUGUACUCCAAUGGGUCUCAACGUCGUACCACCCUCAGACCAAUGGUCAAGCGGAGGUGUCGAAUCGAGAGAUCAAGUCUAUCUUGGAGAAAAUGGUGCGCCCCGAUAGGAAAGACUCGAGUCAAAGGCUGGAGGACGCACUUUGGGCCUAUCGGACGGCGUACAAGACUCCUAUAGGGAUGUCACCGUACAGGUUGGUAUUUGGGAAGCCGUGUCACCUUCCAGUGGAGUUUGAGCACAAAGCUUUUUGGGCGAUAAAGUAAUGCAACAUGAAUUUAGAGGAAGCCGGUGCCCAACGAAAGUUGGAUUUGCAAGAAUUAGAAGAGAUCCGGAACGAGGCUUACGAAAAUGCACUAAUUUAUAAGGAGAGAAGCCGGAUAUUUCAUGAUCAACAAAUUUCAAGAAAAUCCUUUGAAGUUGGUCAGAAGGUCCUACUAUACCAAUCCAGGCUCAAGCUAUUCCCAGGUAAACUACGUUCCCGUUGGAUUGGACCUUUUCUUGUUACUCAUGUUUUUCCAUAUGGUGCAGUUGAAAUCCGGAGCGCUAAAACAGACAACAAAUUUGUGGUGAAUGGACACCGUCUCAAGCAUUACUACGAAGGAUUUUCAGGUGAAAAGGUGGAGACAAUAAGUCUAGACGCGCCACCGUGUCCUAAUCAGUGACAUUUUACUAUGUCUAGCCAAAGACAUUAAAGACAGGCGCUCAUUGGGAGGCAACCCAAUUGUCCCUUUUAAUUAUUUGUUUGAUUUCGUGUGAUAGUUUAAAUAUGUUUUCCUUGAAUUCGACUGAUUUUGGGUUUCAGUUUUCGUUUUUGCUGAAUUGUAGGUGACCUUCAGUCUUGACGCGCCCGCGUGAUGACAUGCAGGAAGCUCACGAUCAGAAUCGUCUGAAAGCUCUCUUGCCCUUUUGACGCACCCGCGUGAUGACGUGCAGGAAGCUCACGAUCAGAAUCGUCUGAAAGCUCUCUUGCCCUCUUGACGUGCCCGCGUCACGUUCGCAGGAAAGGUACGGGUUUCAAAAAUUUAAAGAAAAAAUAAUAAUAAUAAUAAUUUAAAAUUUUGAAAUUAACUUCCGUAAAAAAAAAAAAGAAGAAAAAAAAUUUCACCGUGGCUUAAAUAGAGCCUAAAGAAGAGAAAAAAGAAACAAUUUCUUUCUUUUUUUUUUCUUUUUCUUCUUUCUUCCUUCUUUCUUUCUUUCUUCUUUCUCUUUUCCCUCUCUCUUCUCCCCUGUUUCUUCUCCCCUGUCCGUCGCCCGUGCGCCCCAUCGCUGCUCCACCUCCACACGCACGCCGACGCUGCGAGCCACCUGCGACCCCAGCGCCAGAUCUGGACCAUCGCCGAAACCCGCAGCCUCCGCCACCUCCACCUGAGCUCUGCCUCGCGCGCAACCCAGCUGCUCUGCGCCCGAAGCUCCACCGCCGCCACAGCCUCCCCACGCAGCUCCCUGCUCACGCGGCCACAAGCCCAUUGGAAACGGGACAGAGACUGCCGCCGAGCCACUUGCCCGCGUGACCGCCGCUGUUUUCCACCACCUCCCUCACGCGAGCUCUUUCCCUCUCAGCAGCAAUCCACUUCACAGCGCACCCGCUGCGCGCCGUCGCAGCCCUCGCAGCUCCAGCCCGUCUGGUCUAGUCCGCCGCGCGCACCAACCACCCACGGACGCUACCCCCAUCGCUAACCCACGCGGCCUCCACUCCAGUCUGUCCGCCGCCGCUGCUCGUGUCUCCCUUGCGCACCUCACGCCACCCGCUACUGUCCCCUUCCGUUUGGUUAGCAUCCACGGUGGAGGUAAUUGGAGGUUAUUUUCUCAAUUGUGUGACUUCCGCCUGUGAUACUGGUUGCAUUAUUUUUGCUGGGAAUUGCUACUUCUUUUGGGUUGGGUUCAACUGUGCAAUUAAUUGGCCAACUGGAGCCAUUUGUUGGGAUUUUGGGUGAGCUGAAAUACUGCAUUUGUGUGUUACAUUGGGAGGUUUAUUGGGUACAUUCUAACCGCUGUUUUCCAUUGUUACUCUCGCUGGGGUGUCUAUUAAAUUGCGAUUGAAGUAUUUUGGAUAUUGCAUGUUGAGAUUGAGGUUUCAUUGAAUUUGGCCUACGUUCUGCCCCCAGUGGUACUGGUGGGAAUAUUUUCAAUUGAAUUUGUUACCUCUAGUUGGUUGGCUACAUUAUUAUGGUCGAAUUCCUAAGUUGUCGUCAUUGCAUUUGUUGAUCUUGAUUUGGGGCAUUAACCGGCCAACUGGAGCCAUCUGUGCGUUUUUAGGCGCUAUUAUUGGUUUCUUCUCCCUUAACUUUGUCAACUAUAUUUGGUUGGGUAUUUGGUUGACUGCCACGGACUUGUAACUGUGUUUUGCUUCUAAUUGACCAGUUGCACAGCAGUUUUUUUUUAAUUGAUAGGGUGGUUAUACCUCUGGAUAUUUGUAUCCACUGGUUUGAGGACAUGGUGAGACCAAAAUCCUCCUCUAGGUCUAGGACCCCUAGAACCUCGCAAUCCCAACCCCAAGCCUCUACUCUAGUCAAUACCCCUAUAAAUCAACCUACUGCUCCCGGUGUCCGAACCUGGUUAGGUAGGGGUAGAGGUGCCCACGUGGCUUCCGCCACUCACUUGGGAGGGCAUUUGGAAUUCACUAGAGCCGCCGAUCAGCGACGCUAUGCUCAAGCUUGUGAGCGGCGUAUCAUUCCGUGCAAAUGCGCGGACCACAUUACUAUGGUUUUUCUGGGGAUCCAAGGGGAGGUUGAGCGCAUGUACACCGCCAUUGGAUGGCGCCCCUAUCUGGAUAUUUUCCAGCCAGCCUUUGUCGAGUUGACUAGAGAGUUUUACACCACUUUUAAGUUUGAAUUACCGACUAGGUAUACUGUUGCGACUCCCGAUAUCAUUCACUUCCGUCUCAUGGGCCAGGAAUUCAAUUUCUCUAUCACCCAGUUCAAUCUGGCUUUCGGUUUCAUCACUCGGGAGUAUGCAGAGACUAGGGAAUACGGUGAGAGUGCCUGCGAUUUUGUGGAACCUUUCCUUACCGCCUACCGUGAGGUGUGGGAGGACAUGUCUGUGGACAUGCAGCGUUACGAUCCCUCUCGGUCUCGGAGCUCCUUUCUAGAGGACCCGAGUGCUCGGUAUGUUCAGCGGCUUUUAGCAUAUAGCUACUCGGGCAGAAAGAACAGCUUCGGUAUUAUCUCUCGGCCGGAGCUCUUCUUCCUUUGGUGUAUGAAGAAUGGGUUCAAGGUCAAUUUGGGUUGUUGGUUGGCGGCACAGUUCAAGACCGUCAUGGCAAAGAAGAACAAGCCGUUGAUUCUUGGGUCGUAUAUCACGUACUUGGCGGUCCAGCUAGGCGUUCUGAAUCUACAGGAUCACGAUUUGCACUUGGCCUGCGACAUGGAGUAUCUCACUGCUGACCGGCUAGAGAAGAUGGGGGUUCUGGAGCUUGUCGAUGGCCACUACCGAUUUGUGCCCCCGGGACCGCCCCGCGCCCCGCCUCGCUCUUCCUCCACCCAUUCGGCCCCAGUUGGCGGUGAUCCUGGCCCGUCGACAUCCGCUCAGCUCCCUCCACCAGCAGGGGCUGAAGAUUGGCACCAAAUCAGGACGCAGAUUCAGAAUUUGGACGCCCGGAUGAUUAGCAUCGAGAGCAACGUGGCGGCUAUAUCACAGAAUCUGGCGGCAUUCCUGCAGCACUCGGGUUUCCCGCCCCCAAUCCCACCUCACCCUCCACUAUGACCCGGUUUCAGGGAAGUUUGGUUACUUUCUCCCUCACUUUUGUUGUUUUUUGACACAUUGAGGACAAUGUGUCCUAUAGGUGUGGGGGGGUCUAUAGUCUUUCUAGUUUUUAGUAGUUGUUAGUUUUUAGUUUUUUAGUAGUUUUAGUUUUAUUUCUAGUUGCGUAUUUUCUUUCUUUUCUUAGUGCUUAUUCCCCAUGUGAAAAGAAAAAGAAAACAAAAAAAAAGAGAAAAAAAUGUUGGUUUAUUGACUCUAACUCUACUUUUGCCAAGUUUUUUUUAAAUAAAAAUGUAUCGGGUUAAUGUGGUUGGAUCCAGAAUAUCUCCCUGGUGAAUAUCGGAUUGCUUGGCUCUUUUGAUUUCUGUGUUAAUUUCUCUAGGCAUAGGGAAUGACUGUUGGCAUUUUAAUGUGAACUGGUCCAAUAUUGACUCCAGUUCUCUAUGUUUGGCAAUAAUGAGGCGAGCUGUUCCUAUUUUUGGUUCUUAGUGUUGUUAUUAUGUGUUUUUGGCUUUGUUUGGCUGUGAAUAAUCUGGACUGUACUCCGCUAUGAGUUACUACUGAGUAACCGAGGAUCGGCACCUAAAAGUGUCGAUUCUCGCGUCAAAAGGUGGUACUUUAUAUGAGUACGUGGUCGUAUAGCAGUAGGAGCUGAGUAACCGGGCUCCUUCAUCUAAAAAUGUUGGAGUUCGCGUCAAAAGGCCCCGACGGCUAACGACUAAGUCUUUUUGUGUUAAUUAUUAUUGCUUUGAAAAACAAAAAAAAAAAAGAACGAAAAAAGAGAGAAUAAAUAAUAGGAAGGCUUGCCGGUUUAUGGACUUAAUAUGGAGACUUGUGUGAAUAUUUGGACCAUUAGCUAAUAAAUGUUGUGCGCCAUUCCCUUUUCUUAGAGUAGUUAACCUGGAAAUUGAAGGAAUUUGCAGUUUAGGGGCUAACCGGGGGGGAGGCUUCUUGGAUUUUAAUCACCAAUGCUCGAUAUAUGUUUUUCUCUUGAAGAUCUUGGCAAUAUAGGAGAUUGGACAAUGGCCAUCAUCGAAUUUUGGUGUUCGUUUACUAUUCUUAUGCUUGAGGACAAGCAUGGUUUAGGUGUAGGGGGAAUUGAUAGGGUGUAAUUUUACUAUUUAUUUUAUUAUUAAUUUCUCCUAUCACCUGACCUGAUGUGGAUUAAUUGCUGGAUUCUGCUCACUUUUAGUACUUUGUAUUUAUUUCAGGGAGUAGAACGGAAAUUUGAUAACAGGUGCUAAUUUGGCAGAAAAAAGUCCAGAUGAUAGAGCUUGCCCCAAGGGCAUUUUUGGAAAGGAGAACUUGUGCCCAUCUUGGUAAUUUGGGAGAAAAGGGAAACAGACAAAAUGGGUCUAACAUGGAUUGGAAGCGGCCGCACAGUAGCAGGGAAGAGGGCAGACGUAAAAGCAAUUGCAGGGGGGAAAAGGAGUUUUUUUAGUUUUUAGCUUAGCAUCUGAUUUUCCCUGGGAGACUUUUGUUAAAGAUUUCCUUUUGGCUGAUAUUACGCAUGGCAGAUGGCUUUUAACUUAUUCCUCCAUCUUUGACUUUUCUUCUUUAGCUUGUAGUAGUGGAUUGCUACUUACGAAUGUCAGCACUUAGCCAUUCGUGGCUUUUGAUCUUUUCUUCCUUAGAAAUUCUGAGUAGCCUCUUUUCCUUUGUGCGCCAGACGAAGUGAAAACUAUAAACUUUUGUAGUGUUUCUAUUCAUUCAAUAUAUUGAGACGAGUUGGAUUCUACCAAAUUUCAAUGGACAUGGCCGCUGGUUUCUCUUCAAUUUUAUAUGGGCUUUGUUCAUCGAACAUGAACUAAUUUCACCACUCUAGUCAAGGAACAACGAAGACUCUGGUUCGCCUAAAAAUUGUGAGAUCGUUUUAAUUUAAUCUUUUCCUUUUAUUUAUUGGUAUCCGCACAUUUCUUGAUUGCUAUGCUUAUGGUUAUUUAAUUAAUUGAUUGUCUUGGAUCCAGAUAAUUAAUUGAUCUGAUAGCCUAUUGUCAAUUAGGGCAUUUAAAUCCGUAAUUGUUUAAUUGUCCUGAAAUAGUGACAACUGGCACGAUUAGAUUCGUGCCAGGGGGGAUAUGCGGGCUAAUCUAAAAUAACCCUGGUAGUGUGUUAUUUGGUUAGAAUAGGGCUCCUCUAAUAUGUAAGGCAAUUGGGGAAUUAAAUUCUACGGGCGUACCUAGAAUUAUUUCUUAAUUAGAGUAGUGAUUAACGGGCGUACCUUGAUCACCGACACAGUAAGGAGGGGUUGACUGCCAUCGCUUGUUUGGCAGUUAUAACAUAUUUAUCAGUAAAUAAUUGGGAUUGCCUUGCAUCAAUGAUCAAUUAGAUGAACUAUUGCUGAAGUUACUUCUUGGCUAGAUCUUUAGUUAAUAUUACCUUGAUUUUGGUGAAUUGCCAUUUGAUUUUUAGUUGCCUACUUUAUUUUAUUUUUAAUUGUUUCCUUGCUUUAAUUGAGUUAGGCCUUUAAUUAUUGUUAUUCUAAGUUUAGUGAAUUGUGGUUUAAUUCCUAAUUAGUUAUUUAUUUUUACUUUCUUAUUUGAAUUUAUUUGCUUGUUAUCAUUCCUACGAAAUCACCCCCCUGUGUUACUUUGGAUUUCUUAAGAAACAAAUAUACCCAGUCCCUGUGGAUACGACCCUACUUGCCCUGUCCACGAAUUCAUAAUUAUUUGUGAAAAGAAAUAACCAUUCCACUCGGGUAUAUCGGAUCAAGCAAACUCUUCGGGAACAGGGUGAAUCAAGUAACCCAUUGCACACCUAAAAUCCCUGCUCCAGUACUUGGAAUUGGGUUUUGGUCAUUUUAACUGGCAAUUAAGUUUAAUUUUAUUAUUGCACAGGCUGACGACCCUGUCAUUGUAUUUGUACCAAAAGUGAAAACUUAACUAUUUUAGUUGUAUUUAUUUCAUCAUGUUGGAUUGUAUUCAAAUAAUUUUUGUUUGAUUGUUUUUAUAAGUUUCAAUUGUAAAAUUAAAAUGAAUAAUAACUUGAUGAUGUGUUGAUAUUUUAGUACUUGAUUAUUUAUUAAAAUUUAAUUAUAAUAAAAUUUUAUUAACUCAACGAGAAAAAUUUUAUUAAUCCCGUGGGGGCACCCGCGGGGAAAGCGGGGCGGGGCGAGGGGAGUGGGAGGCGGAGGACGGGGCGGGGGCGGGGGAUGGGGGAGGGGUCCCCCGCCCCAACCCCGCCAUCCCCCGUCCCGUUGUCAUCCCUAGUAAUAGACUGGCAAGCAUUGUGGUGGUCAUUGAGCAACUUAUAGGAGAAAUAGUCCUAUAAGCUGUUCAAUGACCAAUCACAACUUGCUAAUUGGAUGACUAAUAUAGCUCUAGCUGUAAUGUUUUAAUUAAAUUACAUCACUAACGUUGGGAUGACUUUUUAACCAAAAAAAAAAAGCCUUAGUUCAAGCUUUUCCCUUUAUUGUGCAUUUUUUAAAGCAUUUGAAAGGCACUGCAAAUCUGUCAUUUUGGACAUUUUAUUAUUGACUAACAAUGAAAGCCGUGGACGUCUACCCAUAACCAACACAAGAUUAAAUUAAUAUUAGAAAAAAUAAUUGAGUAAUUGGAAAAAAAAAAAAAAGAAGAGUCUAAUUUUCAUUGAAACCCACCGACAAACUAUACGUGUCCAUGGCUUUUGAAUAGUGCAUUCAACGUUUAAUUGUAUGGUCCAGUUCAUUGCAGAUUACAUGGAGUAAAGAUUGCGCUCUUUCCUUUUCACCCCUUUUGGAAUCGAUACUGUGGAGAAUUGGGUUUUUCCCUCCUUUUUUUCUUUUCUUUCCUUCUGUGGUUUGCAAAACAUACGUAAAAAUAUGAAAUCCGAAGCAUUCUUUAAUUGGUAUUAAGUAUUGUUGUUGAAAUUAAAAAGAAAAAAGAAAGAACAACAAAAUUCCCAAUCUGGGUUGAUUGUUGAGCUCUAGAUUGGUUGCAUCGUGCUUCCAUAGAAGCAAGAUUUGUAAAAUCGGAAUCCUACAUAGGAUCGAUUUUAGUUUCACAGGAUCGGAUUGUAAAAUCGUAAGAUCCUACCAAAAGCUCUCAAUUGCAAUUAAAGGUUGCAAUUCUUUAAUAAAUUACAAAUAUACCACAAAUAUUUUCAUUUACUUGCAAAAUGGAGCUUCGUAUUUCACAAAUUUACAAAAAAAUUGUAGGAUCGUACGAUCCUACCGAUCCUACGAUCCUACACGAUCCUACCGAUCCUGCUACGAUUCUAUGCGAUCCUACAAAGAUUAAUAUGAUUUGCGACUCUGCAUACGAUCCGGAUCGAUUUUGGUUAUCCGGAUCGUAGGAUCGUAUGAUCCUACGAUCCGGAUCGCGAUUUUGACAACUAUGCAUAGAAGCUCUCUUAGUGUGAUACACUGCUUUCAAUCAGUUUAACACGGGAAAAAAAAAAAGAGAUGAAAAGCAAAUUUGGUGGAGAUAAUUUCAGAAACCUCCCCUGAAGAUUUUGACUAUUCUACUGGUUUCCCUUCAGAUUUUAAAAAUUACACUAAUCUUCCUUGAAGUUAAUUAUCUUGUAACAUUUAAAUUCAAUCAAUAAUUUAAAAAAUGAUAUUAUGAGAGAGAAAAUAAUAUGAUUUUAUCAUUGCCCCCCAUCUUACUACAUUAUUUAAUUAAUUUAAUAGCAACCCACACAUUAAAGAAAAAUAUUAAAAUUUGUUGUUUAUCAUUAAAGAUCAAAUCGCUUAUAACAUCAAAUAAUAGUAUAUUAUUUAUAUUUUUCACUUAAUAUAAUAUCCAAAUUACUCUUUUCAAUUACAUACCCAUUGUUAGAGAAUCAACAACAAAUAACCAAAAAAUUUGCAACCAAAAUAUUACAAAAAAAAUAAACUUUAACAUCAUAAAUAUUCUUAUCAACAUAUUAAAGUUAGUUACUGAAAUUUUUAUGCUGUUAAACUUCACUCUUUUUGAAUACAGAUUUUUUUGAUUAUUUGUUAUUAAUUAUGUUUGAUGAUGGGUUUAUAAUUGAAAAGAACAAUUUGAAACUUACAUUAAGUAAAAUAUAUAGAGUGAUAUACUAUUUUUUAUAACAUAUGUGAUUCAAUCCUUCUUGAUAGGAUUGGUAAUAGAGGUAGAGGGGGGAGUCGGCUGCAUCCGGUCUUCUUUUCAUAGAUAGUACAAUAUUGCGAAAUCAAUCGCAUUCACACAAUAAUAUUUCGAAGUCAAUGCAUGGCUAAGUUGCAUAAAAGUACGAACACUUGUUAUUAUAUAGCUUAAGAUUCAAAACUUUCGAGCAUAACCCUCCACCCAACACAAUUGAAUAAUGAAUAUUCACGAUUGUCAAAUCUGUCAAAGCACAGUUUGAGGACAACCCAUUCCAACCUGCAAAAGAUUUUUUACUUUUCUAAAGUUGUUGAGAGCUGUAAAAAGACUUACCAUGCUUGCAUCCUCCGAGCCUUGGGAGUUAAAAAUGAAGGCACUGAGUGCUAUAAAAAGGGGAAUAGAGGCUGCCUAGAAGCAUAUCAGCCUAAAACAAGAAUUUGUAGUUAAGAUGGGAAGCAAAGCAAAAGCAAUGGGGUCUGGGCUGACUCCUCUUCUUGCCACUGUUUUAGUGGUGUUUGUUGCUCUUGGCUUGCCCUCACAAACUGCAGCUGAUGAUCACUACAAGUAUUCAUCUCCUCCUCCUCCUUACCACUAUCCCUCACCACCACCACCAGUGCAUAUACCUCCACCUCAUCCUGUUUACAAGUACAAAUCUCCACCACCCCCACCACCACACCCAGUUUACAAGUAUAAGUCACCACCACCACCUCCUCAUCCGGUAUACAAGUAUAAGUCUCCUCCGCCACCACCACACCCAGUUUACAAGUACAAGUCACCACCACCACCUCCUCAUCCGGUACCACACCCAGUUUACAAGUAUAAGUCACCUCCACCACCUCCUCAUCCGGUACCCACAGUUUACAAGUAUAAGUCACCACCACCACCUCCUCAUCCGGUAUACAAGUAUAAGUCUCCUCCGCCACCACCACACCCAGUUUACAAGUAUAAGUCACCACCACCACCUCCUCAUCCGGUGCCACACCCAGUUUACCACUACAAGUCACCACCACCACCUCCUCAUCCGGUACCACACCCAGUUUACCACUACAAGUCACCACCACCUCCUCACCCAGUUUACAAAUACGAGUCUCCACCACCACCAGUUUAUAAGUACAAGUCACCACCACCUCCUCCACCAGUUUACAAGUAUAAAUCUCCUCCACCACCACCACCAGUUUACCACUACAAGUCUCCACCACCUCCUCCCCCAGUUUACAAAUACAAGUCUCCACCACCUCCUCACCACUACUAAGCAAUUGCUUCUGAGGUAAUAACACUUGUUCAAUAUACCCACUUCUGCAUGAUAAAGCAUAUCUCUAUCAACACAAACUGUCAUGUCUAUCAUGCUAAGUGCCUUCACUUCAUCCACCAAAAUGACUGCUAGAAAAUUUUUUUUAUGUUACCAAAGAAAGGCAUCAUUUUUUCCCUCUGUUAUCAAGAACUUGUACAGUAUAUAGAUUAAAGAGUAUUUUUUUAACUAGCUUAUCAACUGAGAAAUGCAUAUAGCUGAUAGCCAGCUGAAUAUUUGCAGGCAAAGGAGAAGGAAACCAUGUUUGAGACCUUCUUGAAGAUGUAGAAGCAUAAGAAUAAAAGCCCAAUGUGAAGAUGAUGAUUUCAAGUUUUUCUACGUUACCAUUUCUUUAUCUAAAUUGGUUGUAGCGCCCAAGUUCCUUUGUUUAUGGGAUUUGUAUCGUUUUACGUACCAUGCAGUACAUGUCAUGUUUGUAAGGUUUUCUAUCCUGCCGGCAAACCGCAGGUUCCAUGUGAUAAAUGAAUACUAUUUAUGUUACGACACUUUUCUCUGUUUCUCUUAUAUUUUGUCUUUAAUAUUCUUAAUCAUAUUUUUAACAAAAAUAUUCAAACACUUAGGCAAUCUGGUCUAAUGCUAAUUGUAUGUUUUACUUUUCUUUUUCACCUGCUCCCCUUUUCAACUCAAAAGGAUGCAAUAGUUUGUGAUCACUGUUUAAGACGGAAGCAUGAUACUAAUGAAUAUCUCAUUGAAACUCAAGGAAACUAACAUUGCGAAAAGUGUAAAUCUUGAUUUGAUGCAACUAUUUAUUCGUGGAAUCUAUAGUUACAAAACUCAAAUUCUGACUGCGCCAUUGAUAAAUUAUUAAUGACGCUAUCAUCAUUAUUUAUCCCUAACUAGUUUCGACUACAACUGAACCCAAUAUUUUCCCCAUGAUAAAAGUUUUUGACUAUUUUACUGGCCUCUCUUCAAAUUUUAAAAAUUACACUAAUCUUCAUUGAGAUUAAUUAUCUUGUAACAUUUAAGUCCAAUUAAUAAUUAAAAAAUGAUAUUAUGAGAGAGAAAAUAAUAUAAUUUUAUCAUUGCCCCCCAUCUUGCUAUAUUAUUUAAUUAAUUUAAUAGCAACCCACACAUUAAAGAAAAAUACUAAAAUUUGCUGCUUUUCAUUAAAGAUCAAAUUGCAUAUGCCAUAAAACAUAGUAUAUCAUUCUAUAUGUUUCACUUAAUGUAAGAUCCCAAUUGUUCUUUUCAAUUACAAACCCAUUGUCAAACAUGAUCAAUAACAAAUAAUCAAAAAAUUUGCAACCAAAAUAUUACAAAAAAAAACUUUAACAUCAUAAAUAUUCUUACCACCUCUAGUGCAUUCACCCUCAUAAAAUAAUUCAAGACCCUACUGUCAUAAAAUGACUGAUCAACUCCUGUAAACCUAAUUUGACAACAUUUAAAUGGAGAACUUUAGCUAAAAGAAUUAUGGUCAAGCUAAAGAAAAAACCAGUUAUUUUCCAACAUAUGCAACCAUUGAUCAGGGGAAAAAAAAAAGCAAAAAGACAUCUUCAAUCAUUUAAUAGCUUACAGGGCAAAUUAACCCUUGAGUGAAAACUGGUUGCUCUAGAAUUAAAAUUUUACCUUAGUUACCCAGGCAACUUUUUUGUUGCCUUUUCUUUUUCUUUUUUGGGUAUAUAGCUCCAGUUUUGCCCCCUCUGUCAAGCUUAUAUAAUUAUUAAGAUAAUAAAAGUGCCUUUAAUAGUAUUAAUAUAUCCAUUGACUUGAGCUGUCAUCGAUCGGUUUGGGCUACUUCGAUUCCAUGAGAACAAAUGGUAAUAAAAGUACUCAGAAAAUGGGGAGUCAUGAAACCCUUUUGUUCUAUUCAUUGCUAAGAUGCUUUUCUCUAUAAAGAGACUUCCUAACGAAAAUACUUUGUAGAUUUCUUUACUCCAAGUGGUGCAUGGAAAAUUAAUAUUUUCAAUUAUCAAAUAAAAUUCCCUUUUUUCGGCGUAGAUUUCAUCCAUCCAGCUGUUAACACAUUCUAUAAAUCCGAAUUGACUAAUCUUUUCGUUUCCAUUUUCCAACUUGCGAAUACGGCAUAUAGUGUCUGCUAAACACUAUAUAUUCUCUGCCAAAUAUGAAUACAUAUCACUUUUCUGAGCAAGUGCAGAGUCAUUAUCAUUUUUAUUCCCACCUAACAAAUUAGGGAUAAAAAAGUUAAUAAUCUUUACAUGCUAUCAGGUCACAAGUUAAUAAUCUUUUAAAGAACAUGUUAAAUUAAUUUAUUGGUAUGAAUAGUAGUCAAAGAAGUAUGUUAAAGUUAGUAAUCUUUAAAAUAAUAUGUUAAAAUCAUUCGUACAAAUUAGUCAGAGAAGUAGCAUAAACACCGCGAUGCAAUUAAUACUUUCAAUCUCAAGGUCUCUAUUAUGGAAAUUUGCAUCGGUCAAUAUACACUUGGCAUAAUAUAAUCUCCCAACUCAUUUCUUUACAAAUGCACCUUUAAUCACCACCAAAAGGUGUGGACAUGAUCUUUACCCUAGAAAACUAUUCACCGACAGGCAAAUUGACGUCAGAAAUACUGAGGAAUUCUAGUUUCCUUCGGGUUCAUGCCAUGUUGUAUCCUUCAACUGUAACUCGAUUUCUAAGCUGUAAUUUGUGACAUAAUAGUCCUUAAACUAUGAAACCCUUCUUACUUAAUUACAAUGGUUAAUACAAUGCCCGUGACUAGACAAGUAUGAAGCAACCAUAACAGAAAAAAAAUCCAAAAUUAGAGAAAAGAAAGAAGUUUCGCGACCACCACCAGUUUACAAGUCACCUCCACCACCUCCUCCAGUUUACAAGUCACCUCCACCACCUUACCAUUAUUCCUCACCACCACCUCCAGUGCAUUCACCCCCACCACCACCAGUUUACAAGUCUCCGCCACCACCUUACCAUUAUUCCUCACCACCACCUCCUGUGCAUGCACCUCCACCACCAAUUUACAAGUCACCUCCUCCAGUUUACAAGUCUCCACCACCACCUUACGAUUAUUCCUCACCACCACCUCCAGUGCAUUCACCCCCACCACCACCAAUUUAUAAGUCUCCCCCACCGCCUCCCCCAGUAUAUAAGUCACCACCACCACCUCCUCCAGUAUACAAAUCACCUCCACCACCUCCUCCAGUUGACAAAUCUCCACCACCACCAAUUUAUAAAUACAAGUCUCCUCCACUACCUCCUCCAGUGUACAAGUCAUCACCACCACCUGCUUACAAGUCUCCACCUCCUCCAGUUUACAGUUCCCCACCACCACCAAUCUACAAGUCUCCACCUCCACCCUACCAUUACUACUACAAUUCUCCUCCUCCUCCUCGUCACUACUAAGCAAUUGUAUCCAAGUUUUUGAGGUAAUAACGCUUAACCAAUAAAUUAACUUUCGCAUGAUAAACCUUAUCUCUAUCAAGACAAACUGCCAUGUGUAUCAUGCCAAAUACGUACACCUAGAUCCAUGAAAAUGAAUGGUAGAAAGUUUUCUUAAGAACCAAGAACAGCAUUAGUAUUCCCUCUGCUUCCAAAAACUUGUGUAUUAAAUAGAUUAAUGAAUUGUUUAACAUGCUCAUCUACUUGAAAAUGCACAAUACCCAUAACCCACUGAAAUUUUUGCAGGAAAAGGGAAAGAGAAUCUGUGUUUGAGAGCUUCAUGAAGAUGUUGAAGAAUAAGAAUAAAAGCCCAAUGCAAGGAUGUUUUCAAGUUUUUCUAUGUUUCCACUUUAAUUUGUAAAUUGAAUUUUGCGACUCAAUUAAUUCCCUGUUUGUGAGGUACGUAUUGUUUUACGUACCAUGCCGUACAUUUUUUUUUUCCAACAAACGGUAUCAUGUUAUAGAUAUUAACACUUGACCUUACAAGGAUUAGUUACAAAAAGGGGAUACUACCCUCAACUCUGUCCUAGCUAAAUCAGUCAGCCAUAUUGGGAAAUUAGUUUCCCAUUCAAUAUCAUGUACAAGCUUCACAGCAUAUUGUGCUAAUUGAUGGCUGAUGUGAUUUUCAGUUCUAGGUAUAAACACAAAAGAACAUUUUUCAAAAGCUAGACUAAGUUCCUGCACAUCUUCUAAGAUAGUUGCAGUCGUGUAGUCAUACUCCUUGCGUUUAGUAAUCUGCUCUACCACUGAUUUGCAGUCUGUAUGGACUAUAAUUUGUGUCCAACCUGCUUGGGUAGCCAUCAGCAGAGCAUUUCUCACAGCCCGAGCUUCCACUUCACUUGCCGAUCCCUUUCCCUGUGUGACAAUUCCUUUUGCUUUCAAAAGCUGUCCUUUCCAAUUUCUUGCUAUAAUCCCUUGUCCGGUCCUGACUCGUUUAGCUGAUAUCGCUGCAUCGGUAUACAGCCUUAUCUCUUCCUUCCUUGGCCGCACUCUCCUGGUAGGUAAGGCAUCAUUCAGCUUCCCUGCGAUCUCCUUCUGGUCUGUACUCCCUACCUGUUCAAACUCAAGCCAUUCCUCCUGUGCUUUCCUUACUAUUUUUACUGGAUCCUGGUUGGCUUGUUCAAAAAAUUUUUUGUUCCUGGCUUUCCAAAUUUGCCAAAGGAUAUUGAUAGUAAGACUAACUCUCUCCUGACCUUGGUUCAGUGCCAGCGAUUGUGUGACUUGUUCCCACCAUAACCAAAAGUUAUAUUGCAUACCCAGUAAUCCAUCCCACCUGACCGGUGCUAGCUUCCACGUUUCCACAGCCUUUUCACAGAAGAAAAACAAAUGCUCAAUAGUUUCCAUAUCUUCACCACAGCAACCACAUCUGCCUUCCCCUCUAUGUAGCCUUUUCGACAUCUGUUCAUUGACUGGCAGACAAUUUUGUAAGCACUUCCACAUGAAGUGUUUUAGUUUGGCCUUCACCUUCAAAUGCCAUAGCUGCUUCCACACAUUUCGUUUUCGUAUCUCCCAACUUGUUUCUGCCUCUUGGCCUGUCCUUGUACCUGCUUUUCCUUCCCGUUGCCUUGCUAAAGCAUAACCAGAUUUCACGCUAUAAAUUCCAGCUUUGGAAUGCCCCCAUACCAACCUAUCCUUUCUUCUUCCUAUACUUGUUGGAAUUCCCUUUAUGUGCUCUGCAUCUUUUGCACAAAACCACUUGAGAAGCAAAUCAUUUUUCCAUUUCCCUUCCUCUAUCAGCUCACUUACCCAUUCCAACUUGCAUCCCACAGGUUGUGUGGUUGAUGCAAAGCCGGUAUCUGAACCAACUAUCCAUCUGUCCCGCCACAUGUUGACUGACUUGCCAUCUCCAAUUCUUUUCCAAAGACCAUCAUACAGAAAGGAGGCUGCACUAUGAAUACUCUUCCAACACCAUGAGGCUGAAGAGACUGGCUUCUUGUCCAUCCAUUUUUCAUCACUCAUAUACUUCGCCUUCAUUACCUUACUUACUAACAAAUUUGGAGCCAUUAAGAAUCUCCAAAUUUGUUUUGCCAGUAAUGCUGUGUUGAAGGCCUCCAAAUCUCUAAAGCCUAAACCUCCUCUUCCCUUAACUUCUAAGAGCUUCUUCCAGCUUGCCCAAUGUACACAGGUACCCUUUUCUCCCUUCCCCCACCAGAAACUCGCUAUUUUACCUGUGAUUUGUCUACACAAACCCCUUGGAAGUCUAAAGCAAGCCAUCACAUAUGUUGGCAUAGCCAUAAUCACUGAUUUGACCAGAAUUUCUUUCCCUCCUUGGCUCAACAGUUUUUGUUUCCAACCUUGCAACUUGUUACUAAUUUUGUUCUGGACAAAUGCAAAGACCUGUGUCUUUGAUCUUCCAAUUGCCAUUGGGAGUCCUAGGUAGGUUCCAUUCCUUGCCUCUUUAAUGUUAUCUAAUACCUCCCUCACUCCAUUCUUCCUUUGAUCAGUGGUAUUUUUGCUAUAGAAGAUAGCUGACUUUUCAAAAUUCACCACCUGUCCGGAUGCUUGACCAUAUCUUUCCAAUAUGCUUUUGACCUUCCUCGCCUCCUGCUUGGUUGCUUGGCAGCAUAGUAGAGAAUCAUCUGCAAAAAAUAGGUGAGAAACCAUCGGACUGUCCUUGCAUAUUUUGAUCCCUGUAAUUUCCUUGUUCAUCAUAGCUUUAUGGAUCAAACAUGAAAGACCUUCAGCGCAUAUAAUAAACAAGUACGGGGAUAGGGGGUCUCCUUGUCUAAGCCCUCUACUCGGUUGAACACAGCCUACCUUUUGCCCAUUUAAGUUGAAGGAGUAAGUCACAGUAGAUAGGCAAGACAUGAUCCAUUUAACAAAAAUUGGACAAAACCCCAUUUUCAUCAUAACUCUCCCCACAUAUUUCCAUUCGACUCUAUCGUAAGCUUUGGACAUGUCCAGUUUAAGAGCCAUAAAUCCUACCCUUCCCUUUCUCCUAUUUUUCAAAAAAUGCAGGAUUUCAUGUGCAACUACUACAUUAUCAAGAAUUUGACGGCCUGGGAUAAAAGCGGAUUGAGAGGGACUAAUACAAUGAUGCAAGACACCUUUCAAUCUAUUAGCUAUGAUUUUAGAAAUGAUUUUAUACAGGACAUUGCACAAGCUAAUAGGUCUAAAAUGCACCACAGAUUCAGGAGUAUCAACUUUAGGAAUCAACGAAAUAAUAGUAUCAUUCACAGCUUUGAGCAAAUGCCCAGUAUGAAAGAAACUCUUAAUAGCUGCUACCACAUCAUCCUUGAUAAUAUCCCAAUAGUGUUGAAAAAAUAGAGGAGACAUACCAUCCGUUCCUGGUGCUUUAUUAGGGUGCAUCGAGAACAAAGCUUUCCUGAUCUCACUUUCCUCCACUUGUCGUAUCAGUUGUCCAUUCAUAUGACUCGAAAUAGUGCUUGGAAUUUCAGCUAGAAUGUCCUCAAAGCAGUCCGGGUUAGUAGUGGUAAAAAGGUCUUUAUAGUACUCACAAAGUUCCUCCUCAAUCUCAUGUUCCUCCUUGCACCAUGUCCCAUCUUUUUUCUGCAAUAUAGUGAUCUUAUUUCUCCUCCUCUUUGCCAUGACCGAAGAAUGGAAAAAAGCUGUAUUCUUGUCCCCUUCUUUGAGCCACUUGUUCCUGGAUUUUUGACUCCAAAACAUCUCUUCCUCUGCAUAAGCUUUAUUCAAUUGUGCUUUUAGUUCAGCCACUUGUACUCUUUUCCCUUCAUCCUUUCUUGCUUUCACUUCAGCCAAUUUCUCCUUUAACACUUUAAUUCUAACCUUUGAGUUUCCCUGCACCUUUUUCCUCCAAUCCAGAAUAGCCAUGCGACAUUCCUUUAUUUUUGUAGCCACUCUAAACAUCCUGGACCCUGACUUCACCUUUGUCCAUGCUCCUUGAAUCACCCUUUUUGCUUCUGGAUUUAGCGUCCAUCGUUGAUCAAAGUAAAAUCUCCGUUUUCUCCUUGUGUUUUCCGGGUUUGUAUCCACAAGAAGCAUUAGAUGAUCAGAGGCUUCAGUAUCUAAAUGAGUACACUGUGCCUUUUCAAAUCUUUGCAGCCAUUCGGUGCUGCAUAAACAUCUAUCCAACCUCUCUUUCACUUCCCCAUCCCCCUCCCAACUAUUGCACCAAAUCCACGGGACCCCUUGAUAACCUAAGUCAACCAGGUUAUUGUCUUUGAUAAACCUGUUGAACUCCCUAAAACAUCUUUCAGCUCUAUCCCUUCCUCCCCACUUCUCCUCACUAGACCUCAAAUCAUUAAAAUCUCCUACAAUGAUCCAGCCAUCCCCCCAGUCCCUCAUCCUGUCCUCUAAAUAUUUCCAUUGUGCUUUUCUAAUGUUACUAUCUGUGCUUGCAUAAACACACACUAGCCCCCAGUAUCCUUUAGUAUCCUUGUCCUCAACUCUAGCACUAAUACACCAAUCAGUACUUACAAUCUGGUCUAAAAUCACCUCAUUGUUCCAGAAUAAUGCUAGACCGCCUGCUUUACCUAUUGAAUUCACAAAAAAGCUAUUGUCAUACUGAAUCUUCCUUUGAACCUUGCCCAUAAACCCUUCCUGAUUCUUAGUUUCACAAAGGAACACCACCUUAGGAGAGUGGAAGUUAGUCACUUCCUUUAGUUGGGGACUUGUCAAGGGGCCUCCUACACCUCGACAAUUCCACACCACAACCUUCAUUUACACUUUGGAGGCUUUCCGGGGCUAGCCUCCAUUUCCCCUAUUGUACUAACAUUUAUUAGAUCCAGUUUCAUAACCUUUACCUUCGGUACAUUAUCAUCAUCCUCCUCUAUCGGUUGUGUUCCCUGAAACAUACCAUCAGCCUUCCUUUUAGCACACGAAACCUGCGUUACUUGUCCAUUUGUAUCUGCCUUUAAGGAUGUUUUAGCCGGCCUCCCUCUUCUUUUAAAACUGCUUCUUUUUUCAGCUUUGUUAUCUUCUUCCCCUGGAGUAGCCUCCUUUCUUGGCAUUCUUGCAUUUGUCUCCUCCUGCUUUAUUGACCCUACCCGCAAACUUUCACAUUCCUGUUUUGAGCUGUCCGUUUCCAUAUCCUCAUAAUCUACUGGUGGGAUUACGCUGCUCCCUCCUUUACUCCCUUCCUGUACCCUACCCUCCUUUUCACCAUUUCCCUCCAUUAAGACCACAGCCAAACUUUCCACCCGUUGGUUUGCCUUUCCAUACUGCCUGCUGUCUUUUAGAAUCUCAUCCCACCUCUCUUCAUAUUGUCUCGUCAUCAUUUUCUCCUUAUCCCCCCUUUCCUUUCCCCCCAAGACUCUACCAUUUUUUCCCCCAAGAGUUAAUGUAUCUCCAGCCAUUUGUACUCCAGUUUGAACUUCACUACUAGGAGACCCUGCCCCCACCCUCCUUGCAUCAAUUUCACUUACUCCUUCCAGCCGUCCCUUUAAGGGAGAUACCAUUAUAUUUCCAGCUCUCAUCCAGGCACCAUAUUGUUCCUCUCGCUUCUCCCCCCCACCCUUCCUACCACAGUACAAGUCCUAUCACUAUGCCCAAUGAUACCACACCUAUAACAGAAAUCAGGGCAGCGUUCAUACCUGAACUCAACCCACACUGCCUGGUUCUUACAGUUGAUCUUUGUCCCUCUAACCAGUGGUUUCGUUAUAUCUACCUCAGCCAUAAUCUUCAUGUGGCGACCCUCUUUCCCACCACUUCCUGGGAGAAUCACUCCCCUCACUGAUUUAAAGAUCCCUCCUAUUUUCAAACCCACUGCUCUGCUCAACCAGUGCACCGGUAGGUUCCAUAGUUGAAUCCAAAGAAAGGAAUGCUGGAAAAAGCUGCUGUUUGUAUCAUACCCCUCUACCCACUCCUUCACUAUCAGCAACUGGUUGUCCAUGACCCAAGGCCCUCCAGAUAAGAUCUUUUUCUUUUCCCCUUCAUCUCCCAGAUGGAAAUGGAAUAAGUUAGGACCUAACUCAGUCACUUUCAUCUUUGAGGGGUAUCCCCAUGCAUGAUUUGUAAAGUUCUUUAACCCCGUAAAGUUGGCAAUUUUUUCACCAAUCAGCUUUCCUACCAGGCUUCCUUGACACUCAGAGACGCCUUCUUCCAGGUCCUCACCACUCAGAUCGACACCUCCUAACUCUGUUUCAGACAAGUCAAAAUUUUGAAAGGCUCUUUCUAAAGCAUCCGCCAUUGCUGUGACGAGAGCUCCUUGAGAAACCAAGCACUAUUUCUGAGCUAUGAGUGACCCACUGACAGACCUGUGAAGAAUUGCAAAGACAGACAAAGCUGUGUUAUCCGUACACACUAAAAACCAACCAGAAAAACAGAGAGGAACUCGACAGAAAAAGCACAGGCACAAGAAGAAACGAAAGAAAAAAGAAAAACCAACAAACCACUAUCCCACUCCCGACCACAUAACAGCAUUAAAGAAAGGGACACAAAUACGACACUCCAACUUCCGAUCACAUGCUCUGACUCAAUGGAUCAUAUCUUGCCCAAAGCGUUUACUCCUCCAACCGAUUCCAAACCACUACAGACAUUGUCUCCCAUUUUGAAGCCGGAAGAAAGGUGGCUUCUGGACAGGGAACAUGAAAGCAAAGGUUGAACUAAAGAUUUGAUUUUAGAUCUGAAAAUUACGCUGUAGGAAAAAGUGCUAUGUGUUUGUACCUCACCCACUCUCCCACACCGAGGAGGGGAACCUCUAAAGUUAGAGAGAGAAGCUCUCAAGUUAGAGAGAAGCUUUGGAAGUUAAUUACCAACGUACCAUGCCGUACAUGUUUGUAAGGAUUUCUAUCCUAUUGGCAAAAGUCGGUUCCAUACAAUUAAUCAAUUCAUUUCACUUCUAUUGGCUCUACUAUUUAUGCAUGUUACGACACUCUUUCCCUUAUAUUUUGCCUUUAAUAUUAUGAGUCAAUAGUAAUAAUGGGCCUUUUUCUUAAAAUUAUACUAUUAUACAUAGGUAGUUUGGUCUAACGCUAAAUUCAUGUUUGUCUUUCUUUUAUUCCCUUUACAUCUCAAAGUAUACUAUAGUUUGUAAUCAUUGUGGUGAUGAUAUUACCAGCUGGUACUUAUAGUUUAAGGCAGAGACAUGAUAUUAACAACUAUCUCAUUGAAACAUAAGUCAAAAUCAUGACAAGUGUGAGUCUUGGUUAAUGCACAAUUUGUUAGUGGAAUUUAUAUUUAUAAAACUCAAAAAAAAUUUUUGACAAUGCUAUUACUAAUUAAUUAAGGACUUCAUUGCUAUAAUUUAUCGCUUACUAAUUUAAACUAUAAAUGAUCUCAAUACUUUUCUCCAUGAUGUCGAUUUCUUUAGACUACGAAAGGGAAAAAUUAGUGACAUAUCCCUUACUGAUUACAACAUCAGCAAAAAUUAGUUAUAAACUUUUCCGGUGGUUUUAAAUCCCUCGGGCACUAAGGUUUUUUGCACAUCGAGUGAAUUAAGGAACAUAGGCAAUUCGUUCUGCAUACCAAGUCCUUGUUUAAGAUGCACGUACUAAAAUGCAUCCACUUCAUUAAUUUGGAAAAUUGCCAUAGUUUUUUUUAAGCAUUUUGAUUUUUUACAUGAUUCAAAAUUUUCUUAUUGGAUACAAUCACUUUGUGUCAAGAACACAUUUUCAAUCAUCUUUUUUAUCUUCUCAAUAAGAAAAUAAAAAUUUAUUCAUGCUUUUCUAACAUAUCCAAUCAUUGAUCUGAAAAAUAAAGAAUUAAAAAAAAAAGACAUUUUCAAUCAUUGCUUACGGGGCAACUUCCCCAUGUGAACCUCAUCAAACAAAGCCAAUAAUAUGAAGGAACAUCUAAAUACACUUUUGCCCUAAAGGCUGGUUGCCUUGGGGUCAAAAUUUAACCUUCGGGAGUAUAAUUACCCGCCAAAUUUAUUAUUUUUUUUAUGGGUAUAUAGUUCCAAUUUUGCCUCCUGUUAAGCUUAUAAAUAUAUUACGACCCAGAAAAUAAAGGAAUCUUGAAUAGUAACAUGUCCAUUGACUUGAGUUGUUAUCAAUUUGGCUACUUCGAUUCCAUGAGGCCAAUCCAAUUCACACUAGCUAGAGAAAAUGGUGAUAAAGGCACUUAGAAAUUUAUAUGUAAUAUUGAUUGGUAGUAACUGAUAAGUAUAUAUUUUACGUGUUUUAAAUAUGUUUUAUUAGUUAGUUUUGGUGUGUUUUAACUACUUUUAUAACUAAUUAACUAGGAAUCUAGUGAAAAUAUGCAUUUUGUGGUUUGAAGUGUAAAAAUUGUAUUUCUAUGGAUUUUAAUGGUGAAAACUUCAUGUUUUUGUAGGUUUAAUGAUUCAAUCAUCAAAUGACAUGAUUUGAGAAGAUAAUUAGAUGAUUGAUGAUGUUUUGAAGUGAUAAAAAGAGAAUACAAAGUGCAAGAGAGGAAAUGCAAUCAAGAAUAAAAGAAGAAAAUUUUUGUAGCUUUGACAUAUUGUCGUAUUUCGGCAAUAUAUUGAGCUACAAUGAUCGGAUUAAGGUGAUUCUUAAACCAUUUGAAGCUAAAAUAUAGAUCUACAUUUGGCAUGAAGGCAUCGAAACCCAUGUCAGUCAUUUUCCUUGUCAAAAUGUUGAAAUACAGAAGUGCAACUCUGUUCUCGAAAGCUAAAACAGAGCUCUGGCUAGUCGAGGGUAUUUUCAUCAUUUCUUAGUCCACAGAGCUCCAAAUGAGAUGAUUCUUAAGGCAUUAGAACCCUAACUCAAAGAGCUACAACUUUCAUAUUUUGUACAAGAGUUAGUUCGGCCUCUAUCAUUAAGAAAAUAGUAGUUGAAGUGGUGCCAAAUGCAUAGAAGUGAAAACGCGAGCUAUCAAUACUCGACCUGAAGUCGCGUAUUCCUGAGGUCAUGCAUUCUCUUCUAUUUUCUGCAACUUGCCCUGCUUUCACAUAACUUUUUCAUCUCAAUUCCAACUAUCAAUUUCGGCUAUAUCUGAUCAAGAAAAGUGUGGAAAGUUUGAAAGACAACUCAUAGGAGUUUCAAGAGUCAAAAAUUACAAUUAGAAACAACUCAUUUGGCUCUUGAAUCCUCUAUAAAUAGAGGCCUUUGAAGAACAUUUUCACAACUUUGGAAGGUUAGAGAAACUCCACAAAAACAUAGUCUUCACUAGAAUUUCCUUAGUUCAUUAGUUAGGGUAGUAUAGUAUAGUUAGUGUAGCUUUUCCUUCUUGUAUUUAUAGUUAGGUUUGAAUGAAGAUUCAGGAGCAAAGAUAGAGAGGUUGAUCUCAUGUGACAAGGGUGAUAUCUCUUCUACUACUUUCUCUUUUGUAUUUGAUUUCAUAUUUAACUAUACUACAAAUUUGGCUUUGUUUUUUUUUUUUUAUCAUGUUUAGUUAAAGUUUAUGCCUAGAGUAUGGAUGACCUUUUUAUAUCUUGUUUGUGAUAUUUAACUGGUUAUUUGAUGAUGUUAUUUUUGAGCAAGUUAUUUAUCACUUUUGCUUUUCUAAUCAUGAUUAACUGGCCAUUAGUUGUGAUUAUCUAAAAGUGUUAAGUUUGUAAUGAGAAUUGGAGUUUAACACUAGUUCAAGGAAGUGAUAAAUUUAGGGAGUUCACUCAUGAGAGUAGAGGAACACCUUUGUGACCUAAGUGACUUGUUUCAUAUAAUUUCAUAGAAAAAAUGAACUUGUAAUUAAUUUCAUAACCACGAGAGUAAGUAUGGUUUAGCUAUAUGUAUAGUUGAUUCACUACGAGAGUAGGUUUCACAUACAUUAGAAAAUUACAUCAUAACUAGUCAAGAUAAUAUCAUUCAUUUAAUCAGUAAUCUCAUUUGCAUGAGUAGUAAGGCAUUCCAUAUCUCUAGGAGGUUUUUAGUAUUAUUUUCAUUACUUUUAUGUUUAUGGUAGUCUAGAUAAUAAUGGAGUUCGAAAACUACUAGUAAUUGAAAAUUUUCCCUGUGGGAUCGACCUUUAAUACCCUAUACUCGCUCUCGACUCGUAUACUUGAGAAAAAUCACGUGUGCGGUAUUUAGAAUUUAUAAAUGUAAAACUUGACUGUAGAUGAACUAAUUGAUAUAUGUAUACCCCGCACUCGUCAGUAACCAGCUUGUAUUGAUCCCACUAUUGUGGAUAAUUGUGCUCUUAUGAAAAAAAAUUAUAAAAAAAUUAGCAAAAUUUAUGAUAACAAAUUAAAUUUAUUCAUACAAAUCAGUGAAAGAAGUAGAAUUUUAAAGUCCAUGAUGAAAUUAAUACUUUCAAGGGCUCUAUUAGGAAGACUUCACUUGUUGGUGAAACUACACUAGCACAGUUAUAUGCACAUUUACUGUUUUGGUAUCUAAUUUCCUUGCCUUAAGUUGGGUGCAGAUGUUUAUAUUACAAAUAGAUGGUAUCAUAAAAUUGUUGUAUUCACGUUUGUUCUUUUUUUUCUUCCUUAAGUUUUUUUCUUUAUUCUCGUGACUUCAAAAAUACGAACUCAAGAAAUUGGCUGCUUAAUCAAUAUGUCAUACAGGCUUCGCUAGUGAGGUAUAACUUCACAACUAGAGUCAAUAGAAAUUAUCAAAUGAUUUUUUAACAUCCAAAUUAAGCAAUAAAUUUUGUUUUCAUUUUAUGACAUAUAAUAGUACUACUUCAUGAGAGAUUUUAUAGUUUCUUUUAGGUAUCAUACCUACAAGUGAUAUUUGUCAUUGGAUAGUGACAGAAGUGUUAAUGAUUGUAAGAUUAAAUAUUGUUAAAUAUUGAAAUUUAAACUAUUUAUCUUUAUUGAAAGAUACAAGUUAAAGAAUCGUUCAAGGGGGCAAUUUUCCAUCUUGUCUUUUUGAAAAAACGCUAUCACAUUGUAUAGGCAUGAUAGGUUCAAAUUUGUCAUUAAAUUUAUGAUUGAUUUUCCUUUUAUUCAAGCCAAAUAUUGUUUUAAUUAUCAAAUUCUACUUAUAUUUGGUUAAUUGUACUAAUUGUAGGGCGGUAGAGCAAAAGUUGCUAAAAAUAGGCGAUUUUCUGCAAAUUGGUUGUCAAGGCUGAAGGAUUUGGGAUUCGCAUGUUCAAGGCCUGUUUCCAAGUUUGAUUCAAACUCUGGACAGUUUUAGAGGAAGAUUUGGAAGAUUUGAAAUUUCAUUAUUAGUUUUAUGGUUGAAUUAGGAAUCUUGGAAUAAUUUCUUUUGUGAUUUAUUUUUCUAUUUAGGAGACUAGUUGUUAUUUAGUAGUAGACUUCAAUUAGAAAACAAAGAGAAAAAGAAGGCCGGAAUCCCGCUUGAUUAAUACCUUGGCCAGGGAACAAUCUCGGUGGGGAGGACGGCCACUUAGCCUCUCAAUUCAUCUUGCUUUUCGUUAGUUUGAGAGGAAAACCAAUUGCAACUAGAUUCAAUGGAGUCUGGCAGAAUUUCUUCUAGGAUGCGUAGCUAAAUCCUCAAUUUUUAGUCGAAGGUCAAUUUGAAAAUUCGGUUCCAAAUAUCUGUGAAAUCGAAUUAUUUUACUUAUUUCUUUUAUUUAUUGGUAUUCGCACGUUUUCUGAUUUAACUUUUUAUGAUUGUUUUGUUAUUUGAAUGUCAAGGGUCCGAUAUUCGAAUUAACUUAAUAAUCUACUGCCAAAUUAACCGGUUAAAUCCGUAAUUGUUUGAUUGAUUAAUAUCAGUGGCGACUAGCGUGAUUGGUCCCAUGUUAGGAAAACGUCUGAUCUAAUUUAAACAAACCGUCGUAGCGUGUUUGUUGAUUAGGGUUGGGCUUUUCUAAUUCUUAAUUCAAUUGAGAAAUUAAAUCCCCCGGUCGUACCUAGGAUUAUUUUUUUGUUAGCGAAAUAGUUAAUGGUCGUACCUUGACUAUCGAAAAAGUAAGGAAGAGUUGAUUGUUUAUCGCGUGUACGACAACUAUAAUCAAUCUAUUAAUGAGUAAUUGAAUUAUCUUUGCAUCAGUAAUCAGUUGAAUGGACCGUGUCUGAAAAGUUGUACCUUUGGCUAGAGUCUUAUCUGUUGUUGAUUCAUUCAUAUCUAUCUUCAUGCGUUGUUUUAAUUUAGUUAAUUAGUUAUUUUUAUAAAAACCCCUCAUCUCUGGACUCUAAAAGAAAUAAAUUAUUUCUAGUUCCUGUGGAUUCGAUCCUACUCACCAUACAAUCCAACCUGCAAUUGUAUGAACCCCAAUCUCGCUUCCUAGUCCACCAUUUUUCUCUAGGUAAUAAUCUCCCUUCUAAUUUCUUCACAAAAUGCACCUUUCAUCACCUCCAAUAGCGUCGACAUGAUCUUUACCCCAGAAGACUAUUCACCGACUCUCAAUUGACGUUAGAAAAUCUAAGAGUAAUUCUACUUUACCCUAAGAUUGAUAUCAACAAGACAAGGACAAUUUAGAAUUAUUACACGCCUCUUCUUAAUAGGAAAAAGAAAUAGAGAAGAAAGUCAGGCCAGGUCUAAUUUCUUUUCAAAGGCAAUACAACAUUACGAAAUCAAGCAUUCAUUCAUACAAAUAUUUCAUAGUCACCGGUUUGCUGAGUAGAAAAAUUUAGACAAAAACUUAAUAUUAUAUUGUUUAAGAGUUAACAAUUUAGAGCUUAAUCUCCUUGUACUUUGGAGUUAACAAUUUAGAGCUUAAUCUCCUUGUACUUUGGACUAAACUUGAACGUGAAAGGAAAUCCCAAAACCAUAUUGGGCAUGAAUUCACACUUAAUAUACCCAAUAAAAGAUGGCGACUGGUGAAAGGCAGUGGAGACUGGUGGAGAGAUUUGAGGAAUAGAAGCAGACGGAAAAGCAACAAAUUUUUGCCGAAAAACGGUCACUUUCAUGGUUAAUUUUGCUACUCUCCAAUUGUACUUGACCAAUUACAACAAUUUCAUGGAGUUUGAUACGUGAAAAGAAUUUUUUAUAAAUUUUAUUUUGAUCCAUAAUGUUAUCUUUACAUAUAUAAAACAUUUUACAAUUUUGAUUUUGGCGCAGUUAACUUUUGGUAAACAAAAAUGCUCAUGUUUAAAAAACCGGAAAUAAAACAAAACAAGAAACAAAAGAAAUAAGAGGGUAGCAUAGACAUUUUGGAUUUUUCCGUUAAUUUGGAUGAUUUCCACCCACGUUCUAAUUUAAUCCAAAACACAAAGGAAUUACGUAGAGGUUUUAAAUAAUGAGGGAGCUUCAUGAUCGAACCCCAAACCACAAGGCGAUUUACUAUAUUUUACUCUUAAAUUUUGGUUUCAUCUCAUAGCAUACAAGAGUUCUAUUUCACUAUCUGUAGACAAAGACUUUCUAUGGUUGAUGUACCAUAGGAAAAAAUCUGCCUAUACAACGUGAUAGCAUUUUUUCAAAAACACAAGAUGGAAAAUUGCCCCCUUAAACGGGGAAAUUCAUGAUCUUUCCUCGAACAAAGAAUACUCACGCCUAUUCAAGAUGGAAAAUUGCCCCCUUAAACGUCUAUUUGUCAAUUCUUGAAAAAAGAAUACUCACGCCUAAAACACGGCCUCUUCAUCUGCAGAAUUCUAAAAAGUUAGGUAAACUCUAUAAACAAGUUGAUAGGUACAAUCGUACCCAAGAUCAAGUACAGAUAGUUGUACAUUCACUGCUGCAAUAACUAAUCUGAUGACUUACAAACAUAUCAUGGUCAAUCGUUGAAUGGUAAUGAGUCUUUUGUUAUGCAUUAGUAUUAGUGUGUACACUCUAAUAGAUUGAUACUUAUACUCUUUAAAUUAUCAUAAUAAUACCCUUAAUUAACUUUAACUCUUAAAAAGAAUACGUGUUAAUACACGAGAGUGUGUAACCUGAAUUGUUACUUAUACAUUAGUGUGUAAUAGAUAGGGAUGGCAAUGGGGGCGGGUGCCCGCAGGCAACCGCCCCGCGGGGGGCUCUCGGGGCGGGGAGGGGGGAAUUUUUUCCCCCCGUUUAGAAACGGGGCAGGGGACGGGGGAGUAUACCCCCGCCCCAUCCCCCGCAAAAAAAAUUAUAUAUAUAUAAUUAUAUAUAAUAUGUAAUUUAAUUAGUUAUAAACUUAUGAUAAUGAUAUUAUUAGUUAGAUGUAUUAUAUAAUGUAUAUUAGUGUAUGUAAUAUAAUUAAUAUUAUCAAUUAUACGAAUAAUUAGACAUGUCUACUAAUAGAAUUUAUUAAUUAGUUAUACUAAAUUUACUAAUACAUUUAUACUAAAUUUCUAAUUACAUUUAAUAGAAUAACACUUUUUUCUAAAAAAAAAAGCACAAACACAAUAAUGAAUUAGUGAUUGUAUUUUUACCAAAAAUGAAAACUUAACUAUUUUAGUUGCAUUUAUUUCAUCAUGUUGGAUUGUAUUCAAAUAAUUUUUGUUUGAUUGUUUUUAUGAGUUUCAAUUGUAAAAUUAAAAUGAAUAAUAACUUGAUGAAUAAUAAUGUCAAUCGUUGAAUGGUGUGUACACUCUAAUAUUAUGCAUUAGUAUUAGUGUGUACACUCUAAUAGAUUGAUACUUAUACUCUUUAAAUUAUCAUAAUAAUACCCUUAAUUAACUUUAACUCUUAAAAAGAAUACGUGUUAAUAACUCUUAACCUGAAUUGUUACUUAUACAUUAGUGUGAAAUAGAACGGCAAGCAUUGAGCAACUUAUAGGAGAAAUAGUCCUAUAAGCUGUUGGAUGACUAAUAUAGCUCUAGCUGUAAUGUUUUAAUUAAAUUACAUCACUAACGUUGGGAUGACUAAUGGUUUAAAAAUAAUUGAGUAAUUGGAAAAAAAAAAAGAGACUAAUUUUCAUUGAAACCCACCGACAAACUAAACGUGUCCAUGGCUUUUGAAUAGUGCAUUCAACGUUUAAUUGUAUAGUCCAGUUCAUUGCAGAUUACAUGGAGUAAAGAUUGUGCUCUUUCCUUUUUCACCCCUUUUGGAAUCGAUACUGUGGAGAAUUGGGUUUUUCCCUUCUUUUUUUCUUUUCUUUCUUUCUGUGCUUUGCAAAACAUAGGUAAAAUUAUGAAAUCCGAAGCAUUCUUUAAUUGGGAUUAAGUAUUGUUCUUGAAAUUAAAAAGAAGAAAGAAAGAACAACAAAAUUCCCUGAUUGGUUGCAUCGUGCUUCCAUAGAAGCUCUCUUAGUGUGAUACACUGCUUUCAAUCAGUUUAACAUGGAAAAAAGAAAGAGAUGAAAAGCAAAUUUGGUGGGGAUAAUUUCAGAAACCUCCCCUGAAGAUUUUGACUAUUCUACUGGUCUCCCUUCAGAUUUUAAAAAUUACACUAAUCUUCCUUGAAGUUAUAACAUUUAAAUUCAAUCAAUAAUUUAAAAAAUGAUAUUAUGAAAGAGAAAAUAAUAUGAUUUUAUCAUUGCCCCCCAUCUUACUACAUUAUUUAAUUAAUUUAAUAGCAACCCACACAUUAAAGAAAAAUAUAAAAUUUGUUAUUUAUCAUUAAAGAUCAAAUCGCUUAUAACAUCAAAUAAUAGUAUAUUAUUUAUAUUUUUCACUUAACAUAAUAUCCAAAUUACUCUUUUCAAUUACAUACUCAUUGUUAGACAAUCAACAACAAAUAACCAAAAAAUUUGCAACCAAAAUAUUACAAAAAAAAAUAAACUUUAACAUCAUAAAUAUUCUUAUCAACAUAUUAAAGUUAGUUACUGAAAUUUUUAUGGUGUUAAACUUCACUCUUUGUAAUAUUUUGGUUACAGAUUUUUUUUGAUUAUUUUUUAUUAAUUAUGUUUGAUGAUGGGUUUGUAAUUGAAAAGAAUAAUUUAAAACUUACAUUAAGUGAAAUAUAUAGAGUGAUAUACUAUUUUUUAUAACAUAUGUGAUUCAAUCCUUCUUGAUAGGAUUGGUAAUAGAGGUAGAGGGGGGAGUCGGCUGCAUCCGGUCUUCUUUUCAUAGAUAGUACAAUAUUGCGAAAUCAAUCGCAUUCACACAAUAAUAUUUCGAAGUCAAUGCAUGGCUAAGUUGCAUAAAAGUACGAACACUUGUUAUUAUAUAGCUUAAGAUUCAAAACUUUAGAGCAUAACCCUCCACCUAACACAAUUGAAUAAUGAAUAUUCACGUUUGUCAAAUCUGUCAAAGCACAGUUUGAGGACAACCCAUUCCAACCUGCAAAAGAUUUUUUACUUUUCUAAAGUUGUUGAGAGCUGUAAAAAGACCUACCAUGCUUACAUCCUCCGAGCCUUGGGAGUUAAAAAUGAAGGCACUGAGUGCUAUAAAAAGGGGGCUAGAGGCUGCCUAGAAGCAUAUCAGCCUAAAACAAGAAUUUGUUGUUAUGAUGGGAAGCAAAGCAAAAGCAAUGGGGUCUGGGCUGACUCCUCUUCUUGCCACUGUUUUAGUGGUAUUUGUUGCUCUUGGCUUGCCCUCAGAAACAGCAGCUGAUGAUCACUACAAGUAUUCAUCUCCUCCUCCUCCUUACCACUAUCCCUCACCACCGCCUCCAGUGCAUUUACCUCCACCAGUGUACAAAUACAAGUCCCCACCACCACCUCAUCAUGUUUACAAGUACAAAUCUCCACCACCCCCACCACCACACCCAGUUUACAAGUAUAAGUCACCACCACCACCUCCUCAUCCGGUACCACACCCAGUUUACAAGUAUAAGUCACCACCACCACCUCCUCAUCCGGUAUACAAGUAUAAGUCUCCUCCGCCACCACCACACCCAGUUUACAAGUAUAAGUCACCACCACCACCUCCUCAUCCGGUACCACACCCAGUUUACAAGUAUAAGUCUCCUCCGCCACCAGUUUACAAAUAUAAGUCUCCUCCACCACCACCUCCAGUGUACAAGUACAAGUCUCCACCACCACCAGUUUACAAGUACAAAUCACCACCACCUCCUCCCCCAGUUUACAAAUACAAGUCUCCACCACCACCAGUUUACCACUACAAGUCACCACCACCUCCUCACCCAGUUUACAAGUACAAAUCUCCUCCACCACCAAUUUACCACUACAAGUCACCACCACCUCCUCCCCCAGUUUACAAAUACAAGUCUCCACCUCCUCCUCACCACUACUAAGCAAUUGCUUCUGAGGUAAUAACACUUGUUCAAUAACACUUGAUAGCCAGCUGAAUAUUUGCAGGCAAAGGAGAAGGAAACCAGUGUUUGAGACCUUCUUGAAGAUGUAGAAGCAUAAGAAUUAAAGCCCAAUGUGAAGAUGAUGAUUUCAAGUUUUUCUACGUUACCAUUUCAAUAUCUAAAUUGGUUGUAGCGCCUUAGUUCCUUUGUUUAUGGGAUUUGUAUCGUUUUACGUACCAUGCAGUACAUGUCAUGUUUGUAAGGUUUUCUAUCCUGCCGGCAAACCGCAGGUUCCAUGUAAUAAAUCAAUACUAUUUAUAUUACGACACUUUUCUCUGUUUCUCUUAUAUUUUGUCUUUAAUAUUCUUAAUCAUAUUUUUAACAAAAAUAUUCAAACACUUCAGCAAUGGUUCACCUAGUUGAUCAUCGAAGCAGAGGCAAUUCCAAUUAUUUAUCAAUAAAUAGGAUAUAACUACCAAACAAGCGAUGGCAGUUAACCCCUCCUUACUGUGUCGGUGAUCAAGGUACGCCCGUUAAUCACUGCUCUAAUUGAGAAAUAAUCCUAAGUACGCCCGUAGAAUUUAAUUCCCCAAUUGCCUUACAUAUUAGAGGAGCCCUAUUCUAACCAAAUAACGCACUAUCAGGGUUAUUUUAGAUUAGCCCGCGUAUUCCCCUGACAUAAAUCUAAUCAUGCCAGUUGUCAUUAUUUUGAGGUAAUUAAACAAUUACGGAUUUAACACCUCAAUUGACAAUAGAUUAUUAAAUUAAUUAAUUAUUCGGAUCCAAGACAAUCAAUUAAUUAAACAACCAUAAGCACUACAAUCAGAGAAUAUGCAAAUACCAAUAAAUAAAUAAAAAAUAAAAUUAAAUCGAUCUCACAAUUUUUAGGCGAAUCAGAGCAUCCGUUGUCCCUUGACUAGAGCAAGGAAAUUAGUUCAUAUUUGAUGAACUAAACCCAUACAAAAGGGAAGCGAGAAAUGCAGCCAUUAUCCUUUGAAAUCUGGAAAAUUCAACUUGUCCGAAUAUCGAAUAGAUAGUAAUACUACAAAAGGUAAUUCAUAGCUUCCCUUUCGUCUGACACACAAGAAGAAAAAAAAGGGCUGCUAAUAACUAAAGGAGGAAAAGUCAAAGUCCUAAGCUAUGCUACAAGACGAAAAACUAAAGAAGACAAAAAGGCAGUGCUCAUUCCCUGCAAUCUCAAUUCCUAUUCUAUCUAAGUGCUCUCCAAUGUGCGGCGGCUCCCCUUCCGGAGAGGACGAAGUGGCACCCUUUUUUCCUGCGCAAUUUUCCUAUAUAAAGUAGUGCUCCUUGCAGCGGCUCCUGUGCGAAAAAAUGAAGACUUCGGCCCAAUUUGCCUAACAAGGGCUCACGUUUUGUUGUUCUAAAAAUGUCCCUAGGACAAACUCUAUCAUCUGAACUCUUUUCUUGCCAAAUUAGUACCUGUUAUUAUAUUUUCGUUCUACUCCCUGAAAUAAAUGCAAAAUAUCAAAAGUGAGUAGAAUCUAGCAAUUAAUCCACAUUAGGUCAGGUAAUAGGGAAAAUUAAUAAUAAAAUAAAUGAUAAAAUUGCAAUCUAUCACGGGACCACUGUGGUAAGGUGUGUUUCGCCUAUUAUAAGGAGUUCGGAGAGUUAGACGUGUUGGAGGCGGAGGCGCGGUCACUCCUGCACGCCCUCCAGCUGUGUGCAGAUCGCGAGGUACGGGCGUUGACUGUAGAAUCUGAUUCAAAGGUGCUUGUUCAACUAGUUUGCUCGGAUAUGAGGUCGAAGUGGCCGGUGUGUAUCGUAUUGCGGGAAAUAAGACAUUUGAUCCGGCGGAUGGGUGCAUCCCUUCAUCAUAUAUUCCGUGAGGCCAAUUCGGUGGCGGACGCAUUGGCUUCUCUGCAAUUGGGAGGGCAGCAGUACUACACCUCAGGCGUGGCGCUGCCUUUCAGGCCCAGAGGAGAGGCUCUGCUGGAUCGUCAAGGAGUACCUCGCAUCCGUGAGGCGCUCACUAAGGUUUGAUAGGCUAUGUCCUCCUUUCAAAAAACUUAUUUCAUCUACUCCUUGUAAUCAUUUUUCUUAUCAAUAAAUUGAGGCUUUUUAUUUAAAAAAAAACAUAUAAUUUAAGGCAAAAAUAUGAUCCUAGCGAGUAUCGCACUGAGACAUUAGGAAACAUCAUUAAAAGAGUAUUUCUUGAGUUAGUGCAACUAUUUCUUAGGGGAAUUUAUAGUUACAAAAUUCAAAAAUUUGAGAUUCUAUUACUGAUUAAUUAAGGGCGUUAUCACUAUUUUUCUUAUUAUCACCAUUAUUUACCCCACAUACUAUAAGUUUUUUUAGGGCACAGGAAAAGAGGUGGGCCGAUGUUUAGUUAUGUACAAAAGUUCAAAAUUUGUAGAUAACUUAUCAUGUGCCCUUAGAGCGUAGAAUACAGAAAAAAUAUCUUAAACUAUAACUAAUCCUAAUAUUUUUCUCUAUGAUAAACUAGCUCUUAUCCAUUUCUUUAGAUGAUGAAAGGAAAUAGUUAGUCACCUGUCCUCUAGUGAUUACAACAGCAUCAAAACAAAUUAGCACUCUUUUCCCGUAGUUUAAAAAUCCCUCAGCCACUAAGAUUUUGCAUGUCGAACGAAUUAAGGAACAUAGAAGGUUCGUGCUGCACCACAGUGUCCUUGUUGACGAUGCAAAGACAGAAAUGCAUCCGCGUAUACUUCCUUAAGCAUUUUGAUUACUUUAUGAUUCGAACUUUUCUUGUCUGACAGCUGGACUUAAUUGAAAAACACAAGUAACAAUAUUUCAAAGUUGAUUCGUCAAAGUUUACCCAAUUGGUGAAACUUUCUUCAUAGAGCUGACUUUGUAUUAGGUGACAAUGAUAUGGAAUUGAUGUCCUUCCCUUUUUCCUUUUUUUGUGUUGAAGACGCACAACGUUUUCAAUGGCAAAUUUAUAUGGGCUUUUCACGACAAAAUGUGUUCUGAAAAGUUCAUUCCAGAGGUUAAAAUUUUGUGUGUUAAAAAUUUGCUUCUCAGGACUUUGAUGGGAAAGUCUUGGUGUUUCCAAAAAGUUUAAGCAGGAUGCUUCUGGCUUUCUCUCCAUGUAUUUGUGAGUUAGAUCUAAAAUUAUCAGGGCUCCAGAGAUCUCUUGAAAUCGCAGCAUAUAUUGAAGUCUUUCCAGAAGGAGUCUUUUUUUUUUUUUUUAUGAAUUAUGAUAGAUAAUUAAUCUGACGGUGCAUAUAUAUAUAUAUGUGAUUUGCAGUAGGGUGUUUGACGAAAUGGUUAGGCUUCCUAAGUAAUGAUAGGAAUGCCAUUUGCAAAGAAGGACAGGGGGCUGGUGCUGUCAUAUUUUAUGCGAUUUGAUCCGUUGUUGUAUAAGUUUAAACUUUUGACGUGCAAUUGUGCUAUAAUAUUAUACUAAAUAUAUGUGUGAAAUAUUUUGUCUAUAUACAUCACUUUUAUCAUGAAUACAACAGCUGAGUAUAAUAAUAUAGUAUAAUGUAAUUGUACACCAAAUAAUGUAGCAAAUAUAACAAUUGAUCCGAAUUACACGGAACCAUAACAACAAGAUCACCGCCUCCCAAAUUUUACAAAAUUAGGUUUUUUUUUUUUCUCUUAGAUUAUUGAAAAUUUUCAAAAAUAAUCUACAUAAUUUAAGCUUUUGUCCUACAAAAAUUUGAAGAGAUUUUACAUUACAAGCUUAAGCUUAGAUAUAUUAAACUUUGCCCCCAAGAUUAAUUUUCCGUUUUUAUCUAUGAACCGAUCCAUAUAGCUAGUUAGACUGUAGUCCUCACAUUUGUGGGAUUUAACACCCAAGAUUCUCCUUCUUGGAAUGUAAAAUGUAGAUCUUCUAUGUUAAUAAUUCAAGACCCUACUGUCAUAAACGAAAUGACUGAUCAACUCCUGUAAACCUAAUUUGACAACAUUUAAAUGGAGAACUUUAGCUAAAAGAAUUAUGGUCAAGCUAAAGAAAAAGCCAGUUAUUUUCCAACAUAUGCAAUCAUUGAUCAGGAAAAAAAAAAAAAAGCAAAAAGACAUCUUCAAUCAUUUAAUAGCUCACAGUGCAAAUUAACCCCUAAGCGAAAACUGGUUGCUCUAGAAUCAAAAUUUUACCUUAGUUACCCAGGCAACUUUUUUGUUGCUUUUUUUUUUUUCUUUUCCUUUUUGGGUAUAUAUAUAGCUCCAGUUUUGCCCCCUCUGUCAAGCUUAUAUAAUUAUUAAGAUAAUAAAAGUGCCUUGAAUAGUAUUAAUAUAUCCAUUGACUUGAGCUGUCAUCGAUCGGUUUGGGCUACUUCGAUUCCAUGAGAACAAAUGGUAAUAAAAGUACUCAGAAAAUAGGGAGCCAUGAAACCCUUUUGUUCUAUUCAUUGCUAAGAUGCUUUUCUCUAUAAAGAGACUUCCUAACGAAAGUACUUUGUAGAUUUCUUUACUCCAAGUGGUGCAUGGAAAAUUAAAAUAUUCAAUUAUCAAAUAAAAUUCCCUUUUUUCGGUGUAGAUUUCAUCCAUCCAGCUGUUAACACAUUUUAUGUAUCCGAAUUAUAUAUUCUCUACCAAAUAUUGUAACUUUUCUGAGCAUCUUUACAUUUUUAUUCCCACCUAACAAAUUAGUUGUUGAGCAUCUUUACAUGCUAUCGGAUCACAAGUUAAUAAUCUUUUAAAGAACAUGUUAAAUUAAUUUAUUGGUAUGAAUAGUCAAAGAAGUAUAUUAAAGUUAGUAAUCUUUAAACACCACGAUGCAAUUAAUACUUUCAAGCUCAAGGUCUUUUUUUUUUUUUUUUUUGGUACUGUACUUCCUUGCUUUAUAGUAUGCACGUUUAUUUCUGUGGAUUGCUUAAGCUUAUAUUGUUAAUAAUUGGGCAUUUAACCAUAAAUUAUAAUGAUUAUGAAGUCAUAUAUAUAUAUAUAUAUAUAAGAAAAUUACCACAAUUAUUCAAUUUUUUUUGCAAAUUCAAAUUUUAUUAAUAAGAAAUAGGCAGUAAGCUUUUACAAACGGAAAAAAAAAAUCCUACAACAACUCUAGGACCUUUGAAAGAAAGAAAAAAAAAAGAAAAGAAAAGCUUAAGGACUCUACCUCAUAGAAGCUAAACAAUCCUACAAAUAAACUGCAAAAUAAAUCACAAUAACGCAAAAUUUUUGUCUUUCUUCCGUAUGAAAUGAAACUACGAAGUCAAGAAUUGACUCCUUUAACCGCUAUUGCCAGCGGGCUCCGUCAGCAAGAUACAACUUUGCAAUUUGAUUCAAUAGAAAUCCUCAAAUAGCUAUUUUGACAGGCAAAUUAAGCAUUAAUUUUGGUAUCCCUUCAUAAAAUACAAGAGUACUUUUGAUUAUAUCUAUAGAUCAACUUUCUAGGCUAUUUUGAUGUAUUAUAAGAAAAUCUGCCUCAACAAUUUUGAUAGCAUUUUUCCAAAAGCAGAAGAUGGAAAAUUGCCCAUUUGUACUGGGGAGUUCGUGAUCUUUUCCUCCUUCUAGUCUACUUACAAUUCUUGGAAAAAGGAAUACUCACAUCUCAAACAACUGCCUGUUCAUCUGCAAUGUCCUGCCGAAUUCUAGAAAGUUAGGUGGCAAUGCUAAUUACAUUUCAAAAUUGACUGCUGCGAUGACUAAUUCGAUGGCUUACUACAUGGUCAACGUUUGGAUCCCUUCCUGUCCUUUUUGGAUGCACAUUUUUUUUCUCUAGGCAAUAUAUAAUCUCCCAACUCAUUUCUUUACAAAUGCACCUUUAAUCACCACCAAAAGGUGUGGACAUGAUCUUUACCCUAGAAAACUAAUCACCGACAGGCAAAUUGACGUCAGAAAUACUAAGAGGAAUUCUAGUUUCCUUCGGGUUAAUGCCAUUUUGUACCCUUCAACUGUAACUCGAUUUCUAAACUAUAAUUUGUGACAUUAUAGUCCUUAAACUAUGAAACCCCUCUUACUUAAGUACAAUGGUUAAUACAAUACCCGUGACUAGACAAGCAACCAUAACAAAAAAAAAUCCAAAAUUAGAGAAAAGAAAGAAGUUUCGCGACCAAAGUAUGUAUCAAGGCAUAGUAUAGAAAUAAAAGUGUCCAAAUUAAGAGUUUAGGGAUAAAAGAGAUCAAGAUAUAGUUUAGGGAUUGAUUUGUCUCAAUUAGAGUUUUGAUGUCAACUAAGAAGAGAGAUAUAGUUGAAGGGUAGAAUAUAGAUAUAACAGUUCAAUGAUUGAUAUCAACGAGACAAUGACAACUUUGGAUUAUUACCAACCUCUUCUUGAUGGGAAAAGGAAAUAGAGAAGAAAGUCGGGCCUGGUCUAAGCCUGCUUCGGAGGCAAAACAACAUUAUGAAAUCACCGGCAUUCACACAAAUAUGUCAAAGUCACCGGCAUGCUAAGUUGCAUAAUUUAUACAAACACUGAAUAAUAUAUUGUUCUUAAAAUUUUUGUUUAAGAUUUAACAAUUAGAGCACGGUACACGAAUUAGCAAUAUUAAAUAAUGAAUGUUCACGAUUGAUAAAGUUAUCAAAGUACAGUUUGAGGACAACCCAUUCCAACGUGUACAAGAUGUUUAGCCUUUGAAAAGUUAAUUAGAGAAGGUGACGAGAUUUUACUAGGCUUAAAUCUUCUAGGCCUCGGAAGUAAAAAAUGAAGGCCUUUGAGUGCUAUAAAAAGGGGGCUAGAUGUUGCCUAGAAGCAUAUCAGCCUCAGACCACAUUUUGUAGCAAUGGGGAGCAAAGCAAAAGCAAUGGGGUCUAGGCUGACUCCUCUUCUUACCACCGUUUUAGUGGUAUUUGUUGCUCUUGGCUUGCCUUCAGAAACUGUGGCUGAUUACUACAAGUAUUCAUCUCCUCCUCCUCCUUACCAUUAUUCCUCACCACCACCUCCUGUGCAUUCACCUCCACCACCGCCAAUUUAUAAGUCACCCCCACCACCUUACCACUACUCCUCACCGCCACCUCCAGUGUAUUCAUCUCCACCACCACCUUCGCCAGUUUACAAGUCUCCGCCACCACCUUACCAUUAUUCGUCACCACCGCCUCCGGUGCAUUCACCUCCACCACCACCUGUUUACAAGUCACCUCCACCACCUUCGCCAGUUUACAAGUCUCCGCCACCACCUUACUAUUAUUCGUCACCACCGCCUCCGGUGCAUUCACCUCCACCACCACCGAUUUACGAGUCACCUCCACCACCUCCUCCAGUUUACAAGUCUCCGCCACCACCUUACCAUUAUUCCUCACCACCACCUCCAACGCAUUCACUCCCACCACCAGUUUACAAAUCACCGCCACCACCUCCUCCUAUGUAUAAGUCCCCUCCACCACCUUAUCAUUAUUCCUCACCACCACCUCCAGUGCAUUCACCCCCACUGCCACCAAUUUACAAGUCUCCGCCACCUCCAAUCUACAAGUAUAAGUCACCACCACCUCCUCCCCCAAUUUACAAGUCACCACCACCACCUCCUCCAGUAUAUAAGUCCCUACCCCCACCAGUGUAUAAGUACAAGUCUCCACCACCACCUCCUCCAGUAUACAAAUCACCUCCACCACCUCCUCCAGUUUACAAAUCUCUACCACCACCAAUUUAUAAAUACAAGUCUCCUCCACCACCUCCUCCGGUUUACAAUUCCCCACCACCACCAAUCUACAAGUCUCCACCUCCACCCUCCCAUUACUACUACAAUUCUCCUCCUCCUCCUCCUCAUCACUACUAAGCAAUUGUAUCCAAGUUUUUGAGGUAAUAAUGCUAAACCAAUAUAUUAACUUUCGCAUGAUAAACUUUAUCUCUAUCAAGACAAACUGCCAUGUGCAUCAAGCCAAAUACGUACACUUCGAUCCAUGAAAAUGACAAGUAGAAGGUUUUCUUAAGAACCAAGGAACAGCAUUAGUAUUCCCUCUGUUUCCAAAACUUGUGUAUUAAAUAGAUUAAUGAAUUGUUUAACAUGCUUAUCUACUUGAAAAUGCACAAUACCCAUAACCCACUGAAAUUUUUGCAGGUAAAGGGGAAGAGAAUCUGUGUUUGAGAGCUUCAUGAAGAUGUUGAAGAAUAAGAAUAAAAGCCCAAUGCGAGGAUGUUUUCAAGUUUUUCUAUGUUUCCACUUUAAUUUGUAAAUUGAAUUUUUCGACUUAAUUAAUUCCCUGUUUGUGGGGUACGUAUUGUUUUACGUACCAUGCCGUACAUGUUUGUAAGGAUUUCUAUCCUAUUGGCAAAAGUCGGUUCCAUACAAUUAAUCAAUUCAUUUCACUUCUAUUGGCUCUACUAUUUAUGCACGUUACGACAUUUUUUCUCUCUUUCCCUUAUAUUUUGUCUUUAAUAUUAUUGAGUCAAUAGUAAUACUGGGCCAUUUUUUUUAAAACUUAUACUAGUAUACAUAGGUAGUUUGGUCUAACGCCAAAUUCAUGUUUGUCUUUCUUUUAUUCCCUUUACAUUUCAAAGUAUACUAUAGUUUGUGAUCAUUGUGGUGAUGAUAUUACCAGCUGGUACUUAUAGUUUAAGGCAGAGACAUGAUAUUAACAACUAUCUCAUUGAAACAUAAGGAAAAAUCAUGACAAGUGUGAGUCUUGGUUAAUGCACAAUUUGUUAGUGGAAUUUAUAUUUAUAAAACUCAAAAAAAAAAUUUUGACAAUGCUAUUACUAAUUAAUUAAGGACUUUAUUGCUAUAAUUUAUCGCUUGCUAGUUUAAACUAUAAAUGAUCUCAAUACUUUUCUCCAUGAUGUCGAUUUCUUUAGAUACGAAAGGGAAAAAUUAGUGACAUAUCCCUUACUGAUUACAACAUCAGCAAAAAUUAGUUAUAAACUUUUCCGGUGGUUUUAAAUCCCCGGGCCCUAAGAUUUUUUGCUCAUCGAGUGAAUUAAGGAACAUAGGCAAUUCAUUUUGCAUACCAAGUCCUUGUUUAAGAUGCAAGUACUAAAAUGCAUCCACUUCAUUAAUUUGGGAAAUUGCCAUAGUUUUUUUAAGCAUUUUGAUUUUUUACAUGAUUUAAAAUUUUCUUAUUGGAUACAAUCACUUUGUAUCAAGAACACAUUUUCAAUCACCUUUUUUUAUCUUCUCAAUGAGAAAAUAAAAAUUUAUUCAUGCUUUUCUAACAUAUUCAAUCAUUGAUCUGAAAAUUAAAACAUUAAGAAAAGGACAUUUUCAAACAUUAAGAAGUAGUAUUUUAAAGACCAUGAUGAAAUUAAUACUUUCAAGGUCUCUAUUAGGAAGACUUCCUUUAUUAAUACUCUACUAGGCAGAGUUAUAUGCACGUUUACUGUUUUGGCCUUAAGUUGGGUGCAGAUGCUUAUAUUACAAAUAGAUGGUAUCAAAAAAUUGUUGUAUUCACGUCUGUUCUUUUUUUCUUCCUUAAGUUUUUUUCUUUAUUCUCGUGACUUCGCUAGUGAGGUAUAACUUCACAACUAGAGUCAAUAGAAAUCGUCAAAUGAUUUUUUGACAUCCAAAUUAAGCAAUAAAUUUUGUUUUCAUUUCAUAACAUAUAAUAGUACUACUUCAUGGGAGAUUUUAUAGUUUCUUUAGGGUAUCAUACCUACAAUUGAUAUUUAUCAUUGGAUAGUGAAAGAAGUGUUAAUGUCUCUAAGAUUAAAUAUUGUUAAAUAUUGAAAAUUUGAACUAUUUAUCUCUAUUGAGAGAUACAACUUAAAGAAUCCUACCCAAAAGAGACUAGAAUUUUCUCUGUUUUUCAUCAUCUGUAGACAUAAACUUUCCACGGUUGAUAGCAUUUUUCAUCAUCUAUAAGGAAAUUUUGCCUAUACAAUGUGAUAGCAUUUUUCAAAAAGACAAGAUGGAAAAUUGCCCCCCUUGAACGGAAAAUUGCCCCCUUGUCAAUUCUUUAAAAAAGAAUACCGUCCCGCAGAAUUCUAGAAAGUUAGGCAAAACUAGACAAGUUGACAGGUAUAAUCAGACCCAAGAUCAGGAACAAGCAGUUGCACAUUUCAAAAUUCGCUGCUGCAACAACUAAUUUGAUGACUUACAACACUAAAUGGUCAAACUUUGAAUGGCAAUGAAUCUUUUGUUGUACAUCAUGAUGUAAUUUUCAUGUUACAUAAUAGAUUGAUAUCUAUGUUCUUUAAAUUAUCAUAAUAAUUAAAUUUAACUGAAAAAAAGAACACAUAUCAAUACACAAAAGUGUGCAACGUGAAUGUUAUUUUAGUGUAUUGCAGAAGACCUAUAGUCUCUUCAUAUCUCUUCCUGCACGUAUCAAUUCGUUUCCUCUAGAUAAUAAUCUCCCAACUCAUUUAUUUACAAAUGCACCUUUUAUGUUUUAUUACCUCCAAAAGCCUAAAAAUCAAUUCACCGACUCGCAUUUGGUAUCAGAAAUUCUUAUUACGAAUUCUACUUUACUCAAAGAUUGACUGUUAAUAAUGAGACAACGACCAUUUUGUAUUAUUACACCGUCCUUCUUGAUAGGCAAAAGAAAUAGAGAGGAAAGCGGGUCCGUAUAUGGUCUUUUAUUCAUAGAUAAUACAACAUUACGCCAUCGAGCAUUCACACAAUAUUUCAAAGUCAUUGCAUGCCUAAGGCCUGCUUGAUAAUCUAAUUCCGUACUUAAAUUUAAUAAAUUCAAAUCUUAACACAUUCAAAUCGUUUGAUAACAAAAAAUUGAACAUCUAAAUUAAUUAAGUAACACUGAAUUUUCUAGGCAAAACUUGCUCCCAAAAUUAAGUGAUAAGUUAUUCACUUAUCACUGAAUAUGAUAUGUAUUCAAAUGUAUUAGAUUUAAUACUUAAUAAUUUAAUGAAUUCAAAUUUCAUAUUUCAUAUUUCAGUUUUAUCAAACACACCUUAAGUUGCAAAAUAAUACCAAAACUUGUUAUUACAUAGCUUGAGAUUCAAAAAUUUAGAGCAUAAUUCUCAACCAAACACAAUUGAAUAAUGAAUAUUCACGAGUGUCAAAUCUAUCAAAGUACAAUUUGAGGACAACCCAUUCAAACGCGUACACGAUUUUUAACUUUUCUAAAGUUGUUGAGAGCUGUUGAAAGAGAUUUACCAUGUUUACAUCUUCCAAGUCUUGGGAGUAAAAAAUGAAGCCACUGAGUGCUAUAAAAAGGGGGGUAGAGGCCACUUGAGAUCCUCGGUGACAUGUUUUCUAUGCCAAUCCAAUGCCACCAAUAGUGUUGCGCCAAGUGUCAUGUUAUUAUUUACACUUGUGUUAAACUAAGCCAAGUUGAAUUAUUAGAAAAUUAAAGUGUAAAUAAUAACAUGACACUUGGCGCAAUACUAUUGGUGACAUUGGGUUGGCAUAGAAAAUAUGUCACCGAGGAUCCCAAGUGGAUAGAUGCUGCCUAGAAGCAUAUCAGCCUAAAACAAGAAUUUGUAGUAACAAUGGGGAGCAAAGCAAAAGCAACGGGGUCUAGGCUGACUCCUCUUCUUACCACUGUUUUAGUGGUAUUUGUUGCCCUUGGCUUGCCCUUGGAAACUGCAGCUGAUUAUUACAAGUAUUCAUCUCCUCCUCCUCCUCCUUACCAGUAUUCCUCACCACCACCUCCAGUGUAUUCACCUCCACCAACCCCUGUUUAUAAGUUACCCCCACCAUCUCCUCUAGUUUACAAGUCCUCACCACCACCUUACCACUACUCACCACCUCCUGUGUAUUCACCUCCACCAUCACCAAUUUACAAGUCACUGCCACCACCCCCUCCAGUAUACAACUCCCCGCCUCCACCAGUGUACAAAUACAAGUCCCCACCACCACCUUCUCCAAUUUACAAAUCUCCACCGCCACCAGUUUACAAGUACAAGUCACCCCCACCACCUCCUCCGGUAUACAAGUCUCCUCCGCCACCUGUUUACGAGUACAAGUCUCCUCCACCACCUCCUCCAGUGUACAAGUCCCCACCACCUCCAGUUUACAAGUACAAGUCACCACCACCUCCUCCCCCGGUUUACCAAUCUCCUCCACCACCAGUUUACAAAUACAAGUCACCACCACCUCCUCCCCCAGUUUACCAGUCUCCACCUCCACCCUAUCAUCACUACUACGGUUCUCCUCCUCCUCACCACUACUAAGCAAGUGCAUCUAAGUUUUGAGGUAAUAAUACCGAUCCAAAACUUUAUCAACGCAAACUGCCAUGUAUAUCAUGCUAAGGACGUACACUUGAUCCAUGAAAAUGGCUAGUAGAAGAUUUUUUUUAAGAACCAGAGAAAUACAUUAUUUUUUCGCUCUGUUUUCAAGAAUUUGAGCAGUAUACAGAUUAAAGAGUGUUUUUUUUAAACUUGCUUAUCAACUUAGAAAUGCACAUAGCUGAAAGCCAACUGAAUAUUUGCAGGCAAAGGAGAAGGCAAUCGGUGUUUGAGACCUUCAUGAAGAUGUAGAAGAAUAAGAAUAAAAGCCCAAUGCGAGGAUGAUUUCAAGUUUCUACGUUACCAUUUCUACAUCUAAAUUGACUUUAGCUCCUGAGUUCCAUGUCUAUGGGGUUUGUACUGUUUUACGUACCAUGCAGUACAUGCUUGUAAGGUUUUCUGUCCUGUUGGCAAGCCGCAGGUCCAUAUAAUAAAUGAAUACUAUUUAUAUUACGACACUUUUCUCUCUUUCUCUUAUAUUUUGUCUUUAAUAUUGUUGAUCAUUUUUUUUUUUUAUCAAAAGUAUCAAAUGCUUAGGCAAUUUGGUCUAAUGCUAAUUGUUUUACAUUUAUUUUUCACCUACAUCCCUUUUCAACUCAAAGGAUGCUACAGUUUGUGAUCAUUGUUUAAGACCGAAGCAUGGUACUAAUAAAUAUCUCAUUGAAAGUCAAGGAAACUAACAUUAUGAAAAGUGUAAAUCUUGAUUUGUGAAACUAUUUAUUCGUGGAAUUUAGAGAUACAAAACUCAAAUUGUGACGGUGUUGUUGCUAAAUUAUUUUUUUUUUAUAAUAAAACACAGUUCAUUCAAGGAUUACUGGAAAUCGUCCAGCACAAUUGAGAUACAUUGUUGCCCAGGUGGCAGAUAAAUAUGCACUAAAAUUAUAGAUAUGCAAUUUAACAAAUACAUAAGAUUUGAGAAAUUAAGGACAAAUCUAAAAAGGACCAUAAAUUUGAAAAACAUUUCAUCCUAGAAUAAGUCGCUGCAACUCUCUUUGUGCAUGCUGUAAUCGUCAGAUCUACUAAUCAACAGUUGUAAGGUCCAGUAAAGAUGGUGAGAUCUGCCGAGAUUGAUCCAAAUCUGAAAUAUUCCCUCAGAUCUGCUAUCCAAUUGGUUCAAACUCAAUACUGAAAGUGAAAUCUGAUGAGAAGACUGAAAAAAUUGUAGAUCUAACAUAUAGAUCUAAAAAAACUCCAAGAUUUGAAAAAGUAAAGAAACAAAACUAAAUAAAACUCUCAUUAAGAUAGUUUAGGAGAGACUAAAACUCUCAAUAGGACACCCUAGGAGAGAAGAAAACUCUCACUAGGAUAACCUAUGAGAGACUUUAUUGAAUGAAAGGAAAAGCAAAGGACAAAGGAAGAAGAAGGGAGACCUUGGCUUAAGGCCAAGGUCUCCCUCCUAUGGAGGAGGAAGGGUAGAGGAGGAAGCCUAGAGAGAAGGAAGAGAAUCCCUCCGCUAGAGGGAAGGAAGAGCCUCUGAGAGGGUACCCGUGUUGUUGCUAAAUUAUUAAGGACAUUAUCACCAUUACUUUUCCCUUACUAGUUUCAACUGCAAUGAUCUCAAUCUUUUUGUGACUAAUUCUUUUCUUAAUAAUUUAUAAAUACAAAACUCACAAAGAAUAUGUGACUUAUUCUUUCCUUUCGUCUUCUAAAGAAAAUGCCAACUGUUAGUUUAUCAAGGGAAAAAGGAUCGACAUCAGUUGUUAUUGAAACUAGUAAGGAAUAAAUAAUGGUGAUAAUGUCCUUAAUAAUUUAACAACAGCACCAUCAGAAUUUGAGCUUUGUAUCUAUAAAUUCCACGAAUAAAUAGUUUCAUCAAAUCAAGAUUUACACUUUUCAUAAUGUUAAGUUUCCUUGACUUUCAAUGAGAUAUUUAUUAGUAUCAUGCUUCGGUCGUAAACAACGAUCACAAACGAUAGCAUCCUUUGAGUUGAAAAGGGUAGUGAAAAAGAGAAGUAAAAAAUACAAUUAGCAUUCCCUCAAAUUGUAGAAAGUUAGGUAGCAUUAUAGACAAGUUGAUAGCCGUAAUUAUACUAAAAAUCAGGCAAAAGCCAGCAAUUUUACAUUUCAAAAUUCACCUAUUCAAUAACUAAUUCGAUGGCUUGCUACAUGGUCAAAAUUCACCACAUAUCCCUUUCCUCAAUCAGGGGCUUCUACAAUUACCAGUUCCAAUUGUAUGGUAUAGUGUAAAUAUCAACAAAUUAGAUGUAGACACUAAUAUAAUAAAUAUGGAUGCUAAGGCAACAACAUACAAAAACAUAAUAAAUUUUGGCAUUCCUUAAAAAAUUACGUCCCCAAAUCAAUCUCAUACACCCAAUUUCUAAUUUAUUUAACUCAUUCCGUCUAUUAACUGCACCAUACAAUCCAACCUGCAAUUGCAUGAACCCCAAUCUCGCUUCCUAGUCCACCAUUUUUCUCUAGGUAAUAAUCUCCCUUCUAAUUUCUUCACAAAAUGCACCUUUCAUCACCUCCAAUAGCGUCGACAUGAUCUUUACCCUAGAAGACUAUUCACCGACUCCCAAUUGACGUCAGAAAAUCUAAGAGUAAUUCUACUUUACCCUAAGAUUGAUAUCAACUAGACAAUGACAAUUUAGAAUUAUUACACGCCUCUUCUUAAUAGGAAAAAGAAAUAGAGAAGAAAGUCAGGCCAGGUCUAAUUUCUUUUCGAAGGCAAUACAACAUUACGAAAUCAAGCAUUCAUUCAUACAAAUAUUUCAUAGUCACCGGUUUGCUGAGUAGAAAAGUUUAUACAAAAACUUAAUAUUAUAUUGUUUAAGAGUUAACAAUUUAGAGCUUAAUCUCCUUGUACUUUGGACUAAACUCGAACGUGAAAGGAAAUCCCAAAACCAUAUUGGGCAUGAAUUCACACUUAAAUAGACCCAAAAAAAGAUGGCGACUGGUGAAAGGCAGUGGAGACUGGUGGUGAGAUUUGAGGAAUAGAAGCAGACGGAAAAGCCACAAAUUUUUGCCGAAAGAGGGUCACUUUCAUGGUUAAUUUUGCUACUCUCUACUUGUACUUGACCAAUGACAGGUUGUCAGUCUGUGCAAUAAUAAAAACCUGUUCAAACUAAAAGUAAUUUCUGUAGAUAGUGGUAAGCAGGGUCGAAUCCACAGGGAUUAGGUGUAACUGUUUCUUUUCAAAUUCACAAUAACAAAGGGGGUGUUUUUAUGCAGAAUGUGACAAUCAAAGAAAUUCAAUUAAAAGUAAAAUAAUAAAAAUAAAAUAGCCAACUAGAAAUUAAAUAACAAUUUACUAAAAUCAAAUGAGUGAUAAUUAAGGAUCUAGCCAAGGAAUAACUUCAGCAGUGGUUCACCUAAUUGAUCAUUGGAACAAAGGCAAUUCCAAUUAUUUACUAAUAAAUAGGUUAUAACUGCCAAACAAGCGAUGACAGUCAAUCACUCCUUACUGUGUCGGUGAUUAAGGUACGCCCGUUAAUCACUGCCCUAAUUGAGAAAUAAUCUUAGGUACGCCCGUAAGAUUUAAUUUUCCAAUUGCCUUACAUAUUAGAGGAGUGUCAGGAACAAGGAAAUAGAAUGGGACGUCGUUUAAUGCAAAGGGUUGUGCGUUUAAGGCCUUAGAAGCAAUACUACGUCGUUCUAAUAACAUAGGCGGUGCUGGUGUGAUAGGCCAAGUUAGUUGAGGGUCAAUUACAUAAAUAGCCUUCUGUAACAGAUUUUUGGUUAUGUUUUUGAAUGAAAAGUAUCUCGCUGCUUUCUCUCUCUUGUCUGUUAUUUCCCUCCCUUUUCUUCUUUCUCUCUUCCCUCUUCUUAAUCUUGUUUCUUUCUUCUGAUUCUUCCCCCAAAUUCAAUACAAUUCCAGAAAUUAACCUGCAAGUCUGACAUUUGGUAUCAGAGCGGUCGAUUCUUGGCCGCGAAGGUAUCAGAAAUGGCUGAGAGCACGCGAUUCAGGACACUGGAGGAGCAACUCAAGAAGCAGGAGAAUCGGUUGCAAGAACUGGCGGAAUCCAUGGCUGCACUGCAGAGUACGAGUUCCGAGGAGUUGCGGCAUAAGCUACAGGCGGAAAUGGAGCAGAACAAUGCAAAAUUGGACGCGGUGGUGGGAAGUCUGGACCAGAAGUUCAAUAAAAUGGAACAGAGACUCAGUACAGUGUUGAAGCUGCUGAUGAAGGAGAAAGGUCUCCCUGAUGUCGAAGGAGGAAUUUCUGAUCCAAUCUUGCCGACUCCUCCAUCUCAUCUGAGGUUAGCAUCCUCAGUCGAAGGGAUUGGGCACCAACAAGAGUACAGAGGUAGGCAAUUCACUCCUAAUGUACCUCGAUUAGAACUGCCAAUGUUUAACUCUGGAAACCCUAGGGAAUGGACCAGGAAAUGCCAGAAAUAUUUUUUGAACUAUCAGAUAGCAGAGAGUCAAAAGGUAGAGGUAGCAGAGAUGUUUUUGGAAGGUAGAGCUGACAAUUGGUUUCAAGGAGUGAAAUUGGUGAGGCCAGGGUUGUCUUGGGGGGAAUUUAGUGAACUUUUGUGUGAAAGAUUUUCUGGAAGUAGUUCUCGUGACAUUGUGGAGGAAUUUAACAAGUUACAGCAGAAAGGAACUGUUGAGGAAUAUGAGGAGAAAUUUGAAGAACUAAAAGCUCUAAUGCUGAUGAAAACCCCCAGGUUGGAUGAACUUUACUUUGUUUCCAGUUUUAUUAGUGGCCUCAGGGAAGAAAUUAGACCUAUGGUGAAGAUGUUUAAGCCUCAAACACUGAUGAAGGCCUUUGAAGUUGCGGAGUUGCAGGAGUGUUCCCUGGAAAUCCAAUCGAAACAAAACAGAACUUCAAGGAGGACAGCAAUGGAACCCAAGUUUGGAAUGUAUAAGGGCACUACGAGUGAUUAGGGUCGCCAAAAUUCAUAUAAGUUGCCUGGAGUCACUCCUGUCUCCAGGAGGACUAAUGCAGUACACAAGGAAUUUAGUAAGAUAUCAGCGGAGGAAAUGCAGUAUAAGCGUAAGCACAGCCUGUGCUAUAGGUGUGGAGAGAAGUUUGGAAUAGGUCAUCAGUGUAAGAAAGGAAGUCUGAACUGUGUGAGCACUGAGGAAGAGGAGGACACUGAAUUUGAGGAUGCGGAAGGGGAACAGGAUGAGUUAACAGGAAGGGUCGGGGAACUUGCAGAAGUCUCUUUGAAUGCUUUAUCUGGUGCCAUAAGGAGGAAAUCCAUCCUGUUGAUAGGGAACUUAGGGGGGCUUCCAGUCAAAAUUUUGGUGGACACAGGCAGUUCUAACAGCUUCAUUCACCACAGGAUUGUCAACCUACUGCAUCUACCAUAUCAGGCAGUCAGUCCAUUUACUGUGACUCUAGCAGAUGGAACUGACAUUACCAGUGGAGCCAUCAGUCCCAGCGUGUCUUGGUUAAUUCAGGACUAUCAAUUCCAAUUUGACUUAAAAGUAAUGGAAUUAGGGGGAUGGGAUAUAAUUCUGGGGGUGGACUGGAUGUGCCAGUAUAGUCCCAUUACAUUUGAUUUCCACUCUCUUAGCAUUGCCCUUAGUGAUAGGGGUUCUUUACUACACCUCCAAGGACUUGUGAAGCAACCUACUAUGGAACUGGUGAGGGGCAGGGAUCUCAGCUCGUUUAUACAGGAGAAGCAAAGAAACUGUGCAGCCAUGCAUGCUGAUAGGGCCAGGGAAACAGGAGAGCAGCUUCCAAAAGCUAUAGAAAGGAUCCUGGAACAGCACUCUCAGGUUUUCUCCACCCCAACAGGAUUACCCCCAGAGAGGGAAUUGGACCAUCAGAUCAACCUCAAACCAGGAGCUGAACCCUUCAAGCUCAAACCUUACAGGUACCCCCACUCACAUAAAGCAGAAAUUGAAAAAAAAGUUGCUGAGAUGCUCACUAAUGGAAUUGUUAUACAUAGCACAAGCCCCUAUGCCUCCCCUGUAUUGUUAGUAAAGAAAAAGGAUAACUCCUGGAGAUUAUGCAUAGAUUACAGGAAGCUGAACGAGCUGACUAUAAAGGAUAAGUUCCCUAUUCCCAACAUAGAUGAACUAUUGGAUGAAUUACAUGGAACCAGAUACAUGUCCAAACUGGAUCUCAGAGCUGGUUACCAUCAGUUGAGGGUGAAAGCUGUUGAUACCCCUAAGACUGCCUUCCAGACACACCAUGGCCACUUUGAAUUCUUAGUGAUGCCUUUUGGACUCACAAACGCGCCAGCUACAUUUCAGUCCUUGAUGAACAGAAUAUUUCAGCCAUAUCUCAGAAAGUUUGUCCUAGUCUUCUUUGACUACAUAUUAGUGUACAGCCCCACACUAGAGAUGCAUGCACAGCAUCUACAGAUUGUGCUCAAUAUUUUAGAAGAAAAUCAGCUGUAUUACAAGAGGUCAAAGUGCUCUUUUGCCCAGUCCUCAAUUGAAUACUUGGGGCACGUGAUCUCAGAGGCAGGAGUGAGUAUGGAUGUGGCUAAGGUGGAGUGUAUCAAGUCCUGGUCUGUUCCUAGUACAGUCAAGGAGCUGAGAGGGUUUUUGGGAUUAAUUGGUUACUACAGGAGAUUCAUUAAAGGCUAUGGAGUGAUUAGCAAACCCUUGACUGUAUUGUUGAAAAAGGAAGGUUUUGCAUGGAACCAUGAAGCUCAAAUGGCCUUUGAAGAUUUGAAAAAGGUUAUGACCACAGCCCCAGUGCUGAGCAUGCCUAAUUUCGAACUUCCUUUUGUCAUAGAGACUGAUGCCUGUGGAAUAGGUAUUGGAGCAGUGUUGAUGCAGCAAGGACAUCCUAUUGCUUUCCUUAGCAAGGCAUUAUCAGUUCAGAAUUUGGGGUUAUCAGUCUAUGAAAAAGAGCUUUUUGCCUUAGUGCUAGCUGUAACUAAGUGGAGGCAUUACCUGGUGGGUCAUCACUUCAUUAUCAGGACAGAUCACCAAGCUCUCAAACAUUUGAUAGAGCAAAGGCUUACUCAUCCACUCCAGCACAAGUGGCUAACUAAGCUACUUGGUUUGGACUAUGAAAUACAGUAUAAAAAGGGUGCAGACAAUGGGGUGGCAGACGCCCUCUCCAGGAGAAGGAUUGAGGGAAACACUGUUGACUGUGGAGAGACUGGGCAUCAGACCUGCGCCAUAACCUCAGCUCAGCCUAGUUGGAUGCAGGAAAUGCUAGAAAGCUACAUUGGAGAUGCAGAGGCUCAACAGAAGUUAUCUGAGCUAUUGCUGGAUCCCAAUGCAGAUCCAGAUUAUCAGUUAAAGAAUGGGAUGCUCAAGUUUAAAGGGCGGCUGUACAUAGGAUCUGCUAACAACAUUAGGACCAAGGUGGUCAGAGCAUUGCAUGACUCAGCCCUUGGGGGGCACUCAGGUCCUGGAAUCCGUAAGGAUGUCCUUCAAUAUGUGAGAUCUUGUGAUGUGUGUCAAAGGAACAAACAUGAAAAUGUUCCUUAUCCUGGGUUGCUGCAACCAAUUCCUGUACCUCAGCAGGCUUGGUCACACCUCACCAUGGAUUUUAUUGAGCAACUACCCCCAUCCCAUGGAUUUGAUACCAUUUUGGUGGUGGUGGAUAGGUUAACCAAGUUCAGCCACUUCAUUCGACUCACUCACCCUUUUUCUGCACAGCAGGUAGCACAGCUUUUCCUUGACAACAUAUACAAGCUGCAUGGACUUCCUGAGACCAUUAUAACUGACAGGGACAUAAUCUUUCUUAGUAAGUUUUGGCAAGAGUUAUUUGGUAUGGUAGGGGUAAAGCUGCACUACAGUUCAUCGUAUCACCCUCAAUCAGAUGGUCAAAGUGAAAGGGUCAAUCAGUGUUUGGAAAACUAUCUCAGGUGUAUGUGCAGUGAGCAUCCUUCUCACUGGAGCAGUUGGCUUCCUACAGCUGAGUUAUGGUACAACACUAACUUCCAUACUAGCUUGCAGGUGACACCAUUCGAAGCACUAUACGGGUAUAAACCAAAUCACCUUCCCUUAGGACCUUUUCAUGAUAGCCUGGUACCUGCUGCUGGUAACAUGGUGCAGACUAGGCUCCAAAUUCUAUCCCUCAUCAAAGAGAAUCUAGCCACCGCCCAGAAUCGAAUGAAAAUGUUUACUGAUAAGCACAGGACUGAACGUGUCUUCCAAGUGGGGGAUUGGGUAUUUCUCAAGCUGCAACCUUACAGGCAACAAUCAGUGGCCUUACGGAAGAAUUUGAAGUUGGCUGCCAAAUACUUUGGACCUUUCCAGAUCCUUGCGAGAGUAGGGGAAGUCGCCUACAGACUUAAGUUGCCAGAGGGAGCUCGAGUUCAUUCCGUGUUCCAUGUGUCCUUACUUAAAAGGAAAGUGGGAGUUACACAGCAGGUAAAGCCCAGCUUGCCAGAAGUAGACGCAUCAGACCAAUGUUUGCUGAAGCCAGAGAAGAUUCUCCAGAGGCGUGUUAUCAUACGAGCUGCCAAACCAAUCAUCCAGUACCUGGUGAAGUGGAACAACUUACCAGAAUCCGAAGCAUCAUGGGAGGAUAAAAGCUUCAUUGACAGACAAUUUCCGGAAUUUCAAGCUUGAGGACAAGCUUUGCUUAAGGGGAAGAGAUUGUCAGGAACAAGGAAAUAGAAUGGGACGUCGUUUAAUGCAAAGGGUUGUGCGUUUAAGGCCUUAGAAGCAAUACUACGUCAUUCUAAUAACAUAGGCGGUGCUGGUGUGAUAGGCCAAGUUAGUUGAGGGUCAAUUACAUAAAUAGCCUUCUGUAACAGAUUUUUGGUUAUGUUUUUGAAUGAAAAGUAUCUCGCUGCUUUCUCUCUCUUGUCUGUUAUUUCCCUCCCUUUUCUUCUUUCUCUCUUCCCUCUUCUUAAUCUUGUUUCUUUCUUCUGAUUCUUCCCCCAAAUUCAAUACAAUUCCAGAAAUUAACCUGCAGAUCUGACAAGGAGCCCUAUUCUAACCAAAUAACACACUACCAGGGUUAUUUUAGGUUAGCCCGCGUAUUCCCCUGACAUGAAUCCAAUCAUGCCAGUUAUCACUAUUUUGAAACAAUUAAACAAUUACGGAUUUAACGUCCCAAUUGACAAUAGAUUAUCAAAUUAACUAAUUAUCCGGAUCCAAAACAAUCAAUUAAUUAAAUAAUCAUAAGCACUGUAAUCAGGGAAUAUUUGAAUACCAAUAAAUAAAAAGAAAGGACAAAAUUAAAUCGAUUUCACAAUUUUUAAACGAACCACAACCUCAGUUGUUCCUCGGCUAGAUUGAGAAAAUUAGCUCAUGUUCGAUGCGAAAAAUCCACAAGAAAUUGUUAAGAGAGCCGCGGCCAUUGUCCCUUGAAAUUGGGGAAAUUCAAUUCGGUUGAACUACGAAAGAAAAGUAAGCUACAGAGAGUUGCCGAUUGGGUUUUGCUUGUCCCUAACAUGCGAGGGAGCAAAGCCACGAAAGGACGACAAAGGUCAAAAAGAAAGGCUACAGAGCAUGUUCCAGGUCUUUUUGUGCUCUCCACAUCCGAGCCAACGAAAAGAAAUAAAAAACUACCAGGAGCUAAAGGAAAACCGCAAGAAAAGUCAAAGGCUAAAAAAACUUCCUAGUGCUUGUUCUCUGCUUAUCUCUUUAUCUAAUUCUAAGUCCCCGAUUUUUUGCUCCGUGCGGCGGCUCCCCCGGAGAGAAAGGAUUGCAUCCGCUGCCCUCUUCCACCAAUUACCAAAAUGGGCACACCGCUUCUUUUUCAAAAAUGCUCCUGGAUAAACUCUAUCAUCUGGACUUUUUUUCUGUCAAAUUGACAUUUAUUAUUAUAUUUUCGUUCUACUCCCUGAAAUAAAUGUAAAAUAUUAAAAAUGAGUAGAAUCCGACAAUUAAUUCACAUCAGGUCAGAUAAUAAAGAAAAUUAAUAAUAAAAUAAAUAAAUAAAUUGCAACCUAUCAACCAAAUACAACAAUUUCAUGGAGUUUGAUACACAAGCCCAAAUACACGAGAGUGUGUAACCUGAAUUGUUACUUAUACAUUAGUGUGUAAUAGAACGGCAAGCAUUAUGGUGGUCAUUGAGCAACUUGUAGGAGAAAUAGUCCUAUAAGCUGUUCAAUGACCAAUCACAACUUGCUAAUUGGAUGACUAAUAUAGCUCUAGCUGUAAUGUUUUAAUUAAAUUCCAUCACUAACGUUGGGAUGACUUUUUAAUCAAAAAAAAAAAAGCCUUAGUUCAAGCUUUUCCCCUUAUUGUGCAUUUUUUAAAACAUUUGAUAGGCACUGCAAAUCUGUCAUUUUGGACAUUUUAUUAUUAACUAACAAUGAAAGCCGUGGACAUCAACCCAUAUCCAACAAAAUAUUAAAUUAAUAUUAGAAAAAAUUAUUAAGUAAUUGGAAAAAAAAAGAAGAGGCUAAUUUUCAUUGAAACCCACCGACAAACUAUACGCUGCUUUCAAUCAGUUUUAACACGGGAAAAAGAAAAGGCAUGAAAAGCAAAAUUUGUGGGGAUAAUUUCGGAAACCUCCCAUGAAGUUUUUGACUAUUUUACUGGCCUCCCUUCAGAUUUUAAAAAUUGGACUAAUCUUCCUUAAAGUUAAUUAUCUUGUAACAUUUAGAUCCGAUCAAUAAUUUAAAAAAUAAUAUUAUGAGAGAGAAAAUAAUAUGAUUUUAUUAUUGCCCCCAUCUCACCACAUUAUUUAAUUAAUUUAAUAGCAACCCACACAUUAAAGAAAAUGACAGGUCGUCAACCUGUGCAAUAAUAAAAUUAAACCUAAUUGCCAGUUAAAAUGACCAAAACCCAAUUCCAAGUACUGGAGCAGGGACUCUAGGUGUGCAAUGGGUUACUUGAUUCACCCUGUUCCCGAAGAGUUUGCUUGAUCCGAUAUACCCGAAUGGAAUGGUUAUUCCUUUUCACAAAUGAUUAGGAAUUUGUAGACAGGGCAAGUAGGGUCGUAUCCACAGAGACUGGGUAUAUUUGUUUCUUAAGAAAUCCAAAGUAACACAGGGGGUGAUUUUGUAGGAACGACGAUAAUUAAAUAAAUUCAAAUGAGAAAGUAAAAAUAAAUAAUUAACUAGAAAUUAAACCACAAUUUACUGAACUCAGGAUAACAAUAGUUAAAGGCCUCAAUUAAUUAAAAUAAGGAAACAAUCAAAAAUAAAAUAAAGUAGGUAAUUAAAAGUCAAAUGGCAAUCCACUACAAUCAAGGAAAUAUUAACUAAAGAUCUAGCCAAGAAAUAACUUCAGCAAUGGUUCACCUAAUCGAUCAUUGAUGCAAAGCAAUCCCAAUUAUUUACUAAUAAAUAGGUUAUAACUACCAAACAAGCGAUGGCAGUCAACCCCUCCUUACUGUGUCGGUGAUCAAGGUACGCCCGUUAAUCACUGCUCUAAUUGAGAAAUAAUCCUAGGUACGCCCGUAGAAUUUAAUUCCCCAACUGCCUUACGUAUUAGAGGAGCCCUAUUCUACCCAAAUAACACACUACCAGGGUUAUUUUAGAUUAGCCCGCGUAUCCCCCUGACACGAAUCUAAUCGUGCCAGUUGUCACUAAUUUGAGGUAAUUAAACAAUUACGGAUUCAAUACCCCAAUUGACAAUAGAUUAUCAAACCAAUGAAUUAUCCGGAUCCAAGACAAUCAACUAAUUAAAUAAUCAUAAGCACUGCAACCAAGGAAUAUGCGAAUACCAAUAAAUAAAGGAAAAGAUAAAAUUAAAUCGAUCUCACAAUUUACAGGUGACCCAAAGCAUCAGUCGUUUCUUGACUAGAACGAGGGGGUUAGCUCAUAUUGGAUGAACUAAGCCCGCGGGAAAUUCCAGCAAAAGUCACGGCCGUUGUAUGCAUUUCAAGAGCCGCAAUUCGUCAAACACUUGGAAAGCGAAUGUAAGGCACGGGUAACAAUUGAAACUUUCUAAUUGUUCCUAGCAUUCGUAAAGCAAAUUCACUCCAGAAGUACAGUGAGGAAAAGUCAAAGAAAGUGGGCUUCAAUUCCUUGCUCCUGACAUGCGUGGAGACAAGCCAAUGCAAGACUACAAUAAACUAACAAGGAAAAGUCAAGAAUUGGAGCUAAGCUCCCCUGCCAUGCGCAGGAAUCCCAAAAGUAAAAAGUAAAGCUUCAAAGAAAAGUCAACAAUUCUUCCUAAGCUACAGACGGAAGAUCCAGCACAAAAGCCAGCUCCCUUUUUGAUCCCUUUUUCCCCCUUCUUAUUGCGGCGGCUCACCAGGAGAGGAGAGCCCUCCGUCCGUCCUUUCUUCCGGAAAUUACCAAAAUGGGCAUGACAUCUUCUCUUCCAAAAGUGCCCCUGGGACAAGCUUUCUCAUCUGAAUUCUUUUUUUUUCCAAUUUGGCACCUGUUAUCAUAUUUAUAUUCUACUCCCUGAAAUAAACGUCAAAUACUAAAAGUGAGUAGAAUCCAGCAAAUAAAUCCACAUCAAGUCAGGUAAUAGGAGGAAUUAAUAAUAAAAUAAAUGAAUAAAUUGCACCCUAUCAAUUCCCUCCACACCUAAACCAUGCUUGUCCUCAAGCAUAAGAAAAGUAAACGAACACCAAAAUUCGACGAUAGCCAUUGCCCAAUCUCCUAUAUUGCCAAGACAUUCAAGAGAAAAACACAUAUCGAGCAUUGGUGAUUAGAAUCCCAGAAGCAUCCCCCCGGUUAGCCUCUAACCCCCAGAUUCCUUCAAUUUCCAACUUAACUACUCUAAGAAAGAGGAAUGGCACACAACAUUUAUCAGCUAGUGGUCCGAAUAUUCACACAAGUCUUCAUAUCCAAUCCAUAAACCGGCAAGCUUCCCUAUUAUUUAGUCUCUCUUUUUUUCCGUUUUUUUUCAUUUUCAUUCUUCCCCUCUUUUUUUUUUUUUUUUAAAGCAGUAGCAAUCAACACAAAAGACUUAGUCGUUAGCCGUCAGGGCCUUUUGAUGCGAACUCCAACAUUUUUAGAAGGAGGAGCCCGGUUACUCAGCUCCUACCGCUAUACGACCACGCACUCAUAUAAAAUACCACCUUUUGACGCGAGAAUCGACACUUUUAGGUGCCGAUCCCCGGUUACUCAGUAGUAACUUAAUAGCGGAGCACAGUCAAGCUUAUUCUCAGCCAAACAAUGCACAAACGCAAAAUAACAGCACUAACAAUCAAACAUAGGAGCAGCUCGCCUCAUUAUUGUCAAACAUGGAGAACUGGAGUCAAUAUUGGACCAGUUCACAUUAAAAGGCCAUAUUCAUUCCCUACGCCUAGAAAAGUUAACAAAGAAAUCGAAAGAGUCAAACAGUUAAAUAUUCACCAAGGGGAUAUUCAGGACCCAACCACACUAACCCGAUACAUUUUGUAUUUUAAAAACUUGGCAAAAGUAGAUUUGGAGUCAAUGAGUCCACAUCUCAAUUUUAGCCUUCACAUGAAAGGCAAUCACCAAGAAGAAAGAACGGAAAAAUAAGCAACUAGAAAUGAGACUACGAAAAACUACUAAAACUAAAAACUCACUUUUUUUCUUUUUCUCUUUUUUUUUCUUUUUGAAUUUUUUUUUCAUUUUUAUUUUUUUUUAUUUUUUUUAUUUUUUAAACAUUAACUAUAAACAUUAACUACUAAAAACUAAAAACUAAAACUACUAAAAACUAAAAACACUAAAAACUGCUAAAAUGAAAAGCUGAAAACUGAAAACUACUAAAAACGGAGCACACUAGCAUAACUUUAGAUCCCCCCCACACCUAUAGGACACAUUGUCCUCAAUGUGACAAAUAAGAACCAAAAGUGAAGCACAAGUGAGAGGGGAAUCAGCCAAACUUCCCUGAAAUCGGGUCACAGCGGAGGGCGAGGUGGAAAUGGAGGUGCAAAGCCUGUAUGCAUCAGGAACUGUGCCAAAUUCUGUGCUAUGCCGGCGACAUUGGCGUCGACGUUGGUCAUCCGGGCCUGCAAAUCCUGAACCAGCUCCCUGAGAUGCUGCCAAUCAUCGGUCCCAGGUGGUGGAGGUGGCGCAGAAGUAGAGGUAGACGGCCCAGCAGUGUCCGCGGCCGACCCAGGGAAUGAAGAUGGCCCUGCCCGGGCCGAAUGGUGUGCACCCGGGGCUCGAGGUGGUCCCGGACGGGUAAACUGGUGAAAACCAUCUGGCAGACGCUCGACGACCCCCAUUUUCUCUAAGCAAACUACGUCCAAGUGCUCCAUCUCAAAUGCCAAAUGGAGGUCGUGGUCAUCCAGGUUAAGAACUCCCAACUGGGUCGCCAAGUGAGUGAUGUAGGACCCAAGGAUCAGUGGUUUGUUCUUCUUGGUCAAGACCGUCUUGAACUGUGCGGCCAACCAACAUCCCAAGUUCACCUUGAUAUUGUUCUUCAUACUCCAGAGAAAGAAGAAUUCGGGCCGAGAGAGUAUACCGGAGCUGUCCUUGCGCCCCGAGUAGCUAUAAGCUAAGAAUCGCUGAACAUAGCGGGCGCUAGGGUCCUUAAGAAAGGAGCUCCUGGACCGGGAAGGAUCGUAGCGUUGCCUAUCGACGGACAUGUCCUCCCAUACAUCAUGGUAGUGGGAGAGGAAAGGCUCUACGUAGUCACAGGCACUCUCCGCAUACUCCCUAGUCUCAGCAUACUCUCUAGUGAUAAACCCAAAUGCCAGAUUGAAUUGAGUAAUGGAGAAAUUGAAUUCUCGACCCAUGAGCCGGAAAUGAAUGACAUUCGGUGUUUCACCCGUGUAUCUCGUAGGUAAUUCGAACUCAAAGGUGGAGUAAAACUCCCGGAUCAGCUCAACAAAAGCGGGACAAGAAAUAUGGAAAUAUGGGCGCCACCCAAUGGCUGUGAACAUUUGCUCAACCUCCUCCCGUAUACCCAGGGCAGUUAGAGAGAGUCUAUGACAAGACUUACAGGAUAUUAUACGCCUCUCGCAGACCUUAGCGUACCUCUGCCGAUCGGCGGGUCUGGUAAAUGUUAAGUGCCCCCCAAAAUGAACAGGUGCAUCUACCUGAGCACCCCUAUCCCUACCCAAACGGGUUCGAACACUAGAAGAGGAGGGUAGGUUGGUAGGUGAGUUGACAGGAAUAGAGGCUUGUGGAGGGGGUUGAGACUGAGAGGUCCUAGACCUAGAGGAGGAUUUCGGUCUCACCAUUCCCCCCAAAGUAAGUUCAAGGCAACAGAAAAUCCGACAAGUAUAGAAACCAGCAAUUGACAAAGCAAAAAUCUCCCAGUAGUAACCCAGCCAAUAGCAAACAAAAGAGUUCCAGCAAGUAAUCAACAAGCAAUUCAGAAAUAUCUCAACUAAAAUCUCAAGAGAAACCCCAGCGAGUUAUCCAGCAAUUCAAGCAAUAUCCCCAAGCAAUGUGGUGGUCAAAAUGUCAUCUCCAAAUUGAACAAAUAAUCAGAGCAUUGCAACACAUUGAAAAUCUCAAUAAACGGCUCCAGUUGGCCAAGAAAAAUUGCUAACUCAUACUCAGCAAUAGUAGUGCAGCAAAGGGACAGUAACCACGCAAUAAAAACACUUAGCUUGCACUCAAAUGGUCACCCCAAAUAACAACCCAGUAUGAAACCCGCAGGCAGAGUAUUCCUCAAACCGUUAGCCUAAACCCAGUCAACAACCACGGCCAGAAAUAACCCCAUAAAUAGUGCAAUGAGUAAUCCCCAGCAACAUAAUCAGGUGUAAUCAACUGGAGCAAGCAAUUUACAUGGCAUAGAAACCUCCCAAUCAAACAAGUGCAUUAUUCUAGCGCACCCCAAAAUUCCAAGAAAUGGCUCCAGUUGGCCAAUUAAUUUCACAAUGUCACCCAACUCAGGAGAAAUAGCAAUUCCACACAAAAAUAGUCAAACCAGUACCACUGGCGAAAAAUCUUUCAAAUAUGCACAAUUUGCUACCAAAUAUCACCGGCUAACACUGAAAAAUUGAGGGCAAGUGUCAAAUACCUCCACAGGGACUACCCCAGGCGGCAGACAGAGAAGCGGCGUUGAAGCUGGUGGUCGAGCGGGGCGGCGCUCGCGUCGGCGUGCGCAGCGGCGACGGCGCGCGAGGAUGGAGUUUCGGGAGGUUGCGUGCGGGCUUGGCUGAAGACGCGGCGCGCGCUAGGGCUUCGCUGCGGCAGGCGUGCAGCAGGGGAGAAGAAAGAAAAGAGAAAGAAAGAAAGAAAAAGAAAGGAAAGAAAGAACAGAAAAGAAGGAAAAGAAAAAGGAAUUUUUCUUUUUUUUCUUUUUCUUUAGGCUACGGUUUAGAGGACAAAUUUUUCUUCUUCUUGUUUUCUACUUUUUUAUUUUUUUAUUUUUUAGUUUUUAAUUUAUUACUAUUAUUAUCAUAUUUAAUUGAGGAAAAAAAAUGUUUUUUUUUAAAUCCCUACCUUUCCCACGAACGUGACGCGGGCACGUCAAGAGGGCAAGAGAGCUCCCAGAAGUUUCAGAAUUUUCUGAUCGUAAGCGUCCUGCACAUCACCACGCGGGCACGUCAUGAGGACAGGAGAGCUCCCAGAAGUUCAGAAUUUUCUGAUCGUGAGCGCCCUGCACGUCACCACGCGGGCACGUCAUGAGGCCAGGAGAGCUCCCAGAAGUUUGAAGUUUCUGAUUCCUGCCCGUCAUCACGCGGGCGCGUCAUGACUGAAGGUCACCUACAAAUCAGCAAAAACGAAAACUAACACCCAAAAUCAGUCAAAUUCAGGGAAAGCAGAUUUAAACUAUGCUACAAAACCAACAAACAAUUAAAAGAAAUAAUUAGGUUGCCUCCCAAUGAGCGCCUUUCUUUAAUGUCUUUGGCUAGACAUGGUAAAGUGUCACUGAUUAGGACACGGUGGUGCGUCAAGCCUUAUUGUCUCCACCUCUCUACCUGAAAAUCCUUCGUAAUAAUAUUUGAGACGGUGUCCAUUCACCACAAAUUUGUUGUCUGUCUUAGCACUCUGGAUCUCAACUGCACCAUAGGGAAAAACAUGAGUAACAAUGAAAGGUCCAAUCCAACGGGAACGUAGCUUACCUGGGAAUAGCUUGAGCCUGGAUUGGUACAGGAGGACCUUCUGACCAACUUCAAAUGUUUUUCUUGAAAUUUGUUGGUCAUGAAAUGCCCGGCUUUUCUCCUUAUAUAUCAAGGCGUUUUCGUAUGCUUCGUUCCGGAUCUCCUCCAAUUCUUGCAAAUCCAACUUCCGUUGAGCACCGGCCUCCUCUAAAUUCAUAUUGCAGUGCUUUAUCGCCCAAAAAGCCUUGUGCUCGAACUCCACUGGAAGGUGACACGGCUUCCCAAAUACCAACCUGUACGGUGACAUCCCAAUAGGAGUCUUGUACGCCGUCCGAUAGGCCCAGAGUGCGUCUUCCAACCUUUGGCUCCAGUCUUUUCUAUCAGGGCGCACCAUUUUCUCUAAAAUGGACUUAAUCUCCCGAUUCGACACCUCCGCUUGACCAUUGGUCUGAGGGUGGUAUGACGUUGAGACCCUGUGGAGUACACCAUACUUGCGAAACAACGCAGCUAUGGUUUUGUUGCAAAAGUACGUUCCCCUAUCACUGACAAUAGCUCUAGGCAUUCCAAACCGCACAAAGAUAUUAGACCUGAUAAAAUCUGCAACUACUCUCGAAUCAUUAGUUCGAGUGGCCUUAGCCUCCACCCAUUUAGACACAUAAUCAACUGCCAGCAAAAUAUAUAAAAAACCAAAUGAAGUAGGAAAAGGCCCCAUGAAAUCUAUACCCCAGACAUCAAAAAUUUCAACAAAAAUCAACGGGACCUGGGGCAUUUGAUCUCUACGGGCUAUAUUACCUACCAUUUGACAGCGAUCACAUGACUUACAAAACACAUAGGCAUCUCUAAACAAUGAAGGCCAAUAAAAUCCACUUUCUAAAACCUUAUGAGCAGUUCUCUUAGGUCCAAAAUGACCUCCACAGGCAAAAGUAUGACAAAAAGCUAAAAUUGAUUGAAAUUCCAUUUCACUUACACAUCUCCUCAUCACUUGAUCGGCACACCUCUUCCAUAGGUACGGGUCAUCCCAGAUAAAAUACUUGGCAUCGCUCUUCAAUUUAUCCCUCUUCGAUUUCGGCCAACCUGCAGGAAAAUUACCAGUUACCAAAUAAUUGACCAAAUCAGCAUACCAAGGCAACUGAGAAUUUAAGAAAAAUAGGUAUUCUUCGGGGAAUGCAUCCUUCAAUGGCUCGCUAUCCUCUUCAACUAGUAUGCGACUCAAAUGGUCCGCUACUAGAUUUUCUGAGCCUUUUUUGUCCCUUAUCUCCAAGUCAAAUUCCUGUAGGAGCAGUAUCCACCGUAUGAGCCUCGGUUUUGCAUCUUUCUUGGUCAUCAGGUACCUCAAUGCUGCAUGAUCAGAAAAUACAAUCACUUUAGCACCUAACAAGUAUGACCUAAAUUUUUCCAAAGCAAAAAUAACUGCCAGAAGCUCCUUCUCAGUGGUGGAAUAAUUCAACUGGGCUCCAUUCAAGGCCCGGGAUGCGUAAUAGAUGACAUGAGCCGCCUUGCCUAUUCUUUGCCCCAGUACAGCCCCAACAGCGUGAUCACUGGCAUCGCACAUGAUCUCAAAUGGCAAAUUCCAAUCGGGGGGUUGGAUGAUUGGGGGUGAAGUCAGCAAUUCCUUCAGCUUGUUAAAGGCUCUCUCACACUUAUCAUCAAAUUCGAAGGCUACAUCUUUUUGUAGGAGUUGGAACAACGGGGCUCCAAUCUUUGAAAAAUCCUUGAUGAACCUUCGAUAAAAACCUGCAUGUCCAAGAAAAGAGCGCACCUCCCGCACACUCGCGGGGUAAGGUAAUGCAGAAAUAAUGUCUAUUUUAGCCUUGUCAACUUCUAUGCCCUUAGACGAUACAAUAUGACCCAGGACUAUUCCGUGCUCAACCAUAAAAUGACAUUUUUCCCAAUUAAGCACAAGAUUAGUCUCUAUACACCUGAUCAGGAUUAAUUUCAGGUUAUCUAGACAAGUAUCAAAACUAUCACCAUACACACUGAAAUCAUCCAUGAAAACUUCUAUUAUUUUCUCAACAUACUCGGAAAAGAUGCUUACCAUACAUCUUUGGAAAGUCGCAGGUGCAUUGCACAACCCAAAUGGCAUUCGUCUGUAGGCAAAGGUCCCGAACGGGCACGUGAAGGUUGUCUUCUCUUGAUCCUCCGGGGCAAUUGCUAUCUGAAAGUAUCCUGAAAAUCCAUCCAAAAAGCAAUAAUAAGCCCUACCAGCUAAACGUUCAACCAUUUGGUCAAUGAAAGGGAGAGGGAAAUGGUCCUUUUUGGUGACGGCGUUUAGCCUACGGUAAUCUAUACAUUGCCUCCAUCCAGUGGGUUUGCGCACUGGCACGAGCUCACCAGUUUGGUUGGCCUCUACCGUCACUCCUGCAUUCUUUGGGACUACCUGGACCGGACUCACCCAAGGGCUAUCAGAUAUUGCAAAAAUGAUGCCCACAUCUAGCAAUUUUAGAAUCUCUUUCUUUACGACUUCCAUCAUGAGGGGAUUGAGCCUUCUUUGAGCCUGCCUAACAGGUUUGGCAUCGUCUUCCAGCCUAAUCCGGUGCAUACAAAUGGCCGGGCUGAUCCCCUUAAUGUCUGCGAUUGUCCAGCCUAUUGCCUCUUUAUGCUCCCGAAGGACCCGGAUCAAUUUCUCUUCCUGGGUCUUUGACAGUGCCGAUGAGAUAAUCACUGGGAGUGUCUCAUUAUCACCUAGGUAUGCGUAUUUCAGGUGCUCUGGUAGAGGUUUCAACUCCAGUACAGGUGCCUGCACCACAGAUGGCAAUACCCUCUGGUGAGCCUUGGGAGUAAAAAUAGGUAAGACUUCAUACCUUUUCGUGGUGGUCUGCAACGAGUGUAAUGCACCUAUUGUGCAUUUUAAAUCCUCGCUCCACUCCACCUCAGGAGUUGUCUCCAACUCGAGGUGCUUGGUUAAAGCCACCUCCAGCUCAUCCCUGCCAUCAGUUUCAAACACUUCCUGCACUACAGGGUCAAUAGCACUCACAGAAAAAACUGAGCUAAAGUUGGAGUUAGAGGGGUACUUCAUAGUAUCAAAAAUAUUAAAAUGCACAAUUUACCCAUCAAACUCCAUGGACAAGGUACCCUUAUUAACAUCAAUUUUCGUCUGCGCAGUGCUCAUAAAAGGUCUACCCAAUAACAAAGGUGAGGGAUCAGGGGAGUGAUCAUCAUCCAUAUCUAGUACAUAAAAAUCAGCUGGAAACACCAAAUCAUUAACCUUUACCAACACAUCUUCAAUCAACCCAUCAGGAUAUGCAUUAGUUCGGUCAGCUAAUUGAAUAAUUAUUCCAGUUUCUUUUAAUGGACCUAGUUUCAAAGAAGCAUAGAUAGAUUUAGGCAUGACAUUAAUUGAUGCUCCCAGAUCCAGCAUGGCCCUUCUGAUCACAGUAUUACCUAUCUUACAGGGAAUAGUAAACAUACCUGGGUCCCCGCACUUUGGUGGGAGCUUUCUCUGCAGGACCGCAGACACAUUUUCUCCAACUAUGACCCGUUCAUCUCCCCUCAACCGCCUUCGGUUGACACACAAGUCCCUUAGGAACUUGGCAUAUUUUGGUACUUGUUUGAUGGCGUCUAAGAGGGGGAUAUUUAUCUCAACCUUGCGAAAAACCUCCAAGAUCUCCUUCUCCUUAUCCUGCUUCUUCGAUUUUUCCAACCUGCUAGGAAAAGGAGGCGGGUUAGUUUUAACUGUAAUUAUUGGGUCAGGAAGUACCUCUGGAUCUGCACCAUUGCUGUCCUCCCUUUCGAGCUCAUUUUCGAUCUUCUCUUCAUCCUUGUCCUUGGGAAUCACAGGUUCAGGCCCCUGAAUUUCUUUCCCACUCCUUAGGAUCAUUGCGCUCACGUUCUUCGGAUUCAACUCCGGUUGAGAUGGCAGCUUCCCUUGGUUCUGGGACUCCCAACGGUUCAUUCUGGUGGCCAAUUGACCUAUCUGAUUCCUUAUGUCCUGCAUUUCGGAGUCCGUCUUUUGCUGAUUUUGCAUAAUAGCUGCCUCCGUCCUUUGCUGAUUCUGCGCCAUGGUUGUCAUCAUUUGUUUCAGCAUCUCAUCCGUAGAUGAACCAGAUUGAGGGAGCGGAGGUGGUCGGGGUUGGUAUUGCUGCUGGUACCCUGGUGGCUUAUUUGGCACAAAGUUAGACUGCCUGUUUGGCGUGAAGUUGGAUUGCCUAUUUCCACCAUAACUGAGGUUGGGAUGAUCUCUCCACCCGGGGUUGUAGGUGCUUGAGUAAGGGUCGUACUGCUUCCUUGGCGCGGGCGCGUGGUCAGCCAUGUUCACCUGUUCCGCAGUUUCUUCCUGAAUCAUUGGGCACAUGUCUGCAGAGUGACCUAUACCAGUGCAAAUCCCGCAUACCCUGGCUUGUGAUGCAUUUCUCACAGCCUAUUGCCUAACGAACGCAGUCAACUCAUUUAGCUGCUGCUGCACAGAGGGUGUCUCUAUCUCAUUCACCCUACGUAUUGGGACAUCCUAUCUUGUACUGAAUUGCUGUGAAUUCUCUGCCAUCCCCUCUAUUAACUCCCGUGCUUCCUGAGGGGUUUUGUUCACCAGUGCCCCUCCACUUGCAGCAUCAAUGAUGCUCCUGUCUCUAAAAAUGAGCCCCUCAUAGAAAUAUUGUAUGAUCAACUGCUCACUUAUUUGGUGAUGGGGGCACCUGCGCAACAAGCUCUUAUACCGUUCCCAAUACUCGUAAAGUGACUCCUCGGGAUGCUGCUUGAUCCCACAAAUUUCUUUCCUUAGACUCGCAGCCCUGGACGCAGGAAAAUAUUUAUCCAGAAAUUUUUUCUUCAAUUGGUCCCACGUGGUGAUGCUACCUGGUGACAGGUAGUACAGCCAGUCCUUCGCAGAAUCUUUCAAGGAGAAGGGGAAUGCCCUCAUUUUUAUCUGCUCUUCUGUGAUUCCCGGGGGUUUCAUACUGUUGCAAACGACAUCAAACUCCUGCAGAUGCUUAUACGGCUCUUCACCUGGUAAACCAUGAAAAGAGAGUAAAAGCUGAAUCAGACCAGAUUUUAGUUCAAAUGGAAUGUUGUCAUUUAAAGCUGGGAAAGUAAUGCAUAACGGCUGCUGAGUUAAAUCAGGAGCAGCCAACUCCCUUAAUGUUUAUGCAUUAGCCAUGGUGCCUUCCUGCUGGUCAGAGUCACUCGAAGUGUUACCAAACGAAUCUGUUGGUUCAACUUCUGACUCGGGUCUUUGAGAUGUAGCACUAGAGUGCUCUUCUCUGAGCUGUCUGGUUUCCUUUCUCGUUCUACGCGCGGUCUUCUCUACCUCAGGAUCAAAAACCAAAUCACCUGUGCGACAAGAUCGAGGCAUACACUAGAAGAAAACCAGAAAAUUAGGACAAAAUUGAAUUUAAGAAGAAACAAAUAAUAACGCCAGUCCCCGGCAACGGCGCCAAAAAUUGACAGGUCGUCAACCUGUGCAAUAAUAAAAUUAAACCUAAUUGCCAGUUAAAAUGACCAAAACCCAAUUCCAAGUACUGGAGCAGGGACUCUAGGUGUGCAAUGGGUUACUUGAUUCACCCUGUUCCCGAAGAGUUUGCUUGAUCCGAUAUACCCGAAUGGAAUGGUUAUUCCUUUUCACAAAUGAUUAGGAAUUUGUAGACAGGGCAAGUAGGGUCGUAUCCACAGAGACUGGGUAUAUUUGUUUCUUAAGAAAUCCAAAGUAACACAGGGGGUGAUUUUGUAGGAACGACGAUAAUUAAAUAAAUUCAAAUGAGAAAGUAAAAAUAAAUAAUUAACUAGAAAUUAAACCACAAUUUACUGAACUCAGGAUAACAAUAGUUAAAGGCCUCAAUUAAUUAAAAUAAGGAAACAAUCAAAAAUAAAAUAAAGUAGGUAAUUAAAAGUCAAAUGGCAAUCCACUACAAUCAAGGAAAUAUUAACUAAAGAUCUAGCCAAGAAAUAACUUCAGCAAUGGUUCACCUAAUCGAUCAUUGAUGCAAAGCAAUCCCAAUUAUUUACUAAUAAAUAGGUUAUAACUACCAAACAAGCGAUGGCAGUCAACCCCUCCUUACUGUGUCGGUGAUCAAGGUACGCCCGUUAAUCACUGCUCUAAUUGAGAAAUAAUCCUAGGUACGCCCGUAGAAUUUAAUUCCCCAACUGCCUUACGUAUUAGAGGAGCCCUAUUCUACCCAAAUAACACACUACCAGGGUUAUUUUAGAUUAGCCCGCGUAUCCCCCUGACACGAAUCUAAUCGUGCCAGUUGUCACUAAUUUGAGGUAAUUAAACAAUUACGGAUUCAAUACCCCAAUUGACAAUAGAUUAUCAAACCAAUGAAUUAUCCGGAUCCAAGACAAUCAACUAAUUAAAUAAUCAUAAGCACUGCAACCAAGGAAUAUGCGAAUACCAAUAAAUAAAGGAAAAGAUAAAAUUAAAUCGAUCUCACAAUUUACAGGUGAUCCAAAGCAUCAGUCGUUUCUUGACUAGAACGAGGGGGUUAGCUCAUAUUGGAUGAACUAAGCCCGCGGGAAAUUCCAGCAAAAGUCACGGCCGUUGUAUGCAUUUCAAGAGCCGCAAUUCGUCAAACACUUGGAAAGCGAAUGUAAGGCACGGGUAACAAUUGAAGCUUUCUAAUUGUUCCUAGCAUUCGUAAAGCAAAUUCACUCCAGAAGUACAGUGAGGAAAAGUCAAAGAAAGUGGGCUUCAAUUCCUUGCUCCUGACAUGCGUGGAGACAAGCCAAUGCAAGACUACAAUAAACUAACAAGGAAAAGUCAAGAAUUGGAGCUAAGCUCCCCUGCCAUGCGCAGGAAUCCGAAAAGUAAAAAGUAAAGCUUCAAAGAAAAGUCAACAAUUCUUCCUAAGCUACAGACGGAAGAUCCAGCACAAAAGCCAGCUCCCUUUUUUAUCCCUUUUUCCCCCUUCUUAUUGCGGCGGCUCACCAGGAGAGGAGAGCCCUCCGUCCGUCCUUUCUUCCGAAAAUUACCAAAAUGGGCAUGACAUCUUCUCUUCCAAAAGUGCCCCUGGGACAAGCUUUCUCAUCUGAAUUCUUUUUUUUUCCAAUUUGGCACCUGUUAUCAUAUUUAUAUUCUACUCCCUGAAAUAAACGUCAAAUACUAAAAGUGAGUAGAAUCCAGCAAAUAAAUCCACAUCAAGUCAGGUAAUAGGAGGAAUUAAUAAUAAAAUAAAUGAAUAAAUUGCACCCUAUCAGAAAAAUGCAAAAAUUUGUUAUUUAUCAUUAAGGAUCAUAUCGCAUAUAACAUCAAAAAAUAGUAUAUUAUUUAUAUCUUUCACUUAAUAUAAUAUCCAAAUUACUCUUUUCAGUUACAUACCCAUUGUUAGACAAAAUCAACAACAAAUAACCAAAAAAUUUGCAACCAAAAUAUUACCAAAAAAAUAAACUUUAACAUCAUAAAUAUUUUUAUCAACAUAUUAAAGUUAGUUAUUGAAAUUUUUAUGGUGUUAAACUUCACUCUUAGCAAUAUUUUGGUUACAGAUUUUUUUGAUUAUUUAUUGUUGAUCGUGUUUGACAAUGGAUUUGUAACUGAAAAGAAUAAUUUGAAUCUUACAUUAAGUGAAAUAUAUAAAAUAUUAUACUAUUUUUUAUGGCAUAUGUGAUUCUUUUUUUUUUUUUUAUCAGAACGGCAACAUUGUAUUAAUAGUAAACCAAUUACAGUAUAGGUGGGCAACCGCCCUCACAAUCUGCCUGGACUUGUUCCAGCAGCCAAACUGGGAAGUUUUCCUUCCAUUCAGUAUUUUGUUCCAAAGUAAUAGCUACUUUAGCUAGUUUAUGGCUAACAAAGUUGUUCACCCUAUUUGCAAAGGUAAAACAACAUUCAUCAAAUUUUAUUCAUGUACAAUUGUUGCUAUCACCACGUCCUCCUCCUCCUCCUCACUGCACACUACUUGACUACCACCCUUCGCCAACCUUGCUGUUGCAUGUGCAACUAUCAUGGCCUCUCUUAGCGCCUUUGCUUCUUCGACCUUUGGACUGGCACAGCUAAAAUUUGGAACAGCCCAGGCCCACCCGCAAUCUUCCCAACCAAUCCCUGGCCACCCUUUUCCCACCCAGCUUCUAUGGCAUGUGUGAUUCAAUCCUUCUUGAUAGGAUUGGUAAUAGAGGCAGAGGGGGGAGCCGGCUGCAUCCGGUCUACUUUUCAUAGAUAGUACAAUAUUGCGAAAUCGAUCGCAUUCACACAAGAAUAUUUCGAAGUCAUUGCAUCGCUAAGUUGCAAAAAAGUACAAACACUUGUUAUUAUAUAGCUUAAGAUUCAAAACUUUAGAGCACAACCCUCCACCUAACACAAUUGAAUAAUGAAUAUUCACGAUUGUCAAAUCUGUCAAAGCACAGUUUGAGGACAACCCAUUCCAACCUGCAAAAGAUUUUUGACUUUUUUAAAGUUGUUGAGAGCUGUAAAAAGACUUACCAUGCUUACAUCUUCCGAGCCUUGGGAGUUAAAAAUGAAGGCACUGAGUGCUAUAAAAAGGGGGCUAGAGGCUGCCUAGAAGCAUAUCAGCCUAAAACAAGAAUUUGUAGUUAUGAUGGGAAGCAAAGCAAAAGCAAUGGGGUCUGGGCUGACUCCUCUUCUUACCACUGUUUUAGUGGUAUUUGUUGCUCUUGGCUUGCCCUCAGAAACUGCAGCUGAUGAUCACUACAAGUAUUCAUCUCCUCCUCCUCCUUACCACUAUCCCUCACCACCACCUCCAGUGCAUUUACCUCCACCAGUGUACAAAUACAAGUCCCCACCACCACCUCAUCAUGUUUACAAGUACAAAUCUCCACCACCCCCACCACCACACCCAGUUUACAAGUAUAAGUCGCCACCACCACCUCCUCAUCCGGUAUACAAGUACAAGUCUCCUCCGCCACCUCCUCAUCCGGUACCACACCCAGUUUACAAGUAUAAGUCACCACCACCACCUCCUCAUCCGGUACCACACCCAGUUUACAAGUAUAAGUCUCCUCCGCCACCAGUUUACAAAUAUAAGUCUCCUCCACCACCACCUCCAGUGUACAAAUACAAGUCUCCACCACCACCAGUUUACCACUACAAGUCUCCACCACCUCCUCCCCCAGUUUACAAAUACAAGUCUCCACCACCACCACCACCAGUUUACCACUACAAGUCACCACCACCUCCUCCCCCAGUUUACAAAUACAAGUCUCCACCACCUCCUCACCACUACUAAGCAAUUGCUUCUGAGGUAAUAACACUUGUUCAAUAUACCCACUUCUGCAUGAUAAAGCAUAUCUCUAUCAACACAAACUGUCAUGUCUAUCAUGCUAAGUGCCUUCACUUCAUCCACCAAAAUGACUGCUAGAAAAUUUUUUUUAUGUUACCAAAGAAAGGCAUCAUUUUUUCCCUCUGUUAUCAAGAACUUGUACAGUAUAUAGAUUAAAGAGUAUUUUUUUAACUAGCUUAUCAACUGAGAAAUGCAUAUAGCUGAUAGCCAGCUGAAUAUUUGCAGGCAAAGGAGAAGGAAACCAGUGUUUGAGACCUUCUUGAAGAUGUAGAAGCAUAAGAAUUAAAGCCCAAUGUGAAGAUGAUGAUUUCAAGUUUUUCUACGUUACCAUUUCUUUAUCUAAAUUGGUUGUAGCGCCUUAGUUCCUUUGUUUAUGGGAUUUGUAUCGUUUUACGUACCAUGCAGUACAUGUCAUGUUUGUAAGGUUUUCUAUCCUGCCGGCAAACCGCAGGUUCCAUGUAAUAAAUCAAUACUAUUUAUAUUACGACACUUUUCUCUGUUUCUCUUAUAUUUUGUCGUCUUUAAUAUUCUUAAUCAUAUUUUUAACAAAAAUAUUCAAACACUUAGGCAAUCUGGUCUAAUGCUAAUUGUAUGUUUUACUUUUCUUUUUCACCUGCUCCCCUUUUCAACUCAAAAGGAUGCAAUAGUUUGUGAUCACUGUUGAAGACGGAAGCAUGAUACUAAUGAAUAUAUCAUUGAAACUCAAGGAAACUAACAUUAUGAAAAGUGUAAAUCUUGAUUUGAUGCAACUAUUUAUUCGUGGAAUCUAUAGUUACAAAACUCAAACUCUGACUGCGCCAUUGAUAAAUUAUUAAUGACGCUAUCAUCAUUAUUUAUCCCCAACUAGUUUCGACUACAACUGAACCCAAUAUUUUCCCCAUGAUAAAAGUUUUUUACUAUUUUACUGGCCUCUCUUCAAAUUUUAAAAAUUACACUAAUCUUCAUUGAGAUUAAUUAUCUUGUAGCAUUUAAGUCCAAUUAAUAAUUAAAAAAUAAUAUUAUGAGAGAGAAAAUAAUAUAAUUUUAUCAUUGCCCCCCAUCUUGCUAUAUUAUUUAAUUAAUUUAAUAGCAACCCACACAUUAAAGAAAAAUACUAAAAUUUGCUGCUUUUCAUUAAAGAUCAAAUUGCAUAUGCCAUAAAACAUAGUAUAUCAUUCUAUAUGUUUCACUUAAUGUAAGAUCCCAAUUGUUCUUUUCAAUUACAAACCCAUUGUCAAACAUGAUCAAUAACAAAUAACCAAAAAAUUUGCAACCAAAAUAUUACAAAAAAAAACUUUAACAUCAUAAAUAUUCUUACCACCUCUAGUGCAUUCACCCUCAUAAAAUAAUUCAAGACCCUACUGUCAUAAAAUGACUGAUCAACUCCUGUAAACCUAAUUUGACAACAUUUAAAUGGAGAACUUUAGCUAAAAGAAUUAUGGUCAAGCUAAAGAAAAAACCAGUUAUUUUCCAACAUAUGCAAUCAUUGAUCAGGGAAAAAAAAAAGAAGCAAAAAGACAUCUUCAAUCAUUUAAUAGCUUACAGGGCAAAUUAACCCCUAAGCGAAAACUGGUUGCUCUAGAAUCAAAAUUUUACUUUAGUUACCCAGGCAACUUUUUUUGUUGCCUUUUCUUUUUCUUUUUUGGGUAUAUAUAUAGCUCCAGUUUUGCCCCCUCUGUCAAGCUUAUAUAAUUAUUAAGAUAAUAAAAGUGCCUUUAAUAGUAUUAAUAUAUCCAUUGACUUGAGCUGUCAUCGAUCGGUUUGGGCUACUUCGAUUCCAUGAGAACAAAUGGUAAUAAAAGUACUCAGAAAAUGGGGAGUCAUGAAACCCUUUUGUUCUAUUCAUUGCUAAGAUGCUUUUCUCUAUAAAGACACUUCCUAACGAAAAUACUUUGUAGAUUUCUUUACUCCAAGUGGUGCAUGGAAAAUUAAUAUUUUCAAUUAUCAAAUAAAAUUCCCUUUUUUCGGUGUAGAUUUCAUCCAUUCAGCUGUUAACACUCCGAAUUGACUAAUCUUUUCGUUUCCAUUUUCCAACUUGCGAAUACGGCAUCUUACAUAUUGUCUGCUGAAUAUGAAUACAUAUCCCUUUUCUGAGCAGGUGCAGAGUCAUUAUCAUUUUUAUUCCCACCUAACAAAUUAGUUAAUAAUCUUUUAAAGAACAUGUUAAAUUAAUUUAUUGGUAUGAAUAGUAGUCAAAGAAGUAUGUUAAAGUUAGUAAUCUUUAAAAUAAUAUGUUAAAAUUAUUCGUACAAAUUAGCCAGAGAAGUAGCAUAAACACCGCGAUGCAAUUAAUACUUUCAAUCUCAAGGUCUCUAUUAUGGAAAUUUGCAUCGGUCAACAUACACAAAGCAUUAUUGUAUGCACGUCUCUCUAUUAUGGAAAUUUGCAUAGGUCAAUAUACACUUGGCAUAGUUGCAUGCACGUCCAAUUUUUUUUUAUUUUUAUUUUUGGUAUUUUACUUCCUGCCUUAAGUUGCCUGCAGAUGUUUGUAUUACAAAUAUAUGGUAUACUAAAUAUAUAGUAUGCACAUUAAUUUCUUUGGGUUGCUUAAGGGUAUAUUGUUAAUAAUAGGGGGUUUAACCAUAAAUUAUAACAAUGAUGAAGUAAUAUAUAUUAGAAAAUUAACACAAUUAUGAUUUUUUUUUUUGUAAAAUUCAAAUUUUAUUAAUAAGAAAUGAAAUAGGCAGUAAGCAUUUACAAACCGAAAACAAAAUCCUACAACAACUCUAGGACUCUACACCUUAUUAAAAAAAAACAUUUUGAUAGCGUUUUUCCAAAAGCAGAAGAUGGAAAAUUGCCCAUUUGUACUGGGGAGUUCGUGAUCUUUUCCUCAUUCUAGUCUACUUACAAUUCUUGGAAAAAGGAAUACUCACAUCUCAAACAACAGCCUGUUCAUCUGCAGUGUCCUGCCGAAUUCUAGAAAGUUUGGUGGCAAUGUUAAUUACAUUUCAAAAUUGACUGCUGCGAUAACUAAUUCGAUGGCUUACUACAUGGUCAACGUUUGGAUCUCUUCCUGUCCUUUUUGGAUGCACAUUUUUUUUCUCUAGGUAAUAUAUAAUCUCCCAACUCAUUUCUUUACAAAUGCACCUUUAAUCACCACCAAAAGGUGUGGACAUGAUCUUUACCCUAGAAAACUAUUCACCGACAGGCAAAUUGACGUCAGAAAUACUAAGAGGAAUUCUAGUUUCCUUCGGGUUAAUGCCAUUUUGUACCCUUCAACUGUAACUCAAUUUCUAAGCUGUAAUUUGUGACAUUAUAGUCCUUAAACUAUGAAACCCUUUCUUAUUUAAUUACAAUGGUUAAUACAAUGCCCGUGACUAGACAAGUAUGAAGCAACCAUAACAAAAAAAAAAUCCAAAAUUAGAGAAAAGAAAGAAGUUGCGACCAAAGUAUGUAUCAAGGCAUAGUAUAGAAAUAAAAGUGUCAAAAUUAAGAGUUUAGGGAUAAAAAAGAAUCAAAAUAUAGUUUAGGAAUUGAUUUGUCUCAAUUAGAGUUUAGAUGUCAACUAAGAAGAGAGAUAUAGUUGAAGGGUAGAAUAUAGAUAUAACAGUUCAAUGAUUGAUAUCAACGAGACAAUGACAACUUUGGAUUAUUACCAACCUCUUCUUGAUGGAAAAGGAAAUAGAGAAGAAAGUCGGGCCUGGUCUAAGCCUGUUUCGGAGGCAAAACAACAUUAUGAAAUCACCGGCAUUCACACAAAUAUGUCAAAGUCACCGGCAUGCUAAGUUGCAAAAUUUAUACAAACACUGAAUAUUAUAUUCUUCUCAAAAUUUUUGUUUAAGAUUUAACAAUUAGAGCACGGUACACGAAUUAGCAAUAUUAAAUAAUGAAUGUUCACGAUUGAUAAAGUUAUCAAAGUACAGUUUGAGGACAACCCAUUCCAACGUGUACAAGAUGUUUAGCCUUUGAAAAGUUAAUUAGAGAAGGUGACGAGAUUUUACUAGGCUUACAACUUCUAGGCCUUGGGAGUAAAAAGUGAAGACACUGAGUGCUAUAAAAAGGGGGCUAGAUGUUGCCUAGAAGCAUAUCAGCCUCGGACCACAUUUUGUAGCAAUGGGGAGCAAAGCAAAAGCAAUGGGGUCUAGGCUGACUCCUCUUUUUACCACCGUUUUAGUGGUAUUUGUUGCACUUGGCUUGCCUUCAGAAACUGCAGCUGAUUACGACAAGUAUUCACCUCCUCCUCCUCCUUACCAUUAUUACUCACCACCACCUCUUGUGCAUUCACCUCCACCACCGCCAGUUUAUAAGUCACCCCCACCACCUUAUCACUACUUCUCACCACCACCUCCAGUGUAUCCAUCUCCACCACCAUCUGUUUACAAGUCACCUCCACCACCUUCGCCAGUAUACAAGUCCCCACCACCACCUUAUCAAUAUUCCUCACCACCACCUCCAGUGCAUUCACCUCCACCACCACCGAUUUAUAAGUCACCUCCACCACCUCCUCCAGUUUACAAGUCCCCGCCACCACCUUACCAUUAUUCCGCACCAUCACCUCCAGUGCAUUCACCUCCACCACCACCGAUUUACAAGUCACCUCCACCACCUCCUCCAGUUUACAAGUCUCCAUCACCACCUUACCAUUAUUCCUCACCACCACCUCCAGUGCAUUCACCCCUACCACCACCGGUUUACAAGUCUCUGCCACCACCUUACCAUUAUUCCUCACCACCACCUCCUAUGCAUGCACCUCCACCACCAAUAUACAAGUCACCUCCACCACCUCCUCCAGUUUACAAGUCUCCACCACCACCUUACCAUUAUUCCUCACCACCACCUCCAGUGCAUUCACCCCUACCACCACCAGUUUACAAGUCUCCGCCACCACCUUACCAUUAUUCCUCACCACCACCUCCUGUGCAUGCACUGCCACCACCAAUUUACAAGUCACCUCCACCACCUCCUCCAGUUUACAAGUCCCCACCACCACCUUACCAUUAUUCCUCACCACUACCUCCAGUGCAUUCACCUCCACCACCACCGAUUUACAAGUCACCUUCACCACCUCCUCCAGUUUACAAGUCUUCACCACCACCUUACCAUUAUUCCUCACCACCACCACUCUUCAAUUUGGAUGUAAUUCAAUUUUCCUUGUAAUCGGUGGCCCUCCUUCGGAAUCCAAAUAGUCAUUGAGUGCAGCCUUCUUUCUUUAUUUUUUACUCAUUUUCACCUCAUAAAUUGCUUUCAUCCCCUAAAACUUGUUCGCUGGAAUUUUGAAUUUACCCAUACAACUAAACUCAGAAAAUUCUUACACAAAGGGAUUAGUAGCAUGAAUAGCAAACACAGAAUAAGAGAUAACAGUAUGUUUUAUUGUAUUAAAAAUAUUAAAGUGGAUUAUUUCUCCAUCGAAUUCCAUUGUGAGAGUAUCGUUACUAACAUCAAUCUUAGUUUGAGCAGUACUCAAGAAUGACCUUCCUAAUAUAAUGGGUGAUGGAUUUGGGACACUUUCAUCAUCCAUAUAAAACACAUAAAAAUCAACAGAAAAAAUUAAUCCAUCUACUUGAACUAAAAACAUCCUCAACUACCCCAUUUAGAUAAGCAAAUAUACGAUCAGCCAAUUGAAUUAUUAUCCCUAUUUCUUUUAAAUGUUCUAAAUUUAGGGAAUCAUAAAUUGAUUUAGACAUCACAUUAAUAGAAAUCUUUAAAUCUAUCAUGGCAUUUUUUAUAUUAGAAUGUCCAAUCUUACAUGAGAUAGUAAACAUACCUAGAUUCUCGCAUUUAGGUGGUAGUUUCCUUUGUAAAAUUGCUGAAACGUUCUCAUCUACCACAAUAUGCUUGUCCUCCUCAAUUUCUUCUUGUUGACACACAAGUUUUUCAAGCAUUUAACGUAUUUUGGAACUUAUUUGAUUUGCGUCCAACAAAGGGAUAUUGAUUGCCACCUUGCGAAAAUCUCUAAAAUCUCCUUUUCUUUAUCUUGUUUCUUUGAUUUCUCUAACCUGCUUGGAAAAGGUGGUGAGUUAGUUCCAACUCUAAUUAUAGAAUCAACAAUUACCUUUGGAUUCACAUUUCUCAUUCCUUCCUCCUCAAGCUCUUUGUCGAUUCGAUCUUCAUUUUUAUCCUUUGGAAUCACAACUUCGGAUCCCUGAAUUUUCUUCUCGCUCCUUAAGGUCAUUACACUUACAUUCUUCAGGUUCAGUUCAGGUUGAGACGACAAUUUUUCAUAGAUUUGGGAUUCCAGGCGGUUGAUUGCUAUUACCAUCUGACUCAUCUGACUCUGCAGUGCUUGCACCUGUCCCAAUUGAUUCCUCAUACUUUGCAAGUCAAAAUCCAUCUUUUGUUGAUUAGCAAUUAAUUGCUUCAUUAUCUCUUCUAUAGAUGGACUUGAGUUUGAAAGAGGUGGUGGCGGGCGAGACUGAUACUGUUAUUGAUACCCUUGCUAUCUAUUUGGUGCAAAAUCUGGCUACCUAUUUCCUCCAUAGCUGAGGUUGGGAUGAUCUCUCCAACCAAUAUUGUACGUAUUCGUGUACGAGUCGUAUGGUUUUCUUGGCACGGCGCGUGACCAGCCAUGUUCACUUGCUCCGUACUUUUCUCUUGAAUCAUUGAGCACAUCUCUGUAGAAUGACCCAUAGCAGUGCAGAUCCCACACAUCUUGACUCGUGAUGCAUUUCCUAUAGCUAAUUGCCUAACAAAGGAUGUUAAUUCGGUCAACUGCUGUUGGAUAGAAUAUGUUUCUACCUCAUUUACUUUGCGUGUUGGGGCAUCCUCCCUCGUACCAAACUGUUGCGAAUUUUCCGCCAUUCCUUCAACUAGCUCCCACGCUUCUCGAGAAGUCUUGUUCACCAAUGCCCUUCUACUUGCAGCAUCAAUUAUACUCCUGUCUCUAAAACGCAGCCCCUCGCAAAAAUAUUGGAUGAGCAAUUGCUCACUUAUUUGGUGUUGAGGGAACUUGAUGCAUAACUUCUUGAAUCGCUCCCAAUAAUCAUAAAGCGACUCUCCUGGAUGCUACUUGAUACCGUAUAUCUCCUUCCUUAGACUUGCAGCUCGAGAUGCAAGAAAAUAUUUGUCCAAGAACUUUUUCUUCAGCUGAUCCCACGUGGUGAUGCUACCUGGUGGUAGAUAGCACAGCCAGUCUUUUGCGGAGUCCUUCAAGGAGAAGGGAAAUGCCCUCAUUUUUAUCUAUUUUUCUGUAAUUCUCGGAGGUUUUAUGCUGUUGCAAACGACAUCAAACUCUUGCAAGUGCUUAUACGGUUCCUCACCUGGUAAACCAUAGAAAGAUGGCAAGAGAUGAAUUAGACCAGAUUUUAACUCAAAUGAAGUGUUAUCAUUUAAAAAUAGAAAAGUAACUGAGAUGCAGCACUGGAAUGUUCUUCUCGAAAUUGUCUGGUCUCUUUCUUUGUUCUACGCGUAGUCUUCUCUACCUUAGGAUCAAAAAUUAAUUUACCUGUACGAGAAGAACGAGGCAUACACUAGAAAAACACUAGAAAAUUAGAACAAAAAUGAACAUAAAAAGAAACAAAUAAACCAACGUCAGUCCCCAGCAACGGCGCUAAAAAUUGACAAGUUGUCGAUGCCUGUGCAAUAAUAAAAAUAAACCUAGUUACCAAUUAAAAUAAUCAGAGCCUAAUUCUGAGUACUAGAGCAGGGACUAUAGGUGUGCAAUGGGUUACUUGAUUCACCCUAUUCCUGAAGUUUGCUUAACCCGAUAUACCAGAAUGAGAUUGCUUAUUCAAAAGGAAUUAUUGAUUUGUAAACAGGGCAAGUAGGGUCGUAUCAUCAGGGAUUGAAAAAAUUUGUUUCUUUUCAAAUCCACAGUAACAAGGGGAUGUUUUUGUAUAAAUGAUAACAAUCUAAGGAGUGCAAAUAGAAAUAAAUAGAUAACUAGAAAUUAAAUGACAAUUCACUAAAAUUAGAGUAAUAAUAAUUAAAGGUCUAGCUAAGAAAUAACUUCAGCAAUGGUUCACCUAAUUGAUCAUCGACGCAAAGGCAAUUCCAAUUAUUUACUAAUAAAUAGGUUAUAACUGCAAAACAAGCAAUGACAGUCAACCCCUCCUUACUGUCGGUCGGUGAUUAAGGUACGCCCAAUCACUGCUCUAGUUGAGAAAUAAUUUUAGGGACGCUCGUAAGAUUUAAUUUUCCAAUUGCCUUACGUAUUAGAGGAGCCAUAAUCUAACCAAAUAACGCUACCAGGAUUAUUUUAAAUUAACCCGUGUAUUCCCUUGAUACAAAUUCAAUCAUGUCAGUUGUCACUAUUUCAAGGUAAUGAAACAAUUACGGAUUUAAUAUCCUAAUUGACAAUAGGUUACUAAAUCAAUUCACUAUUUCGAUCCAAGAUAAUCAAUCAAUUUAACAACUAAUAGCACUGCAAUCGGAGAAUAUGUAAAUACCAAUAAAUAAGAGGAAAAGAUAAAAUUAAAUCGAUCUCACAAUUUUUAAACAAAUCAAAGUAUCCGUUGUUUCUUGACUAGAAAAGAAAAUUUAGUUCAUUCCUAAUGUGAAAGACCCACGUGAGAAUUCAAAAAUAAUAUUCACGGAUAUUGUCUUGAUUCAAUAGAUUCAAUUGCGUUGGAAUAAGGAUAAAAAGCCAAACUAUAGAGAGUGAUUCAAUGUUUUGUUUCGUUUGCAUUUUUUCUACACAUAUGGAAGAAGAAAAACAACUAAAGGACGAAAAAAAAAAGUCAAAGAAAGGCACCCAAAGUAGUGCUUGGUCUCUACCAUCCUAUUUCCUAUCUAAUUACUACUUCCCUUCUGCGGCUGCCUAGAGGAAGAAAGAGAAAGCAGACUUCAGGUCUUGUUCCAUCUCCUCCCUUUUCGGCAAUUCCCCAAAAGUAGAAAAGUUCCUCCGUUUACCAAAAUGCCCCUGGAAUGAGGACUGCUACUUGAACUCAUUUUCUUGAUAACUGUCAAAUUAGCACUUGUUAUGGUAUUUGCGUCUACUUCCUGUAAUAAAUGUAAAUUGCCAAAAGUGAGUAAACUGAUAAUUAAUUUACAUCAGGUCAGGUAAUAGGAAAAAUUAAUUAUAAAAUAAAUGAUAAAAUUGCAACCUAUCACUUAGAAUAACCAGAAAUAAAACAAAACAAGAAAUGAAAGAAAUAAGAGGGUAGCAUAGACAUUUUGGAUUUUUCUGUUAAUUUGGAUGAUUUCCACCUACGGUCUAAUUUAAUCCAAAACACAAAUGGAUUAUGUGGAGAUUUUUAAACAAUGAGGGAGUAUCGUGACCGAAUCCCAAACCACAAAGGGGAUUUACUAUAUUUUACUCUUAAAUUUUGGUUUCAUCUCAUAGCAUACAAGAGUACUAUUUCACUGUCUGUCGACCAGGGAGGAGGGUUGGGUUGGGUGGUACGGGGGAGGGAGUCUAAGUAAGAGGUCUCAGGUUCGAAUCCUCCUGUUUAUACUAAAAAAAAAAAUUUACUAUCUGUCGACAAAGAUUUUCUAUGGUUGAUGUACCAUAGGAAAAAUCUGCCUAUACAAUUAUUUGGAAAAAUUAUCCAUCCAAACAUAGUCACGAUAGCAUUUUUUCAAAAACACUAGAUGCAAAAUUGUCCCCUUAAACGUGGAAAUUCAUGAUCUUUCCUCGACUAGUCUACUUGUCAAUUUUUGAAAAAAGAAUACUCACGCCAAAAACACGGCCUCUUCAUCUGCAGAAUUCUAAAAAGUUACGUAAACUCUAUAAACAAGUUGAUAGGUACAAUCGUACCCAAGAUCAAGUACAGAUAGUUGUACAUUCACUGCUGCAAUAACUAAUCUGAUGACUUACAAACACAUCAUGGUCAAUCGUUGAAUGGUAAUGAGUCUUUUGUUAUGCAUUAGUAUUAGUGUGUACACUCUAAUAGAUUGAUACUUAUACUCUUUAAAUUAUCAUAAUAAUACCCUUAAUUAACUUUAACCCUUAAAAAGAAUACGUGUUAAUACACGAGAGUGUGUAACCUGAAUUGUUACUUAUACAUUAGUGUGUAAUAGAACGGCAAGCAUUAUGGUGGUCAUUGAGCAACUUAUAGGAGAAAUAGUCCUAUAAGCUGUUCAAUGACCAAUCACAACUUGCUAAUUGGAUGACUAAUAUAGCUCUAGCUGUAAUGUUUUAAUUAAAUUCCACACUAACGUUGGGAUGACUUUUUAAUCAAAAAAAAAAAAGCCUUAGUUCAAGCUUUUCCCCUUAUUGUGCAUUUUUUAAAACAUUUGAUAGGCACUGCAAAUCUGUCAUUUUGGACAUUUUAUUAUUAACUAACAAUGAAAGCCGUGGACAUCAACCCAUAUCCAACAAAAUAUUAAAUUAAUAUUAGAAAAAUUAUUAAGUAAUUGGAAAAAAAAAAGAAGAGGCUAAUUUUCAUUGAAACCCACCGACAAACUAUCCGUGUCCAUAGCUUUUGAAUAGUGCAUUCAACGUUUAAUUGUAUGGUCCAGUUCAUUGCCGAUUACAUGGAGUAAAGAUUGUGCUCUUUCCUUUUUCACCCCUUUUGGAAUCGAUACUGUGGAGAAUUGGGUUUUUCCCUCCUUUUUUUCUUUUCUUUCCUUCUGUGCUUUGCAAAACAUACGUAAAAAUAUGAAAUCCGAAGCAUUCUUUAAUUGGGAUUAAGUAUUGUUGUUGAAAUUAAAAAGAAGAAAGAAAGAACAACAAAAAUCCCAAUCUGGGUUGAUUGUUGAGCUCUAGAUUGGCUGCAUCGUGCUUCCAUAGAAGUUCUCUUAGUGUGAUACGCUGCUUUCAAUCAGUUUUAAUAUUUAAGUAGAGUGCAAAAUAACUUUACUAUUUAAUGGGUUAUAAUGCACCAUUUGGUACCUCUCACCCACCUAUGAUUUGAUUUACUACUGGCAUGGUAAUGGACAGAGUUGGGGGAGCAGGAGGAGGGAGAUGGCGGUACCAGUCCGUCAACCACAGCACACCCUCCCUCGGACUUUGCGUGGUAGCGAAGUGGAGGCAGAUCGAGCACACAUGCACUAACGCCUUAAGUAUGUACAAUAUAUGUAUGCCAAAAGCAUAGCCAAGCCUACCAGCGCAUUUCAAUAAUAUAACCCGGAAAUUAAGGGCAUUGAAUUAAGUACGAUGAAUCAUAUUGGUGCACAAUUACAGUUUGAAGCUACCGAUUCGAGUAAAUUUAAGCGUAAGCACAAUCAAUCGCCAGUCAAAUGCUGAAAUAUGCAUAUGCAUGGAUGAAUGUAUGGGUUUCUUAGUUCCAGACCAAAGGCCAACAAUAAGGGAAGGAAGGACAGUUCUCAUUUUUAGCACGGACAAGGAGAUGAAGAAAAGUGUAUGUAGCUUGAGACAGAACAAUGGCAUGUGACCGCUCCUGAGACCACAUAACGUGGGGUGGGGAUGGGACGGCCAAGAAUGAAGAUGCCUGUCGGUCUCUCCGUGCUGCUACCAUAUGAAUCCCCCGUUAACCAAUUCAAGAUAAGCCUGAAGUUCUUUUCAUCCCCAAACCCUGUCCCAUCUGUGUAAAUCCAACAUCAUCAUUUACGACCUGCAACUCAGGUUAAGCAUGUUCUAUUGAGAUUCAGACACCACCCUUCAAAAGAUAUACUACUGUGAAACCAGCAGCUUAAUAUCAUUGUAUAAAAAAAAAAAAAAAAGAAAGAAGAAAAGACAUGAAAAGCAAAUUUUGUGGGGAUAAUUUCAAAAUCUCUCCUAAAGUUUUUUACUAUUUUACUGGCCUCCUUUCAAAUUUUAAAAAUUACACCAGUCUUCCUUGAGAUUAUUUAUCUUGUAACAUUGAGGUCCAAUCAAUAAUUAAAAAAUGAUAUUAUGAGAGAGAAAAAAAAUAAACUUUAACAUCAUAAAUAUUCUUAUCAACAUAUUAAAGUUAGUUACUGAAAUUUUUAUGGUGUUAAACUUCACUCUUUGUAAUAUUUUAGUUACAGAUUUUUUGAUUACUUGUUGUUGAUUUUUUUUUUUUUAGUGUAAACAGGAGGACUCGAACCUAAGACCUCUCACUUACACUCCCUCCCCCCGUACCACCCCAACCCAACCCAACCCUCCCCUCGUUGUUGAUCAUGUUUGACAAUGGAUUUGUAAUUGAAAAGAACAAUUUGGAUCUUACAUUGAGUGAAAUAUAUAGAAUGAUAUACUAUUUUUUAUGGCAUAUGUGAUUCAAUCCUUGAUGAUAAAAGCAAAUUCAAGUGUUUUCUUUAAUGUUUGUGCUGAUAUUAGAUUAAUUAAAUAAUUUAGUAGAUGAAGGAAAAUGGUGAAAUCAUAUUAUCUUCUCUUUCCUAAUAUCACUAUUUAAUUAUUGAUUGAACUUAGAUAUUACAAAUAAUAAAUCUCAAGGGAGAUUAGUAUAAUUUUCAAAUUUUGGAGAGAAGCUAAUGAAAUAGUCAAAAACCUUAAGGGAGGUUUACAAAAUUAUCCCAAAUUUGUGGGAAUUAGAAUAAUUGUACUGGACGGCACUGCCGCAACAGAGGGAAAGAGGAGGAGGUGCAGUUAACUUUUUGUUGUUUGAAAUCCUUGGUGAAAUAUUACAGAAAGACAGAUAAAACAGUUAGUACAUAGAUGUAUAUGACAGGGAAAAUGGUACGUCUGUUAAUCACAUUUGAAACACUUUCAUUGGUGAAUGACGAAAACUAUCAGGCUUGCCCAAUAGUUGAUCAUUGACCAAGACAAAUCUUGCCAUGCUAGAGGUACCAUCUUUUCGUACCUCUUUAGUGCACAGGACAUUCCUUUGUUUCAUCUAGCUAAUAAUCUACCAACUCAUUUCUUUGCAAAUGCACCUUUUAUGGUCACGUCUACGAAAGCUUUACAGGAUCUUUACCCAAAAAAUCAAUUCACCGACUCGCAUUUGAUGUCAAAAUUUCUUUACUUUACUCCAAGAUUGACUGUUAAUAAUAAUGCCACUUUGAAUUAUCACACCAUCCUUCUUGAUAGGAUUUGUGCUAGAGGUAGGGAGGGAGUCGCUGCAGCCGGUCUUCUCUUCAUAGACAGUACAAUAUUGCGAAAUCGAUCGCAUUCACGCAAUAUUAUAUUUCCAAGUCGUUGCAUGGGUAAGCUGCCAAAAAGUACGAACACAUGUUAUUAUAUAGCUUAAGAUUCAAAACUUUCGAGCAUAACCCUCCACCUAACACAAUUGAAUAAUGGAUAUUCACGAUUGUCAAAUCUGUCAAAGUACAGUUUGAGGACAACCCAUUCCAACCUGCAAAAGGUUUUUUUACUUUUCUAAAGUUGUUGAGAGCUGUUAAAAGAUUUACCAUGCUUACAUCUUCCGAGCCUUGGGAGUUAAAAAUGAAGGCACUGAGUGCUAUAAAAAGGGAAUAGAGGCUGCCUAGAAGCAUACCAGCCUAAAACAAGGAUUUGUAGUUAUGAUGGGAAGCAAAGCAAAAGCAAUGGGGUCUGGGCUGACUCCUCUUCUUGCCACUGUUUUAGUGGUGUUUGUUGCUCUUGGCUUGCCCUCAGAAACUGCAGCUGAUGAUCACUACAAGUAUUCAUCUCCUCCUCCUCCUUACACUAUCCCUCACCACCACCUCCAGUGCAUAUACCUCCACCUCAUCCUGUUUACAAGUACAAAUCUCCACCACCCCCACCACCACACCCAGUUUACAAGUAUAAGUCACCACCACCACCUCCUCAUCCGGUACCACACCCAGUUCCUCAUCCGGUGCCACACCCAGUUCCUCAUCCGGUGCCACACCCAGUUUACAAGUAUAAGUCACCACCACCACCUCCUCAUCCGGUACCACACCCAGUUCCUCAUCCGGUACCCACACCCAGUUUACAAGUAUAAGUCACACCACCACCUCCUCAUCCGGUACCACACCCAGUUUACAAGUAUAAGUCACCACCACCACCUCCUCAUCCGGUAUACAAGUAUAAGUCUCUCCGCCACCAACACCCAGUUUACAAGUAUAAGUCACCACCACCACCUCCUCAUCCGGUGCCACACCCAGUUUACCACUACAAGUCACCACCACCACCUCCUCAUCCGGUACCACACCAGUUUACCAUACAAGUCACCACCAAUCCUCACCCAGUUUACAAAUACGAGUCUCCACCACCUCCAGUUUAUAAGUACAAGUCACCACCACCUCCUCCACCAGUUUACAAGUAUAAAUCUCCUCCACCACCACCACCAGUUUACCACUACAAGUCUCCACCACCUCCUCCCCCAGUUUACAAAUACAAGUCUCCACCACCUCCUCACCACUACUAAGCAAUUGCUUCUGAGGUAAUAACACUUGUUCAAUAUACCCACUUCUGCAUGAUAAAGCAUAUCUCUAUCAACACAAACUGUCAUGUCUAUCAUGCUAAGUGCCUUCACUUCAUCCACCAAAAUGACUGCUAGAAAAUUUUUUUUAUGUUACCAAAGAAAGGCAUCAUUUUUUCCCUCUGUUAUCAAGAACUUGUACAGUAUAUAGAUUAAAGAGUUUUUAUUUUAACUAGCUUAUCAACUUAGAAAUGCAUAUAGCUGAUAACCAGCUGAAUAUUUGCAGGCAAAGGAGAAGGAAACCAUGUUUGAGACCUUCUUGAAGAUGUAGAAGCAUAAGAAUAAAAGCCCAAUGUGAAGAUGAUGAUUUCAAGUUUUUCUACGUUACCAUUUCUUUAUCUAAAUUGGUUGUAGCGCCCAAGUUCCUUUGUUUAUGGGAUUUGUAUCGUUUUACGUACCAUGCAGUACAUGUCAUGUUUGUAAGGUUUUCUAUCCUGCCGGCAAACCGCAGGUUCCAUGUGAUAAAUGAAUACUAUUUAUGUUACGACA
RNAcentral lists this long non-coding RNA (114038 nucleotides) under Coffea arabica (coffee). Its description in RNAcentral is "long non-coding RNA (CARA_LNC007267)". The stretch from base 106295 to 106401 matches the Rfam family "Plant small nucleolar RNA R71". The record is from RNAcentral. Lineage: Eukaryota; Viridiplantae; Streptophyta; Magnoliopsida; Gentianales; Rubiaceae.